UAUAGAUACCUCCACAAACAUCUUGAUUAUCCAAAUGUCUUGACUCCUUAAGUCGUUGAUUUGCUGCUAUCCACCCAUUUAGACUUUCACGUUUUAGAGCUUUCGCCAUAGUUACAAUUGCAAGAGGCAAACCCUUAGCUUCACGAGCAACCUCCUUGGCUACAUCAUUCAAGGUGGGAGAGGCAUCUUUUAGACCAGCAUUAUCUUUGAAUAAAGCCCAUGCCUCAUCUUCAGACAGAAUGUUCAGUUUAAAUUCUUCUUGACAAUUCAUUUGACUACAGACUUGUCGAAGACGUGUAGUUAGAAGAAUUUUGCAACCAGGGUGUUUGUCACCAGAUGGAAUUCCUAUAUUUCGCAAUUCAAACUGUUCCCAAACAUCAUCGAGAAUAAUGAGAAUCUUCUUCUCGCCUUUUAAUCUCUUGAAUAACUCUUCUGCUUUUCCUUCUUCUGUACUUGCAUUAAAUUUUAAACCCAAGAUUUCAGAAAUUCUAUGUUGAAUUUUGUUGAUGUCUGGAUUUUGAGACACCCCCCUAACAAUCACAACUUUAUCAAAGAGCUUUUCUUCCGUAGCUUGCUUCCCCACUACUUCCGCCAAAGUUGUUUUACCCACUCCUGGCAUUCCGUGCAAUCCAAUCACGUUCACACCAUCACCUUUUAAAGCCUUCAUGAUCCCAUUGAAAGCUAACGUUGAAGAUUCGGAACGCAUGAAAUCCUUGGGUAGUAGGAACUCUAUUCCUUGAAGAGGAGGGCGCUGGCCGACUAGUGGAAAGUUACAGGUCUCUAAAAGUUUAGAGAUACAAAGAUUCUUCUUCGCGACUUUCUUACUUAAGCAAUAUCGCCAACCCCAACUAGGACACCAAUUGAAACACUUGUUACGCUCUAUUUCUUCUUCCAAACUCUGAGCUUCUCCCAAUUCUUUAUCUGCCUUUGUUAGCCACUCCUCAACGCCCUUCUUAAUUACCUCAGUUUGCCUUAAAGCCUCAUCGACAGCAUCUUUCAACUCAUCUCUUUUUGAUUCAAGUUCAUUUCGCCGGUUCUUGAAAUCUUCAACAAUUUCGCCAAAACGGAAAAAGUAACGGAGAUAAGGUGAUGCGUAUUCUGUUGCUAAGUUCCCCGCGGUACCGCUAAUAGCAGCGCAAACACAUUCAAGAAACAUUCUUUGAUGAUCUGAGGCUGAAAAACAAUUUGGAUGAGUAAAAUGUUUUACAGAGAGACAAAAAGUAAUUACGAAAUGUUCACAAAAUAUCUCGCCUUUGCAGCAAUACUUUUAUAAAAUAUGUGAAUCACAAGAGAACAAAUUGUCCGCCGACUAACUUGGAAAUUGAAAAUGCUGCACAAGUAGAAAUUAUUCACUGGUCAUGUGUAUAGUAAUUAGAAAUAUAUCUUACAUGUUAGAGUAAAAUCAUAGUAUUAUGAUUCUAUAAAAUACUUUCUCAAAAUUUAAAAUAUCUAUUUAUUUCAGUUUUUUCCUAAUAGCUACAGCUUUUGUGUAACCAUGCAUGCUCGUCAUGGGCAAGGAAAGAAGUAAAGUGCAAAAUUAUUAUUUUUAUUUUCCAAGUGAAGAACUCAAGAAGUCAAAUGCAUAAGUGACAAGAGAAAUAAAAAGCAUAGCAAAAAUUAUAUAUGGACAAUAUAAUAUGUAUUGUUGAAGCUUACCUCACUUCGAAAGGAUCUUCUAACGCUGCAUGGAUUUUUUCUUCACCAACUCCGGAGAUCGGGAAAGUAAAAUUAAGGACUUCUUUUCUGGAUAGAAAGCAGAGAAAUCCAAAUACUAGAGGUAGCAGCUUUGGGUUUUUUUUUUUUUUUUGGCCUUUGUGGAGCUGAGGAAAGGAAACGUAGGGAUCAAAGAACAGUUUUUGUUUUUUAUUUUUCUGAGUUAAAAGAAAAUGAGGAAAGUAGAAACCAAUGGAAAAAACGAACAGAGAUUUUUUUUUUUUUUGAGUUGAAAGAAAAUGAGGAAAGCAGAAACCAAUGACAAUAAACCAACAGAGAUGCUUUUCUGUUUUUGAGUUGAAAAAUUGAGUGGAAAAAUCAAGGAAAAUGAAAUGGAAAAUUAAGGCAGAAAUCAAACAAAAUCUUUGGGAUAGUGCAGCUCACAGAUGUGGAGAUGGUAGAAGAAGAAGCUUGAAUGGAAACUCUAUGAAGACGAAGUAGUGAGAGUAGGUAUAGGAACUUUGGAACACUAAUAUUCAAAUUAGGAACAACGGAAAAAAAUUAGCAACUUGGCUUACACUUCCCAUGUAAGAUUCUCUUUUCUUUGAUAUGCGAGAGCUAAUGCUAUACAUUGAGAAAGUUAAUUUGUUUUAUUUAUCGUUUUUCAGUUGGCUUUUCCAUAGUUUGUCCCCCUUUUGUUUUUUCUUCCCUGGUUGUGGGUGGUGCUCGAGACACAAAUGUUUAUUGCUCCCUCUAGCUAAAAGCUCUUUGGCCAGCAUGUGCAAUCAACAUUAUUAUAUAAUGUUUAUAGAUUUGAGGAUUUUUGUUUACCACUAGAGACAGUUGCAUGUGAACGAAUUAGAUAUUCUAUUCAAAUUUUAAUUGGGAAUCAGUAAAAUUUCAUUAAUAAAAAAAUUAUUUGGUGAUUAAGUUUAUUUAAAGGAUAAAUAUAGUUAAUGAUUAAGAGUUUUUAAUGGAUAGGAAUUCAUGGUGACAAAGUAAUAUGGUUUUAUAAAUAUGGAAUGUGUCUUAACUUUUAAAAUUAAGAUAGAGAUGAGAUCUUUAUAUGAUCUUAUGUAAAAGAUAAUUUUUUUUAAAUGGAGUUUUUUGUAAAAACUUCACAGAAUUAUAGAGAUGUGAGAAGGAGCACGAGAAAUACAAGAAAGAGUAGGGGAAACGCAGUUUGCAUGGGAUCGAAAGUAUUUUAUGAGUUGAAACAAUAGGGAGCACAGAAACUGGAUUUGUUUCGAAGCUUAAGUUUAGUAUUUGUUUUUAUUUGUACUUUUUGUAAUCUCUAUGCCUAUAAUGAAUUUUUCUGAAUGCAUAUUAAAUAUUAUCUCUUAUAUGUGCUUUAUAAAUUAAAUUUUCAUUUGUAAUUUAUUUACUUAACUUACAAAAUAUAUAGUAUAAAAAGGAGGGUUUUUCUUUCUAGUUUUUUAGUGAUAUAUUACCUUGGACUCCGCACCUGGUCUUUAAGCUCAUGUGGUUAAAGCUCAGCAGAGUAAUAAGAUUUGGUCAUUAUCUUGGGCUUUACGUUGACCCAACCAGAGCAAUCUACUCUCAUUUUAAGGAAAGGAAGUACUUAUUGUAAACCUUGAACUAGUGGGAGUAAUUGUUUAUAUACCUUUCUCUCUUCCAAAACGUUGGUCCUAUCCUUUUAUUUCGAAUUUUUUCAUUUUUUAGUUAAUUUUCUUUUAAAAAAUUAUAUUCUGUGGAGGGAGGACAUGAGCCCGUAGUGAAAAUGUAUUUGUAUUAUCAAAAUCAAAUAAAAACUAAAAGAAAUAUCAUCAAAAACAGGGGUCAAAGCCUUGUACCCUUUCUAUACUUUUAUCACUUCGCUUUUUCCGUUAUAUUUGGUCUUUGAGGUGAUGGCCUUGGAGUAGUAAUGUAUUCUUCCAACAAUUACUAGUCAUUUUACAAUAAUAGGAAAUUUUUUAGUAAAAUAUUUAUAUAAUAUAUUGCCCUGUUUAAAUUGUGUAGGCCUCAAUAAGUUAAAUUUUGAGCUGAUUAAAUUAUCGAAAAUUAUCCAAUAAACUGUCAUGGAGUUUGAAAACUUUAUCAAUGGAAUUAGGAGGUUGCAACAUAUUCAUUCGGAUAUAUUUGAAAAAAUAAAUAAAUUAAUCUGAUAAAUAAAAGGAUAUUAAUUUGACAAUAUUUUAAUUUUACUAACAAAGUUAAAAUCUCACCGAGGAUGCAUAGAUUAAUAGUCCUUAAAAUAAUCCCUUUGUUUUUACAAUUGAGGGACAUUGAUCGUUACAUGCAUUAGUAGUGGAGAUUUGUUGCCUUUUCCUUAAAAGAUCAUUACAUUUUUUGCUUAAUUGCAUGCUUGUGUUCGGCUUAUAUAUAUAGGCUUUCAUUAGUGCUUGUUGAAUUAUGGCAGUGAAGUGUUUAGUAGAGUUGAUAUGAAUGAAGUGACUAUCCAGAGAUAUUGCAUCGUAUCGUUUUCUGCUUAUUGGGUUCCAUUGCUUGGAGCAUUUCUGCAGUUUCUGCGUACUUAUUUGCUACAACUUGAAAGAAAUGAGCAUGGCAAGAUUGUAUACAAAUUUGCCUAUGACUUCAAAUUUAGUUCGGCUUGAUCAACAAAAGAGGAAAAUUUCAGUUGAGAUUUUAGCAUUUUGGUUACUGAAUGAGUGACUCUAGGAAGAUGGAUAACGUUCAUGCAUGCUUGCGAAGCUCGUUUGGUAAUAUAUAGCACAAAAAGCAUAGUGAACCCAACUUCGAAACACAUGGAUGCCAUCUAUUUUUCUAACAACAGCCGUGGCAAGCGUGAGCAUACCAAUUCUAAGUUCUAACAUUGGGUUUAGACCACUUUAUCAAAUUUCAAAGCCUUUCUUUAGUGCUUUUUUCCCCUGGAUUUCUUGGUAGAAUUAACUGGUGCCGUAAAAGAGGGCCAUGUUGGGGAUGGCAGGGGACGGAUUAGUGUAAUUUUUUUAUAUUUAUAAUUGAAACAAAUUAGAGGAAUGCAGAUUAGGGGACAGUAGAUUAUGGAAACGGUGGAAGACAUUUCAGCAGGUGGAUUCUUUAAAGGAGGUGAUAGGCAGUGUAUUAUUCUGUGAGUGCUGAUUUUUUGGCAAAGGAAGGUGCAAGGAGAGAAAGUUUUUAUUGGAUAUUGUCAUUACCUUGAGAUUUACAUUGAGCCAGUGGGAUUAAUUAUUAUUAUUAUUUUUUUGUUUUUAAGAAAAAGAACCACUUUUUGUAAACCGUGAACUAAUGGAGGCAAUUGGUUUUAUAUACAUAUUGCUCUUGCAAAACAUUGUAAUUUAGAAAUUUAGAAGUAGAGGUAUACGUUGAUCCCUUCAUUAAUUCGACAACUUCCAUAUAAAACAAAAGCUCAGCAGAUGAAGACGAAGCUAGCAGCUAGCUUGGAGGGAAGUGUGUAAGGCACUAAGCAGCUAGCAGUACAAUUCCUGGCCUCAGUCAUGGUUCACUUUUUGCCUAUGGAGACGCAAUCUCUUUUUAUAAUCAAUUUGUUUUCAUUUGACACUCUGUUUAAGAUGUAGUAGCUCAAUCUCAGCCAUAUACACGAAUAAAAUAAAACGACGGUAUUUACUUGGUUAAUUGGUUGUUAGCCAACUUGAUGGAAAUCUAGUAAUUAAAAGCCAAAGGAAAAUAUCAUCAAAAUCAGGGGCCAAAGCCUUUCGCCUUUUUUAUAGUUGAUGCUCCUUCCAGCUUUUACCACAUUGCUUUUUCCUUUACACUUGGUCUUUGAGGUGAUAGCCUUGGAAUAGUAAUGAGAACCACCCAAAACCAAUUAAAGUAGAUGAUAGAUGAAAGAAAGAAAUGAGAAUACUUGUUAAUUUGCUACUAAGUAGCAGCAGCUAGUCAAAUUCAGAUUUAUGCAUUAACAUAGUUUCACCUUCUUGUUAAAAUUUAUUCUGAUUCUUCUGAUGUAGCUUUAUUUACCCAGCAGCGAGCCUUCAAAAUCAAACAAAGUGGGACAUGAAGAACAAAAAUUAGCUUGGGACAAUCUUCAACCGAAGAAGUCAAAUUUGGAAAUACAAGAUGGUAACAUUAUAUAAUAAUUGAGGGAGCACUAUUUGCUUCUCUUUCUGGGUACUUACUUCUUCAUCUGCAAUUCCAAAUAGUUGCUCUAGUUCAGAAGAUCCUUCGACUGUGAUUAUUUCUAGUUUUGGCAGAGCAACAUUAACCGGAAACAGACUUUUCAUUUUAUUUCAGUAACCAACACAAAAUCGAUUCUUUCAACAACCCCAACCCCCGCAUAAGCCAGAAUUUCAAUUUCAUUACUUUUGGAAAUGAGAAAAACAAGAAACUGAGUGCGUACUGGUAAUAUUCACAGUCAAACGUAUUGCAUAUUUCAUCUGAUGGUAAAGGUUGUUGCAUCAUAUUUGAUAAACAAAGAGGAGAUAUUCGGGAUUUUUUUUUCUUAAUUUUAAUUUGGGCAUUGAAAUUUUAUUAAAGAGUGUUAGGCCUUGAAAAAGGGGAAGAUGUUUUUGGCAUAGAAACUUCAAGGACUUUAUAUUUUUCUUCUUCCAAUUGCCAUUGGUUUGUAAGCAAAGAUGGGAGUAAGGAAUGCAGUUGCCAAAUCUAACAAGUUUGUUUCACAAUUGAGGGGCUAUGUGAUCUGAUGUCUCAGGGUGAAGAUUUGUUACUUUUUCUCCCAGCGUUUUACAAGCAUGGAAAACCAUGGGGAAAUUUGUUGAUGUCUGACUCAGACAUGCAAGUAGACAUUACAAAUCAACUAAACAUUGUAAAAGAGAAGCAAAGAUCAACCAGCUGCAAGUCAACUAAACACAGAGAAAAACCAUGUUGCUCACAGUCCUUUCCCAAGUCAGAGAGGUAUAACUCCUGCAAAGACAUAAAUAUAUCAUAAUUUCAUUAGAAAUUGAAUAGAUUACAAAGGGCCAAGACACUGUUGCCUAAAUAUUGGAAGAGAAAAAUGUCUUGAAUCCCAAAGAAAGAACAUAUAUCACUCUAUGCAUCUAAUUAAUCAUAACUCAAGCAAUUACUUUAAUAUACGAUUGAUUAUAAGUGUACGUUAAUAAACUCAGUUACAAAGAUCAAUUAACAUAUGACCUCAAAAGUACAAAGCUUUCAUAUUAUUUCAAAAAAAUUUAGAUAAGCUCAUAUCUUUUUAUUGUAUUUAAUUAAAUUUUUUAAAUAUUAAUUUUCAAUAUCCAAACCUUUUUUUUUUUGGAUAAAACCCAUAGAUGAUGGUUAAUCCUUUAACAUGCGAUAAUAACUCCGUCACUGCAUGCAAUUGAACUUCCUAAUAAAUUCACAACAAAAUGGAAGAUACUAGAAAAAUUGGAAAGGUAGAUAAUACACCUUAAAUCAGAAUUGAAAUAUUUUUAUAUGUGUAAAAAUUAGAGAUUUGGGCCAAAAGAAAAUUUUGUACCUUUUCUUUAAAGCUUAUUAAAGUAGAAAAAUAAACUAAAGUUUGGAGUAUAAAUAGUGUAUAGUAUAUAUACAGGUAAAUGUCAAUGUAAUAAAAGUUUUCGAUGGGAAAGAUGUUUUCUUAUGAAAUAAACAAUCAACUAAUAAGUAUCAAAAGAAACAUUGGAACAAAUGAAAAUAUAACAAAAUUACCUUCAACUGAGACUGCGACGUAAGUCUUUGUGGAUCUUGGGAAUGAGUCAUUAAUUGGGGUUGGGGACUAAUAUUGCAAGGGUCAAAAUCUUUCGAAGAUGGUAACAUGGCAGAAUAAUUUCUUGGACAAAAGCUCCUCAAGUUUUUCAAGUUUUCAAGUGUUUAAAUCUGUUAUUGAGGGAGCACAAUACGGUGCCCAUCCUUUUCUUUUCCCAUGUUGGAGACAUGCAUUAAUUGAGGGCAAUCAAUUAUCUGAACCGAUUCCAAGUACGGAAGUCCUUGAGCCAAAGUGAUUGGAAACACAUAUUUCAAGCUUUUGCAACUAGCUGUCUGAAGAGAUUUCAAUCUUGGCCAGCAUAGAGAAUAGCAAUCCAUAAUUGAAACUAUUUCAUCCCCAUUUUCUGUUUCUAUGAUUAAAUGCUCUAAAGAGUCGGUUUUCUCUAUAUGGAGUUCUUCCAGAUGCUUCAUAGAUUGAGUAAGGGCAGGCAAAAAGAGAUAUACAAGCUUAGAACAUGACCAAAUUCUCAUAGUCGUUAAGACUUCGGAGAUUAACAAAAUGGGCAGAUCCUCUCCAUAUGCAUCUCAAUUUUGGUAAUGACUCAAGCUCCAAACAAGUUAAAUUUGAUAGUACUUGUGCCUCAUUUUCCUCACAUAAAGAAUAACACAUAAAAGUUGAGAGAUAUAAAGCGUCUUCUUUGCAUCUUUGAUACUUAUGCAGUAUCGCCAGCCCCAACUAGGACACCAAUUGAAAUACUUGUUACGCUCUAUUUCUUCUUCCAAACUCUGAGCUUCUCCCAAUUCUAUCUCUGCCUUUGUUAGCCACUCCUUAACGUCCUUCUUAAUUACCUCAGUUUGCCUUACAGCCUCAUCGACAUCAUCUUGCACCUGAUCUUUUUUCGAUUGAAGUGCUUUUCGCUGCUUCUUGAAAUCUUCAACAAUUUUGGCAAAACAGAAAAAGAAAGUGAGAUAAGGUCAUGCUUAUUCUUUUGCCAGAUUCCCUACAGCAUGUAAAACUGCGGAUGGCAAUUGUAUUCAGCCUGCAACAACAUUGCCCGUAGACUAGAAAACUCAAUAUCACAGAGAAGGAAGGAAAGAUAUGGGAUGAAACAAGAAAGGGAACCAAAAUAAAAAAACAAAAAAGAGAUGAAGGAACCUGACCCUCUCAAAGAAAUAAAAACCACAACAUUGUACACCAGCCAAUGAAAACCCACAACCUUAAAACAUGUCGUAUCAAAGCAACACCUUAAGUGCCCUUGAAGAGUGGACCAGUUUCAAGCCACAGUAGAGCAACCACACCUCACUGCAAAAUACAAUAAAAAUAAAACACAUUAAGCACAACGUAUAUAAUGUCAGAAAAUGAUAAUGGCAGAUGUAGCGAGCAUAGACAAACUAGUCAUUUCAUUUGUUUUUUAUUAACCUUCCAUGCAAUUAAAGUAACAAAGGGUGGUCAAACAGAUUCAGCAUGCUUGCAUUCUUUCUGCUUUUGCUAAGAGCCAGGAAUAAUUAUGAAAAUAUGUAUAAUUCGUAAAAUCAUGUUUACCUGCUGUGGUUGUUGGUAAGCUUAUGGUUGCUGGUAAUUCCCAUAUCCAAGAUAGCCCCCAUAGGACAUGUUAGGAUCUUGGGGAGGAGGUGCAUAUCCAUAUGCUUCAAAUCCUUGAGCAUAUCCAUAAUAUCCACCAUUCCACUAGGCCUGAUCUGGUUGAGCCUGAAACUCCAACAGAUUUCCCUCUUAGUUUGUAGAAAUAUAUAUAGCAAGGUUUUAAUUACAAAAUACCAUGAUUUUAAAUACAAAACCUGAUUGCUUGAAGGACUACAUCCCCAUGAAAGUCAAAUGUUUCUUCCUCCUAAUACGAUGCCAUUCAAAACUGAUAAAGCUUGCUCUGCGUUAGUCCUGAAGUAUAUCAAAUUGCAGAAUAAAUUAAUAUAAUAUAAUAAUAUUUCACGCACUUAAAUAUUCGGAAGAAUUUACAGCUUACCUAUUAGCAUAUUGAACAAAACCACAACGCUUGUUAGCAGGAAUUUUUACAUGAACUACCUCACCCAGCUGGCUAAAUAUUUGUUUUAAUUGGUCUUCAGAAACACUAGGAUCCAAACCACCAACAAAUAUCUGCAUUUAAGCAUGUAAGAUUUCAGUCGACCACACCAUGAAAUAAGCAUAUUAAUAUAUAUAAAAAAGCUACCCACUGUGGUAUUAUUUGGAUCAUUCUCGCCAGGAUUUCCUUGAGUAUUUGGGUAAGAAGCUGCAAAUGACAAAUACAUGUAAACUACAAUAGAAUGAGAUGAUAAAAAAGCUCAUUGCUUCUCAAAACUCAAAUUAAACAUUGUUGAAAAAACCAAGCAUUAAGAUAAUACACUUAAAAAUACUAAAAAAGUUCUAAAAAAUUCCCUCCAUGGCAUGCAAAAGAACAAAAAUGUAAAACCACCAGCUAUACAUCACUCAAAAGUUACAAUUACAACCAUAAACCUCUUUGGGUUACAUCAAGGCUUACCAUUACCAGGGAAAGUGAAAAGUAUCAGACUAAAUGGAUUUCAAUAGUAGCCCAUAAAGAAAUCAUUAAUUACAUUACACUCAGGGAAUCGGUAAAGGUCCUAUUCUUUCAUUAACCUUUUACAAUAGCAUGAAAAGGAGAAAAAGGAAAAUUGAAAUCAGAGACUUAACUUUUCUCUGCACUUGACAUGAAAUAUUUCCUUUUGCUCCUUUCUUUCACACAUUUUUUGUAAGGGGGAGGGGAGGGAGGGAGGAAGCUGUCAGGGCUUAAAUAGAAUGAUUCACAACUUCAACUUCAAAGAUUAUGUUUUAGUAGAAAGAACCUAUCUGCUAAACUAAUUUCAGAAAUGCUUUAACAUUCUCUGCGUAGACAGAAACCUAUAGAGAUUAUAUUAGCAGCCACAAAAUGAUAAGAUGAAGAACAUAUUUAGAAAAUAAGGAAAUUCCUCUAAACUGAAGUGAUGCAAAACCUCAAAUGACAAGUAGAAAAAGAAUGCCUUGAAAAUGCAAUAUUAAUACUGGUAGAUUCAUACACAGCUAGGCCAUCACUAUUUAGGUUUUGGCAAUAAAGCAUGCACGAGUGAUCCACUUCCAUUGAGGUUAAAUCCAUUAACUGAAAAUGCCUUUAACUACAAGUCCCAGGUUUCUUUCCUGACUCAAUUUGUCCUCAUUUGUAACAGAGCAAUAGAAUGAGGACAAAGAAGUUACUAUAACGUUUAAAAGAAGCACAGAUAUAAAAUGCAAUAGAACAAAAAUUGCCCCAAGGCUCAAUAACAGAAUGGUGCAUGAUAACAUCCAUACCAACUUUACCCAUGGCUGCUUCACCUAGUUUUGAGCAUUACAGCUUGAAUUUAAAGGAAACAAAGAGAAGAGUGUAAACAUAUGCAAGUAUCAAAAGGGAACUUAUCUACGACGAACUUAGAAAAAAAAGGUUUCUGGAGUGGUAAAAGUAUCUAAAAAAAGAUUCAAAGGAAACAUGUUGGGAAAACUGAAACAACUUGUACUUGACUGGAAUACUUGAUAAGGAACUAGAAAAGUAAUUUACGAAUGUAGCACAAAUACUGCCACGAGAAAAUGAGGCUUACGAUAUAAACAAAGUAACUGACCUAAAAUGGGGCCACGCAUUAAAGUGGGAUCAUUUCAGCUGAUACCAGUUCCAGGCUCCCCAAAAUGAGAGCCUUUUUGGUGUCCUGCUUUAAGACAACAUGAGUUUUAAAUAAGUUUGUGAACGUUUUAAUAUAAUUAAACGUGCCCAAGUUUGCAAAGGCAAACUGAAAGGAAAUGACUUUGUAUAAAUUCUGCCGAUCUUCAAGUGCAUAACUGAAAGAAUUCAAAUUUUAAGGACACUGUAACAACUAACAAGUAACAACCUCGACUCAGAAAAUUAAAACCCAAAAACAAAAAUAGAAUAACCAACAAGCAUUCAACUUGUCAAGUCAAAGUUCUCUAAGAUAAAUCAUGGCAGAUAAAAACUAUAAAAAAACCAAGCAACCUUCAUGUUAGUUUGCCAAGAUCUAUUGAUGAGCAUGAAAAAUGCUCUGUAGAAAAGAGUAAAACCAGAAAACUAGAAGAAGAGAAAAACUGAUCAGGAAAUUGGAAGAAGAAAAACUAACUUCUCAUCGAGUCAAGAGUCUGUUACACCUAUUUAUACACAAGUCAUGCUGACAUCAAAGAAAGCCAAUCCUAAUUACAAAAUAAUUAAAUAUAUAAUCAGAUAUCUAUUUACACUUGGACACGUGUAUGUAUUUAACACUUCAUAUGAAAAUCAAGAUAAAUAAUGAAUUUAACAUAACCCGUUUGCUUAUUCCUAAUCAGCUUAGCUGAAGCCACCUAAACUAUCCCAAAAAAAUUAAACUUCCUUUAAUUACUUUUUACUGAUUUUAUUACUUAAGUAGUUAAGUUUAAAAGGAAAAGAAAGGAAAUUCAUUUAAAUAACAAAAGGGAAUAAUAUUUUGAUUUAUUAAAAUGUAUAUAAAACUGUGAAUUUUAUUGGACUAUAUUUGCUCCGUUUAAUUAAAUUUUAUUAUAUUUUUUUACUAUUUUACUAUUUACUUAGGCACUCUUAAAUCUUUUUUUUUUCUAAAAGCCCCUAAUUUUUUUUUCUAAAAUAAUAUAAUUAACUAAUUAAUUACCUCUCCAGUGUGAGCGAAGAUGUUGAUGAGGUAAUUCUCAUCCAUCCACUGCUAAAGAUCACCGAUCUAGAAGGAUCGAAUCUCACUGGAGCCGCAACGGCUGAAUCGGUGGAGUACUGCUGCAUCUGACCUAGCGGAGGAACGGGUUGUGGAGCCCAGUCGGAAGGUGGAGGAACCGGCUGACCCGCCUGUUGCUGCUGUUGUUGUUGUUGCAUCAUCAUCCACGGCUGCUAUUGCGGUUGCUGCUGGUACUGCUGGGUUUGAGACUGAUCAGCUGCCAUGGACUGCGGUGGAGCUACACCUCCUGCUGGGGGUUGUUGCAUCAUACUCGAUAGAUAGAUAGAUAGGGAAGAGAAUCGGGAGAUCUCAGAGAGGAGAGGAAACCCAAGUGGGGAAUUGAAAUUUUAUAAAGAGAGGAUUUUGUUUUAUUGACCAGAGGAUGCUUGUCGGGGUAACACGUGGAGAAUAGGAAUUACGUGGCAGUAAUGGGCUUUUGAUAGGGUAAAUCGAGUAUUCGGCUUGGUAUGGGCUAGAUUGGGCUGAGUUUGGGCUAAAAUUCUUUUUCUUUGUUAAUAAAAAACGUUUCUUAAGGAUGUAAUAAAAAAAGUUUUAAAAAAGAAUUUUUAUAGACAAUUGAAAUUUGGUGUUAAUAAGCAUAGCAAAAUUUUUUGAAAAUUAAGUAAUUAAAUGGAAUUGAAAUUUGAAAAUUAUUAAUAUAUUUUUAUGGUAUAAAAAUUAAUUAUUAUUUUAUUUUAUUCCCUUUAUAAAUUUUAUGACUUAUAAUUAUGAUGAUUUAGUAGAUGUCUGAUAAAUUAUUUCUUAAUCUAUUAAAUAGGAAAAUUUUUUUAUCAUUUCCCUUCGUCUCAUUAUCUUUGUUCUUUAUUGAUUUUUUUGUUAAAUAAACUCUGACUUUGAUCAUUAUUUUUAAAAACAUUGUAAAGUUAUAAAAUUUUGAAUUUUAAACAUUUAAAAUUUUUUUUUGAAUUUUUAAUUUUAUAUAGUAGUCGUUUAAUAUGGUAAGAAAAGUACAACAUGGUAAGAAAAGAAAUUAAAUUGAACUUAAUAAUUCUAAGUGCAUGCAGAAAUGGUCCAAUCCCUUUUUAUAAUUUUUAUUGUAAGCAUUACUUGGUAAAAUUUUCUUCUAUCAAUGAGUAAUUACUUCAUUUUAAAUGCUUUUUGCGAACUUGUUGCCUGGACUUUACUACCAUGGCCAGAUCUUAUAGGUUGGAGUACUAAUCAAACUCUCAAUAUUUCAAUAAAUCACUUAAAACCUUCAUAAAAUAAAAAUCUACUUGGCUUGUAUAGGGAAAUUAAAGUUUAAUUUCUGACGCAGGAGCGUCAAUGAUUGUAUUUUAUUAAAUUUAGUUUUUGCUAAUUUAGUUGAUUUAUGAUUUAUUUUCUUUAUUUUAUUUAAAUUAGGAUUCUUUUCUUAUUUUUAUUUUAAUACUUUUAAGAAUUAGUAUUUGAUUAGGAUAGUUAUGUUCUAUUUAGGAAUAGAACACCUAUUUUAUUUAAAUCUCUUAUUAAUUAUUCUAAUUGUAUUAGAUAACUAGGAGUAGAGUUUUAUUAGGAUUUGGGCCUAUAAUACUAUAAAUAGGACCCUUAGGCUUAGUUACGAGACAUUCAGAAUUGAGAGUUAAUAAAUAAUAUUUUCUUAAGCAGGAGUGCUUAUUUCUCUAGACUCUUUUAAAGGGUAAGAGGUUUUAAUAUCUUUGGCCUAGCCAACCAAAGUGGGAUUUUGGCUAUUUUUCACCUUAGUGGGGUUUUCAACCUUGCCAAGAUUGGUGAUUCACCUUAGUGGGGUUUUCAACCUCGCCACGAUUGGUGUUUUUCAUAACGCCUAGGUGUCUUUACAACGCCCCGGCGUCAAUUUCCCAUGUCUUGAUUUAAAAUAUAGAAAUAAGGAUAAGAAAUAGAAGAAUUUUAAGCUUAUUCUUCUACUAAUUGUGGAUGCAGUGAGAAACAUAACAUUGAUUAGGUAAAUUACUGAAAGCAAGUGAUCCCUUUGCUUGACAACUCUGUGAAGCCAACAUCUUGAUCAACCCAAAGCACAAUAAUUUCAACUACCUGUUUUUUUUUUUUUUUUGUUUAUGUAAAUAAUAAAGAUUAGCACAAGUAAACUACUAAAACUUGAUUAGGACUAGGCAAACAAGUGAGAGAAAUGAAAAUGGAAAGUAGCCUUUGAUCUACCUGUGUUUAGUUAAUGGCUCCAACAUACUCAUUGAUGUUUAAACAUGCCUUUGCAACUUCCCCUGCAAUCAUCUCAUAGUUCUUCCUUGUAAGGUGGUAGCUCACAAAGGCUCUUGCUCCGUCGAAUGGUCUUGGCGUCUUGCUUAACUGGUUGCGGUGUCUUUUUUAAACAAUUGAAACAAGGGAAUGUAAAACAAAAGUAUUAAUGUUACAUGUUAUGAGGGUAAAAGAAAAAAUAGACAUAUUAUAAUUUAUAAGCAUUUUAGGCCACAAAUUCAUUAAAAGUAAUGGAAUCAUUCACUAAAAGUGAUAUUCUAGAUCAAUCUUUUGGUUGCAGUGUACUACUCAAUCAUUUAAGUAAUUUUAGUAAAGACUUUGAAAAAUUAUGUAGUAUAAUAUUAUUAAAGACUAUAAUUGCCUUUGCACAUACUAAAUAAAAUCUUAAACUUAAUUCACAAAUCAACAAUAAAAACUCUUAAUCAUCAAUAACGAUUAUGUUGGGAGGAUAAGGAGAAUGAAUAAGGUAUUUUUAGUUUUUGUGAAUAAUAUUCUUGCAAAAGUCCAUGAAGAUGGCUUCAAAGGAUUUGGGAUCAAUUUGGAAAGGUUGUCAAUACAUUGUAGGGAGAAAUAAAAGCAAAUACAGCUAGAGGUAUCCUUUUAUCAUAUUUGGAUAUUUUAAUAAGGAUAGAAGAGCAGUCCAAAAUUUAAAUGGAGUCUGGCUUCUUAACCAAAGGCUAGAGGUCAAUAUAGCCAGCUAAGGAAGCCAUGAUUCAUUUUGAAGAAGGAAGCAAAAAGGAAGCUUCUGAUGCACCUAGUGUUAACCACAUUAGGAACGGAACCUGCAGUGGGAUUUUGAGACAACUUGGUUUUAUUCAUUAAGCCAUCUUAUGCUCUGUUAUUGAAAGGUGCUUUUGAAAGAGGUGGAGCUUCAAAUGAAGAGAGAGGAGAUGAUUUUCAAUGUCUGAAAAGCAUGGAAAACAUGCUUUGGUUGAAGAUAAGUGCUGUGGUAACAACGUAAUGUAAUUCAGAUCUAGCAAAUUUAAUGGAAUUAUUUAAAAUAGAGGGCAUUUCAGGGCUGCUUAUGAGGAGUUUGUCUCUCAAAGAAUUUCUGCUAACCUUUGAGGAUAAGGAGCUGUUGGAAGAGCUCAAGGAUAAAGGUUGGGAUUGGCUUAACAAAUGGUUUGCUAAGGUGGAAACAUAGUUAGAGAAUUUUUCAUCAAAACUCCUUAACAAGUGGGUGACUGCACAGGAUAUCCUUUUGAUGUGUGAAAUAGGCAUAUUAUAAAUUAUAAGCAUUUUAGGCCAAAUUCAUUAAAAGUGAUAUUCUAGACUAAGUUUUGGUUGUAGUGUCAUUCUCAAUCAUUUAAGUAAUUUAAAGACUUUGAAGAUCAUGCCUUAAAAUAGACAAGACUAAAGUUUUCAGGGUGUAUACCUCUGUUUUGGCGUGCACAUAUUCCUUUGUAUCUAUGAAGAAACCUGUAGUCAUCUUGGGACAUCCUUCUACUCUCAAAUCAUCCAAAGCUGAUAAUACAAAGUGAUAUCCCCUUGGGCAGAAGUCAACGAGGCUUGGCAGUUCUUCAAGUGAUAAACUGUAUAGUUGAUCAAACUUUAUCUCCUUUUCAGUUGUUGCUUCUGCUUCAUCUUCAAGUUCAAAUACUUGCUCCAAUUUAGAGUUCCCUUUAACCCAUAACGUAACAAGAUUUGGAAGACAACGAGCAGAUCCAAGAGGAAAGAGUCGUUUCAACUUUUUGCAAUAUAGAACAAAAAUUUUGGUCAAAUUAGGAAAGCUUAUAGGUUGGAGAUCACCAUCUGAUGAUGAACAAACUUGAUCCUCAGCAAUGAUUUGGUCCAAUUCAUCACAAUUUUGUAUUUCUAGAUUGACCAACCGUGAUAAACUUUGAGCAGUUGUAGGUGAAAAUAUGUAUCUUAGCCUCUUACAAUCAAUCACCUUCAAAAUUGUAAGGUUCUCAAGAGUUACAACCUGAGCGACAUCCUUCCAUAUAAUCCACUUUUCAGAUAAAUCCUCCAGGAGGAGUUUCUUUAUACGCCCAUGAACUUGGAAUACUUCUUCAUGACUCCCAACUGCUAUAUAUUCUUGAUUGCAGUUGGCUGAAAUACGCAAUUGAAAGCUAUUCACCAACAUAGAGAGAUAUAAUUCCUGCAAAUACAGACACCACUAAAUGUCACUGAAUAAGUUCCUUUUCUAUUAGAUUGGGAAUAGAUGAGCAAAUAUUACUCAUAAUUUUUUAGAUGCCGAUUCACAAAAAAUCCCUACAUUUUUAAUGAUAGGACAUUUAUAUGUUUCAAAAUUUAAAUCCAAAAUUUUCAUGAAAUGCUCUGAAAGUGGAAUCCAAAAACAUCUACCCUCUUUCAAGUUUUCUCUGUUAAUUUUUAAAAUAAAACCAUUUAUGGUUUUCCUUGUCUUGUGUUUUUUUCUUUGUCAUUUUUUCUUUAAGCAUGUUGUUUUGAAAAGUAUAGAUAAAGUGGUAAAGUGUUAAUUUUUUUUAAUUUACCUAAAUUACAUAAAAAAAACAUAAAAGAAACGAACCCCCCGGAAAGCCUAACUUUCUCAAUCUGUUUCUCUUGUCUGCAACAGAAAGUAGAAACACUUUGAAUAAAAAAAAAGGGAACUCAUGGCCAAGAAGAAAAAGAAAACUUAAAUUGAAGAAGAAAGAGAAAAUUCGAAUCAAAGAAAGCAAGAGAAACUAGAAUCGAAGAAGAAAAAGGAAGCUUGAACAAGAAAAAAAGCAAGAUUUGUCGUCGUGAAGAAAAAAUAUGAUGAACCUCAAUUCAGAAACAAGGACAAGGAAACCCCAAAGAUCCCCACAAACAAAUUAAAAUUUGUUUUUCAAAAUAAAUAGUAUAAAAUUUUUGUGCUGCAAUUUUAAAAUAUAAUUGGAUUAGUUUGUGAGUGUUGAAAAAAAGAUUUAGCUCAAAGGCAAAAUCCAAAACCAUAAUUGAAGGAAAAGUGUAUAAAGAAAUACCUCUAGCUGAAUUUGCUCAUUAACUUCUUUUUGAAUAGUGAAAUUUCUCAAUUUAGGACAGUUGCAAACUUUCAACUUCUCCAAGGAUGGUGAUGAGAUGAGAAAGUUUUCCGAACUCAAAUUUAUCAAGUUUACAAGUUGAAAAUCUUGUAGGCAAGGGAGUCCAAUGGCACGAUGAGUUGGCCUUUUCCAUAUGCUCUUCAAUGUUGGUAAUGACUGUAGCUCCAACCUUCUUAAAUUUGAGAGUGGUACUGCCUGAUUUACCUCACAUAAAAAAAAUAUAAAAUUUAUUAAUUAAUAAAUAAUGAAAAUGAAUUGUUUAUACUUGAUCUUAAUUACUGAGAAGAAAUACAUUUUGUUAAAAAAAAGUAGAAAGAAGUAUUAAAAGUUAAUAAUUUAGAAAGAUUAGAUAGUAAUUAUUUAUAUAUUUGAUAAUUCAAAAAAAAUCAUUAGAAAAACAAUAUACGAGACCAUUAUUAAAGGAAAAAUGAAGAGAUAAGAGGUACCUCUAGCUCAGCCAUCUCUUUGUCAAAAGCAAAGACUUGCUUUAAUUUUUUGCAUUAAGAUAUCUCAAGUGUUUCUAGAUGCAACAGACUUUGAACAAGGUAAGGUGAGAAGAUAGAUUUUAGUUUAUCACAACCAUCAAUUGUUACUUCCUUCAGACUUUGUAGCCUUACAUGAUGAGUUGGCCCUUUCCAUAUGCUCUCCAAUGCUGGUAAUGACUGCAAUUCCAACCUUCUUAAAUUUGAGAGUGGUACUGCCUGUUUUACCUCAUAUAAAGAAAAAUAUAAAAUUUAUUAAUUAAUAAAUAAUGAAAAUGAGUUCUUUAUACUUGAUCUUAAUUACUGAGAAGAAAUACAUUUUGUUAAAAAAAAGUAUUAAAAGUUAAUAAUUUAGAAAGAUUAGAUAGUAAUUAUUUAUAUAUUUGAUAAUUCAAAAAAAUCAUUAGAAAAACAAUAUACGAGAGCAUUAUUAAAAGAAAAAUGGAGAGAUAAGAGGUACCUCUAGCUCAGCCAUUUCUUUGUCAAAAGCAAAGACUUGCUCUAAUUUUUCGCAUUUAGAUAUCUCAAGUGUUUCUAGAUGCAACAGACUUUGAACAAGGUAAGGUGAGAAGAUAGAUUUCAGUUUAUCACAACCAUCAAUUGUUACUUCCUUCAGACUUUGUAGCCUUACAUGAUGAGUUGGCCCUUUCCAUAUGCUCUCCAAUGCUGGUAAUGACUGUAGUUUCAACCUUCUUAAAUUUGAGAGUGGUACUACCUGUUUUACCUCAUAUAAAGAAAAAUAUAAAAUUUAUUAAUUAAUAAAUAAUGAAAAUGAGUUCUUUAUACUUGAUCUUAAUUACUGAGUAGAAAUGCAUUUUGUUAAAAAAAAGUAAAAAGAAGUAUUAAAAGUUAAUAAUUUAGAAAGAUUAGAUAUUAAUUAUUUAUAUAUUUGAUAAUUCAAAAAAAUCAUUAGAAAAACAAUAUACGAGAGCAUUAUUAAAAGAAAAAUGGAGAGAUAAGAGGUACCUCUGGGUCAGCCAUUUCUUUGUCAAAAGCAAAGACUUGCUCUAAUUUUUCGCAUUUAGAUAUCUCGAGUGUUUCUAGAUGCAACAGACUUUGAACAAGGUAAGGUGAGAAGACAGAUUUUAGUUUAUCACAACUAUCAAUUGUUACUUCCUUCAGACUUUGUAACCUUAUAUGAUGAGUUGGCUCUUUCCAUAUAUUCUCUAAUGCUGGCAACGACAUCAACUUCAAACUUCUUAAAUUGGAGAUUGUGCGCGUCAGACUUUCUUCCUUUCCAAAAAGCCAAUUCAUUUGAAACACUGAUUGCAACUGCUUACAAUCGACAAUGCUCAAUGUUUCUAACUUUUCUAAGAAGCUAGUCGGUGAUUGACCAUGGCACAACUCUUUCAAAGAAGUCAUGAAUCUAAUGUGUAAGUUCACCAAAUUAGAGAAUGCAGUGGUUGGACUUUGUUCUCGUGUUGUAUCGAUCAAGCAUUCCAGAUGAGUGCAAAAUGAAAGCUCAAGAGAAGUUAAUUCCUUUAGUCCACGCUGAUCUACAUUUGGGACAAUAUUUUUGUAUUCCAUUGGGACUUGGGACAGAGUAAGAUCUUCAACAUUGCAAAACAGCUCCUUAAAUGCAUUUAAUGAGGAUGAGAAAUGCUUAAUUCUCAAGGUUCUCAAGCGCAGCCCCGCCAAAUCUUGAAUAUAGUCAUUUACAGCUAUAUUGUAGCUUUGUAGUUUAGGGAACACAAAGUUUUCCUGAGAACAUUGAUGAGUAGAAACUUUAAGUGUUAAUGCAGUCAAACCAAACAAAGAAUUCAGCUCCAAUAAGUUAGCAUUGUUUCUACUUGUCACGUGUAGCUCUUGGAGUGAGGCCAACCUGUUACAAAAAAAUACAAAAUGUUAUUAAUGCAAUAAUAGCACUUUCAACCGAAUGAUAAAAAUAGCAAGGUAAUGAAAUGAAUAAGAUAACAUUAACUUUUUUAUUUCUUCAUUCUUAAAGCUACUUUUGUACUACAGGUUGCAAUGUUUCAUAAUAAUAGGAGUGACUAAAAGCUCAUGCUAGAUAUAUAUAUAUGUUUGUGAUAGUCAAAAUCAAAUAAAGUAAAUAAUAAAAAAUAAAUAAUUUAAAAAUUAAAUACUUAAUUGAAAACAAUAAACUAAACAAUUUUACCUUGAUAGCAAGUUAAGGGGGAAAUAGCUUAACGACACUCCACUGUAAGAAAUAUAUAGUGAUUUUAGUUUAUGCAAUCCCACUAUUUCUUUUGGUGGCCCAUAAAUAUUAGUCUUUAGCAAUGCCAAAAUCUCAAGGUUUUCCACAUUCUUCAAUGAUGAGAUGUUCUCAAGCUCGCAAUUUAUAAUGCACAGAGUUCGAAGAUUUGUCAAGAAUUUAAGUGCUUCCAGUGUGAGUACAACAUCUUGGAGAAGUAAAACUCGGAGGGUUGUCAUUCUUUCAAAAAAGGCACACGAAACUCUCAAUGAAUUCUUUCCUUUGAAAAACAAAGUCUUGAGUUUUGAAAAUUCCACUUUGUUAGGAAGAUGAUUGAUCUCAAUGUUCCACAAGGAGAUUGCCGUAUAACAUCCAAACCUUUCACUCAUAUGCCAUUCCGUCAACCCAUCUUUUACCAUGAAUAUAUUUUCCCCUCUCGAUGUUAUCCAAUGAGCAAAAUCACGAAUCACAUCAUGCAUUUUUACAUGGUCUUUAUCAUUAGCUUCCAAUAAUAAACCAGACUUUUGGAGUUUUGAUAGUGCCAGAUGAAUUUCCCUCCUUAAGUCUUCCAUUAAGUAAAUAUUAUUGAACAAUCCCUGACCAAUUCCGCAUAUAAUCAACAAUUCAAUACUAAUCUCAUAAUCUUCUGGAAAAAGGGAACACAACAAGAAACAUUGCUUGAUAUUAUCUUGAUCCAAAUAAUCAUAACUAAGCUUAAGACAUCUAUAGAUAUGUCCACAAACAUGUUCAUUAUCCAAAUGUCUUGAGCUCUUGAGUCUUUUAUUUGCUGCUAUCCACGCAUCUAGACUUUCGCCUUUUAGAGCCUUUGCCACAGUUACAAUUGCAAGAGGCAAACAGCCACAUUCACGAGCAACCUCCUUCGCUACAUUCAAGGUGGGAGAGUCAUCUUUCAGACCAGCUUUAUCUUUGAAUAAAACCCAUGCUUCAUGUUCAGAUAAAAUGUUCAGCUUAAAUUCCUCUUCACAAUCCAUUUUACAACAAACUUGUUGAUCACGUGUAGUUAAAAGAAUUUUGCAACCCUCGUGUUCACCACCGAAUGGAAUUCCUAUAAUUUGCAAUUCAAGUUCCUUCCAAACAUCAUCGAGAAUUAUGAGAAUCUUAUUCUCGCCUUUUAAUCUUCGCCAUAACUCUUCUGCUUUUCCUUUUUCUGUACUGGCUUCAAAUUUUAAACCAAAGAGUUCUGCAAUCCUUGCCCGAAUUUCGUUGAGGUUUGGAGUUUGGGAUACUGUAACACUCACAACCUUAUCAAAAAGCUUUUGUUCUGUAGCUUGCUUCAGCACUACAUCCGCCAAAGUUGUUUUACCCACUCCUGGCAUGCCGUACAAUCCAAUUAUUGUCACACCAUCACUUUUUAAAGCCUUCAUGAUUCCAUUGAAAGCUAACAUUGAAGAUUCAGAACGCAUGAAAUCCUUGGGUAGUAAGAGCUCUAUUCCUUGAAGAGGAGGACGAUGGCCAACUCGUGGAAAGUUACAAACCUCUAAAAGUUUAGAGAUAGAAAGUGUCUUCUUCGCUACUUUCUUGCUUAAGCAGUAUCGCCAGCCGCAACUAGGACACCAAUUGAAACACUUGUUACGUUCUAUUUCUUCUUCCAAACUCUGAGCUUCAUCCAAUUCUUUCUCUGCCUUUGUUAGCCACUCCUCAACGCCCUUCUUAAUUACCUCAGUUUGCCUUAAAGCCUCAUCGACAGCAUCUUUCACCUCAUCUCUUUUUGAUUUAAGUUCAUUUCGCCGGUUCUUGAAAUCUUCAACAAUUUUGCCAAAACGAAAAAAGUAGCCAACAUAAGGUGAUGCGUAUUCUGUUGCCAGGUUCCCAACGCAAUUGGCAAUAGCAGAGGUAACACAAUCAAGAGCCAUUCUUUGAUGAUCUGAGACUCAAACAAUUUGGAAAAGUAAAAAGUAUUGCAAAUAUCUCUCAAGCUGAUUAAGAUGAAAGAAUUACUUAAUUUGAAAACAGAAAACAAAUAAACCAAAGAAGAAAAAGAUGAAGAUUUACGUACCAAGGAAAUCUACAGAUGAACUUUCAGGAGCCAAGACGGAGCAGCUUCUAUUUUGAUCUAACCAAGCUCACCAACUCGGUGAAGGUUUUUUUUUUUUUUUUUAAAGUUCAAAGAAAACUGAAGCAGAAAUGAACUUUGCACUGCAACAAUCAGAAGAUCAAGGAAUUAAAAAAAAACAGACUUUCACUUAUCAUCUUUUUAGUUCUGCUUCUGUUACAAAUGAACAAAGGAAACCAGAAAAAGCAAAGUAAACAGAGCACUCUUAAGGCAAGAAUUUUUUUUUUUUAAAGUAUCGCCUUUCUUUCCCUAAAGCAAAGAGGUGAGCUUACAAAAAAGAAAUUAAUAGUGGAGAAGGUACUGAAAUCUUUUCUUGGAACUUACCUCUGUAUUCUCAACAAUUGAAUGUGAAAGGGUAAGAGACAAACACAAAGUUUCUAGCUCUCUUCUUCACACAAAUGCCAUGGGUGGAGUGUAACUGUAUAAGAUCAAAAGAGUUAAUUUGGACAUAGAAAAUAAUUAAGUGCCAAUUUUGCAGGUAAAGUUUGCAAAUGUAUACUCAAUUGCAAAAACCAAGACAAAAAUAAGCCAUGGAAGAAAAUGAUGCACAUGUAUACCAAUGAAAGAUGAAGUUUAAGGAGCCAAAGCCAAGCUUUUCUAUAUUGGUCGAAGAAAACUUAAGUAGAAAUUAAGUUUGUACUACAAUAACAAAAGGCCACUCGCAGAGGGAAUUAAGAAACAACAAACAUUUGUCAACCUAAGAUCAAAAGAACAACUUAAUUUGAAAACAGAAAAUAUGUGUCAAUGCAUCUAAACCUGCAAAUAUCUAUUCUCAAAUCUAAAACCACAGAAGAAAAGGAUGAACAUUUACAUACCAAAGGAAAUAUACAUGAACUUUGAGGUGGCAAGACGGAGCUUCUAUUUUGAUCCAGCCAAAAUAUAUCACAGACACUGACAAAGUCGGUGAAGUUUUUUUCCUUUUUUUUUUUUUUGAGUUCAAAGAAAACUGUAGUAGAUAUAAUAAACUUUUGCACUGCAAUGAUCAGAAGGCUAGGAAAUUAAAAAAACAAAAAGACUUUCACUUAUCUUCUUUAGAAUGCAUGCAGAUUAUAAUUCUGCUUCUGAUAAGAAAAGCAGUAGGUGAACAUAGAAAGUAGAAACUCUUAAGGCAAAGACUUGUUUUCUUUGGAAUCUCUUUUUCUUUUUAUUGUUACUAUUUUUUUCUUGUUCAAAUGCUAAGCGAAGACAAGUGCCCAACGUCUUUUGCCUUAUCAUUGACUAAUUCUCUCUCAGACGGAUUAGAAAAGAAAAAGAGAAAAGGACGGAGUCAUGGAGAUGCUCUGCUGGUUGGCUUUCCAGGAAGGGUUAUGGAAAGAGGAUGGGACUUGCGAGGAUGUUAGUGUAUAGAAUAUUUUUGAAUGAAAAACAUGAACUCAGUGUUAUUUAUGAUUAUUUUGUAAUUGAGCAUUACUUGGUAAAUUCUCUUUUUAUAAUGACUAAUGACCUACUUUUCAAAAGCUUAGCCUGCCCAAAUCUUUUAAGUUGGACGUAGCAAAUAAUUUAGUUUUAAUCUUGGGUGUAAAGUUUGCAGAUGUAUACUCAAAUGCAAAAACCAAGAGCCAUAGAAGAAAAUGAUGCACAUAUAUUUUGGAUGAAUUACAAUAAUCAAAGAAACAAGUGGAAAUCAAGUUUGCACUACAAUAAUCAGAAGCCCAAUGGCAGAGGUGAUUAAGCAACAACAGUUUAUUCUUCUUCGGCUAGCGAAAACACUUGAAUACAGGAGAGAAAAUUUUGAAUACAUGAUGUGAUCCUUCUAUUAUUGUCCUUUCUAUUUUUGUCAUUUUGCAAUCAUUUUUCCCUUGAGAUCCAUUUAUUUCUCACCGACUUGCUUCCUCUGUUUAAUGGCUUUCAUGGAAAAAUACUUUACCAUAUAUAGUACAAGGGAAGAGAGCUUCCCGGAGCUUUCAUAUAGAUUUUUGUCCCUUUUAUUUACUCCAAUUCCCCCUUUAAUGGUUACUUACUCCCUAUUGAUGAAAAGACGAGACAGACUCACGGCUUUUUCUCUGUCAUUGAUGCUUAGUUAGAAUGACUAAUGGAUGGCUUCCAAUUAUGUUGCCUAUUUUCGUAAUUUUCUGAUCUACCUGGUUGGUUUAAUGGAUUUCAUGUUAAAACACUUGCACUAUUUAUUUUAUUGUUGAGCUUAACUUUUGUGAUCAAAUUAUGCCCCCAAUGGAUUUAAAAAUAUUAUUUGAUGAAUGUACAAAAAUAGGUAGCGAUGAACAUAUAGCAUGUUACUAUUGACUACUGAGAUUGUAAUCAAUUAUUGUGAUAAAAUAUUAUAACUGAAAACGAACGGACAAUAAUCUGAAAAGCCAGUAGUUUCAACCGAAUGAUAAAAUAUUACAAACAAACAAAUAGCAAAAUAUUACAAACAAAUACAAAAUGUUAUUAAUGCAAUAAUAGCACUUUCAACCGAAUGAUAAAAGUAGCAAGGUAAUGAAAUGAAUAAGAUAACAUAAACUUUUUUAUUUCUUCAUUCUUAAAGCUACUUUUAUACUACGGGUUGCAAUGUUUCAUAAUAAUAGGAGUGACCAAAAGCUCAUGCUAGAUAUAUAUAUGUUUGUGAUAGUCAAAAUCAAAUAAAGUAAAUAAAAAGAAAAAAGAUAAAAUAAAUUAUUUAAAAAUUAAAUACUUAAUUGAAAACAAUAAAAUAAACAGUUUUACCUUGAUAGCAAGUUAAGGGGAAAUAGCUUAACCGCACUCUACUGUAAGAAAUAUAUAGUGAUUUUAGUUUAUGCAAUCCCACUAUUUCUUUUGGUGGCCCAUAAAUAUUAGUCUUCAGCAAUGCCAAAAUCUCAAGGUUUUCCACAUUCCUCAAUGAUGAGAUGUUCUCAAGCUCGCAAUUUAUAAUGCAUAGAGUUCAAAGAUUUGUCAAGAAUUGAAGUGCUUCCAGUGUGAGUACAACAUCUUGAAGAAGUAAAACUCGGAGGGUUGUCAUUCUUUCAAAAAAUCCACACGAAACUCUCAAUGAAAUCUUUAUUUUGAAAAACAAAGUCCUGAGUUUUGAAAAUUUCACUUUAUUAAGAAGAUGAUUGAUUUCAAUGUUCUAUAAGGAGAUUGCUGUAUAACAUCCAAACCUUUCACUCAUAGGCCAUUCCAUCAACCCAUCUUUUACCAUGAAUAUAUUUUCCCCUCUGGAUGUUAUCCAAUGAGCAAAAUCACGAAUCACAUCAUGCAUUUUUACAUGCUCUUUAUCAUUAGCUUCCAAUAAUAAACCAGACUUUUGGAGUUUUGAUAGUGCUAGAUGAAUUUCCCUCCUUAAGUCUUCCAUUAAGUAAUUAUUAUUGAACAAUUCCUGACCAAUUCCACAUAUAGUUAACAACUCAACACUAAUCUCAUAAUCUUCUGGAAAAAGGGAACACAACAAGAAACAUGACUGGAUAUUGUCUUCCUUCAAAUAAUCAUAACUAAGCUUAAGGCAGCUAUAGAUACCUCCGCAAACAUCUUGAUUAUCCAAAUGUCUUGAGCUUUUGAGUCGUCUAUUUGCUGCUAUCCAUCCAUCUAGAUUUUCACCUUUUAGAGCGUUUGCCACAGUUACAAUUGCAAGGGGCAAACCGCCACAUUCAUGAGCAACCUCUUGUGCUACAUUCAAGGUGGAAGAGUCAUCUUUUAGAGCAGCUUUAUCUUUGAAUAAAGCCCAUGCUUCAUCUUCAGAUAGAAUGCUCAGUUUAAAUUCCUUUUAACAAUCCAUUUGACUGCAGACUUGUUGAAGACGUGCAGUGAGAAGAAUUUUGCAACCUUCGUGUUCACCACCAAAUGGAAUUCCUAUAGUCUGCAAUUCAAGUUUUUUCCAAACAUCAUCGAGAAUUAUGAGAAUCUUCUUCUCGCCUUUUAAUCUCCGCCAUAACUCUUCUGCUUUUCCUUUUUCUGUUCUGGCUUCAAAUUUUAAAUCAAAGAGUUCUGCAAUCCUUUCUCUCUCGAAUUUCGUUGAAGUUUGGAGUUUGGGACACUGUAACACUCAAGUAGAAAUCAAGUUUGUACUGCAAUAACCAGAAGCCCACUAGAAGAGGGAAUUAAGAAACAACAAAUAUCUAUUCAAAUAUCCAAGAUGAAAAGAAUAACUUAAUUUGAAAAUAGAAAAUAUGUGUCAAAGCAUCUAAACUUUCAAAUAUCUAUUCAAAUGUAAAACCAAGACAAAUAAACCGCAGAAGAAGAGGAUGAACAUUUACAUAACGAAGGAAAUAUACAUGAACUUUGAGGAGUCAUGGAGAUGACUAAUCAUUGACUAGUUCUCUCUCAGACAGAUUAGAAAAGAAAAAAAGAGAAAAAAGAAAAGGAUGGAGUCAUGGAGAUGCGCUGCUAAGGACCCUGCUGUUUGGCUUUCCAGAAAGUGUUAUGAAAGAGGAUGGAAAUCUAUCUUCUUGGUUUAGUUUCUUUUAUCCUUUGCUUUCAUGAUCUUAUCUUUUACUAUUUUAUAAGCUUUUGAAUAUUAAAAGUUAUGAAUGAAAUAAUUUUUACAAAUAAUUCUAAAUUUGUUAUAAAUAAUUCUAAAUUUGUGGAGAGUAAUUGAUAGAAGUGGCCAUUUUUUAUGGAAUUCAAGGAAAGUGACUUCACAACUUCUAUCAUGACUUUGCAUUGACUUAUGCUAAUGAAGCAUAGUAUUCUCUAAACCAAAUUCACCAUCAUUUUAAAAGCAAGUUCACACCUUCAAUUCAAUUUUUUUUUUGGUCUUACGUCUCCUUUUCUUAAUCAGUAUUUUCCUGGUGUUAUGCAUUCUCGCUGUCAUUUCCUGUCUUCUUUUUGCUUACCCUUCUAUUUUGCUUCAAACAAAUUUUUUUUUUUCAAUUUGUCGUUAAUUAAGAGGAUAAAGAUUGCCAAUGGGACAUAGACAGCAUUGCUAUCAAAGCUUUUCAAUUAUUGAUCUGAUCUCUUUAUUAUUGUCUUUUAGAUUUUUGUCAUUUUGCAAUCAUUUUUCCCUUGGAGGUCCAUUUAUUUCUGAGUUUCUUGCUAGGUCGGUUUAAUGGCUUUCAUGGAAAAAUACUUGCACUUUAUAUUUUAUUUUUUGGACUAAAUUCUGUGUUUAAGGGAUUGAAGCUUUACACUUUGUUUAACACAAGAAAAAAUGCCGAAACACAUUAAAUGAUUCAUAUAGUGCAAGGAUCACGUUUUGCUUGGGGAGAAGUAGAGGUUCAAGGUACAUCUCUACUUUUUGAACAAUCAUUUACGGAUCGUUAGGAAUGUUUUCCUACAUGGCUGAUAAUCUAAUACAAGAAAGAAGAUCAUCUAAGACUAAUUUGUUCUAAUCAAAACUAUUUUGAGUUAAUUUCCACUAGAAAAAUUAAGAGCUUCAAGGAGAAACCUGACCCAUCAAACUUGAUUUGGAUUCAAAAAUGGUUUGGAAUUGAUCAGUGUAUUAAUAUAUUAUAAGCUGUUAUGAAAAUUGUGCAAAAAAUAAUAAAGAUAAAACUCAGAGAAAUCAAGCAAAUAGAAAAACAUAAGAAUUUAUGUGGUUUGCCUUCUUGCUUAUGUCCAUGGAGUAAAACCGUUCUUCUAUUAUUGAGAAAUUAAAGUACAAUAAAUUAACUUCUAUGGUUUCUCAAACCAACCCAAGAUCCCUUGCACACCAUUUUUCAAUAACUUCCUAAGAACACUCACCCAAACCACUUUAGCUCCACCUAGAACAAAAGACAGAGUUACAAGGUGUUUCCUCCCUAGAGCUCUUAAAGCACUACUCACUAUUUUAAAGCCUAGAAAUCCACCUUUAUAAUAUAGAAAUCAAAAGUAUAAUAGGAUUAGGACUCAAUGUGGAAUAAAAAGUUUAAAACCAUACAACUACUCAAUGUUGUACACAAAUAAAAAUCCUAAUCAAAUAAGAUUUAGAAUUCUAGGGAACCUAAAACUCAAAAAAUCUCCACCUUUGACUUGAAUUCAAACUCCUUAAGUCUCUUCCGCUAGUUGCACCCAAUUGUAACUUUCUAACUCCACCUACUUUCCAACACUUUGAACAACUCUCCAAGAACAAGACUUUCCAAACCACCAGCCUUCAAAAUUAUCACAACUACACAUACCAAAUCAAGCAUGGUCCAACACUCGAUUCUAUAGAACGACCAAUGCACCUAUGUAGUCGUCAAGUCAAUGACAGUAAUUGACUUCAGAAAGGAUCUCGACAACCCUUCUAAUUCACUAUUGACAAGAUUUUUCAUCCUUUCACCAUCGUCUACACCAUGGGAAACUUUCAUCACCUCCUCAGCAAAUGAAACUCAUUUUGGUAGCUACCAUCUUCUAUGCACUGUUCUCAUCCCUUCGAGGCCUCAUAUUCUAGACGAUGCAAACCAUUAUGUAAAUUCACCCUCAUCAGGACCAUGUCGUCUUGUGUCACUUUUACCAUCCCAUCAAAAGUAGAAUAUCCAUACCUUUAUGAGUGUAACAAGCUCAAUGAUAUUAGAUUCUUAAACAUCCUUGGGAUAUAGGCCACGCCAUCCAAUGAGUGCAUGACCCUAUCAAACAUUUUGAUAUUCACCACUCCAAGACAAAUGACCUUCACUAUUAACUUAUUGUCCAAAGUCAAAUUCCCAGCUACCCCUUCUUGAAGUAAAUCAAAAUAAUCCUUUUGAUAGCAGAUAUGAGUGCCUAAAGCAAAAUCUAAAUACCAAUAAAAAUUUGCAUCCAUAUUUCUUGAGAUUACAAGGACAUUACAAUCAUCACCUUCAACAACGAAAGCACACUCACCUUUGUUCUCGUCACUUUCAUCCCCUUUUGUAAGAAAAUCCCUUUUAAUAUGUCUAUACCCUUUACAUUGAAAGCACUGAACAUUGCUGGAUCUAGACUUGCCACCUUUAAAUCCCAUGCCAAUUGAUUUACUCCUAUGAACCUCAGUUACCAAUGCCAAGCCACUUGAAUCUCUAUCCCUUUUCUUAUUUUUUUUUCGAGCUUCACAAGACAUUAAUAUUGCUUGUGCUUGUUCUAUCGUUAUUGUAUCUAUCACACAUAUAAAAGAUUCCACAAAUACCUCAUAUGAGUCUGGGAUUGAUACUAGGGACAAUAGUGUGUUUUCCUCUUCCUCCACCUUCACAUUAACCUUAUUCAACUGAUUAAUGAUCCCAUCGAAUUCAUUCAUAUGCUUCAUGAGAUCUCUAUUCUCCUCCAUCUUUAAGCUAUACAACUUUUGCCUAAACUGCAACUUGUUGGAAAUACUUUUCACCAAGAAAAUCUUCUCCAACUUUGGCCACAAUCUUGGAGCAGAAUCCUCAUCAAUAAUAUGGCUAAACACAUUAUCUUCAAUGCAAAGUCGAAUAGUGCUCACACACUUUGCUCCAACUCUGCUUAUUCAACACCUUUCAUGUCAUCUAGUUACCCUUCCUCUUUUCCUAGAAAGGGGUGCAUCAAACCUUGCUGUAUAAGAAGAUCUUUCAUUUUUCUCUGCCACUGUGUGAAACUAGUCUUCCCAUCAAACUCGAUUGAAAAUUUACAGAACUAGUAACUUUUGACAUCCUUAUUGAAUCUUCAAUUUAUUGAACCCAAAGCUCUGAUACCAGUUUGUUAUAAAAAUUGCCCAAAAAAUGAUAAAGAUAAAACCUAGAGAAAUCGAGCAAAUAGAAAAACACAAAAAUUUACUUGGUUCGGCUUCUUGCUUAUGUCCAUGGAGUGAAACUGUUAUUCUAUUAUUGAGAAAUUAAAGUGCAAUCAAUAGACCACUAUGGUUUCCCAAACCAACCCAAGAUCCCUUGCACACUCUUUCUCAAUAACCUCCUAUGAACACUCAUCCAAACCUCUUUAACUCCACCAAAACAAAAGACAAAGUUAUAACGUGUUCCCUCCCUAGAGCUCUUAAAGCACUACUCACUAUUCUAAGGUAUAGAGACCUACUUUUAUAAUAUAAAAGUCCAAAGUAGAAUGAGAAUAUGACUCGAUGUGCAACAAGAAAUUUAAAACCAUACAACUAUUCAAUGAUGUACACAAACAAAAAUUCUAAUCAAAUAAAAUUUGAAAUUCUAGUCAACCUAAAACUCAACAUAAACAACUUUAAUAACCAAGGCUAAUGUGACAAAUUCUAUGCAAUAAUAAAGUUUACACAAUCUCUCCUUAGAAUUUUAUUCUUUUUCUUUAUCAAAAAAUAUGCCUCCUCCUGAUCCUUGUAUCUGUAACAUUAUUUGAUUGGGAGGGUAAAAGAAAAUGAAUCCCCAAUUUUCCCCUUCCUUCUUCUCUUCCCCGUAGAACAUGUGAUAGUGGUUCUACAUUCAGAAAAGCUAAGCUAAAAAUUUUUAAAAAACCAUUUGGAGAUAACACACUUUAUUAUGGAUAUCUCCAUUUUCACUUGUUUCUUUUGAGAAAAGAAAAUUUUUUAGUUGUAUUUAAGAGAGUCUUGUCAGUUGUUUUUCUCCUUGUCAAUUCUUUUGCUUUCAUCUUGAAAGAAUUGAAUCCAACACGAAAGCUCACUUUAACCAAAAAGGGAGAUAUCCGGAGCUUUUUCACAAAUUUUUGAAGAAGUAUUUUGAUUAAUUCUCUCCCGAAAAAAAAAAAGAAGGAAGAUUCUCUGUUAAAGGAAAUUUUAAUUAAUGCAAAAUUAGCUUCAUGUUUGUGAUCUUAAACAUAAUAACAUUUUUUCCAUAAAAUUUAUAAAUCAAUUGAAAACAAAAAAGAAGAAGAAAAGAUCAGCAAGCUUCCUUUGGAUUACUUUAACGAAGCAUAAAUUUCUUUGGGUUUGGGGUAGUUAUGACGUGCUAAAGGUUCUCUGAGAUUUCAUUUUUCUCUGUACAGCACAGAUCUUAGGUUAAGAGUAGAGAGCUUACUUUUGUUUCUUGCUCAGCUUAGGGAAGGAACUGCUACCAUUUUCGCCAGGCAGUUCUCUUGCUAUUUUGUACUUCCCUUAUGCACAAGCCUCUUUAUUAUGCCGACGAAAGUCUUUAGCAAAGUGUCGAAGACUUUGGAUGGUACGAAGACUUGCUGUUAAUAAAACCAUUUUUCAAGAAAAAAAACGAAACAUAAAUUUUCCUUAAACAAAAUUGAUCAUGAAAGAACAGACGUUGAAAAACAUAAUCAUGGGAUGAUCAUGAAUUCCAAAACUGAUGAUGAUUUGUAUUUUUUUUCCUUUCUCUUUUUUAUUAUUUUUAUUUUUUUCCAUCUUUUCCAUUUUUUUAAUUUUAAUUUAUAUAUAUUUUUUUUCUUAAUUUUUUUCUUUGUUUUUCUUUACACAAAAAAACAAAGUUUCUAUUAAAAAAACUUAACACAUCAUACAUCGAGAGACCACGUGAAACGUAAACUUACUCACAACAAGAAAAUCAUUCCUCUCUUUUGUAUAAUUUCUUGAUGCUAUGAACAUCUAAAUUUACCCUUUGUUUGAAUAAACGUGGAAGCCAUCGACACAACUCUGCAAAUCCAGGAGGAAAACACGUUCAUUAGAUUUUCUUAAAUUAAUUCAGGAUUGGGCGGAACACAAUGGAUCAAAAGAGAAUUGAAAAUAAGAGGAAAAAUAAGAAAAGAAAAACUGGAUAUGCAACGCAACACAAAUGAAGAGAAAAAUCAGAACAAAAAAUACUUAUGAAUGGAUGUGGAAACUCAUAAGUGAAAAGAAAGGAAAAUCAAAAUGCUCAGUUAAAUUGAAGUACCAGAAGAUUGGAGCAUUUUCGUCAAUGUUAGUGUUUGGUUAGUACAGUAAUAGUUUAUCCAAAAGGUUAAUCUUCACCUGUGAAAAGCGCAGUAAUUUUAAGCAACUGUUCUUUUUAUGGAAAUUAUUGGUUUUCUAAUAAUGAGCAAUGAUGUACCUCAUUGUUGCCUGGCUAAGUCAUAAUGGACAAACUCUAGUGAACAAAAAAUUCUUCCCGCGGCAGCUUUCUAGUUCAUACACAUGGUGCAGUGAUGGGUGUUGUUUCUUGGGCUGGAAAUGACUUUUAUGUAUGGGAUGAAUAGAAUAUAACACCUCCAACUUUCAUAUUCAAACACUGAACAAAUAAUGGAACAAAAUCAAAAUUCACAUUUUGCUUAAGAAAAAGAAAAAUAAAGGAAAGAAAGAGAAGUCAAUUUGGAUUUGGAUAACUUAUGGUUAUGAUGAUUUAGGGAGUGUCACUAACAAAUCUUUUCUCGAUCCGAUUGAUGGGCCAGAAGAAACCAAAAGAGAGAAAAGGAUGGAGUCAUGGAGAUGCUCUGUUAAGGUCCCUUGGUUGGCUUUCCAGGAAGUGUUAUGGCAAGAGGAUGGGACUUGCGAGGCUGUAAAUGUAUAGGAAAUUUUCCAACUAACCACAAUUGUUCAAAUUCUGCUUCAAAUCUUUUUUAUUUUUAUUAUUUUCUUUUUUGUGCUCCUACCAUUUGAGAAGAAAAUUGAUCCAUUAUUAUGAAGACUUCCUUGUUUAAUCUUGUCAUCACUUAACAAUUUAUUUAAUCUUUUUUAUUGAAGCAUAUUUAUAAUAUAUUGCCCUUGUUUAAAUUACAUAGACAUCAAUAACUUAAAUUAUUCUAGAUAUGAUUGUGUAAGAAAAUUCAUAAUUAAGGAAAGCUUGUAGGAACCUGUUGGAAUGCCUAAUUAAUGAAAUUCAUCAUCAAGUCCUAAAAAGCAUAACUAGCUUUUUGACCACGCUUGUCAUUGGAAAAAUAGGAAAGCCCAAGAAAUGAUGAGUGUACAAAUAAUGAAAUACACAUUUUAUUUAAAUAAAAAAAGAAGAAUCGAAGAAAGGAAGGUCGAUAGACCAAUUUGGAUUUGGAUGACUUAUAGUUAUGAUAACUUUUCUGCAUUGAGAAACACGGUUCAAUAAGUGAUUUAUACUUAUAGUUAUGAUUUGGAUUUGGAUAGGCCAAUAAGUGAGCAACACGGUUCAAUCUCCCUGGGCAUUGAGAAACUUUUCUGCAAUUCACCUUCUCCAUAUAAUCAACGCAAUCUUGGUAGAUAUUUCCUAAAGCACUAGAAAAUUUCUUCUCAUUUAGCUUUUUCACCACUGUUACGUUGUCUAACUCCACCUCUGUUAUUCCCAUAUUUUCUCUACAGAAUAUCAUUAAUGACCGAAGUAGGGACUAUAACUCUACAUCCUCAAUCUUACCACCAAAAUUAAACUUUGCUGUACCUGCCAAAAUCAUUUCACCAUAAGCAUCACGCAGGACAAAUCCUACUCCUAUCAUUGUAACGCCACUAUUGACAAAGAUCGCAACAUCAGUGUUUAAUUUAUUUCUUGCAGCUCUUCUCCAGUGAUCACAAGUUCCUGUUACCAUUUCUUCAUUAAUACCACCCGGCUUGUUGGCACUUCGAAAUUCCCUGCAAAUGUCACACCCCAUCUCCACAACAGUCAUGGGAUCCAAUUUCUACGGUUAGAAAUCCAGCAAAUUCCUAGCCUUUCAUAAAGCCCAUAAUACACAACUUAUUUCUUCUGCAUCCAGUAUUUCAACAAUCAAUACAAACCAAAUUAUCCAAUCAGCAGCCGAAUCAAAAUGGUCUUUGACACCCCGAAAUCCCCACUUAGAAUAAAGCCAAGCAGCUCUUGCAUAUUGACAAUAGCACAAGCAGUGAAAAUCUGUUUCUACUUUCUCCACACAGAAGGGACAUGAUGUUUCCGCAUUAAGAUAGGUGAAAUUCCUUUAAUAGCUUUCCAUGUAAAUAAAAUAUUUUUCCUAAGAAAGGUUCCAUAGCUUCUUCCAGACGGUCACGAAAUUUCCAUAGCUUCAUAGGUAAAAACACUUGAAUAUAGAAAUUUUUGAAUAAUUGAUGUGAUCCCUCAAUUAUUGUCCUUUUCUAUUUUUGUCAUUUUGCAAUCAUUUUCCCUUGAGAUCCAUUUAUUUCUCAGCUACUUGCUUGCUCUGUUUAAAGGCUUUCAUGGAAAAAUACUUUACCAUAUAUAGGACAAGGGAAGGGAGAUUUCCGGAGCUUUCGUAUAGAUUUUUUUCUCUUUUUACUAGUGGGACAUGGAAUCAGGAGCACUUCUUUUAUCAGUUUGUGAAGAAAAAUGAUAAAUUAAUAUGAAGACUAGCUUUGUUUAAUUUAGUCAUCACUUCACAAUUUGUUUAAACUUUUUUACUGAAGCAUAUUUACAGUACAUUGCCCCUGUUAAAUUACAUAACCAUCAGUAACUUAAAUUUUAAACAAAUUUUGCAAUCAUUUUUCCCUUGGAGGUCCACUUGUUUCUUAGCUUCUUGCUUGGUCGGUUUAAUGGCUUCCAUGGAAAAAUACUUGCGCUUUUUAUAUUAAUUUUUUGGAUUAAAUUCUGUGUUUAAGGGAUCGAAGCUUUACACUUUGUUUAACACAAGGAAAAAUGGCGAAACACGUCAAAUGAUUCAUAUAGUGCAAGGAUCAUGUUUUCCUUGGAGAGAAGUAGAGGGUCAAGGUACAUCUCUACUGUUUGAACUAUCAUUUACAGAUCCUUAGGUACGUUUUCCUCCAUGGUUGGUAAUCUAAUACAAGAAAGAAGAUCAUCUAAGCCUAAUUUGUUCUAAUCAAAACUAUUUUGAAUUAAUUUCCACUAAAAAAAGUAAGAGCUUCAAGGAAUAACCUGACCCAUCAAACUUGAUUUGGAUUAAAAAAUGAGACAGAAUUGAUCAGUGUAUUAAUAUAUUAUAAUCAACAUUAAAAACCAAGGCUAAUGUGACAAAUUCUAUGCAAUAAUAAAGUUCACACAAUCUCUCCUUAGAAUUUUACUCUUUUUCUUUAUCAGAAAAUCAUGUCUCCUCCUGGUCCCUGUAUCUAUCUCAUUAUUUGAUUGGGAGGGUAAAAGAAAAUGAAUCCCCAUUUCUCCCGUUCCUUCUCCUCUUCCCCAUAGAACAUGUGAUAGUUGGUCUACACUCUGAAAAAUUAUCUGUAAAUGUGGUUGGUUUUACCUUGUUCCCAAUCCCACCUGAAUUGCAGGGUAGUUAUAGGUAUUAGGACUAUUCUUGACUCUUGUCUUAAUCGAAAUGAGUCUAACGUAGAAAUCAACUUUACUAGAGUAAAAGGGAGAUUCUCCGAGCUUUCUCCGAGUUUUCUGAUUCCUUGAAUCGAACACAUUAUUACUGUCUCCAUUAAUGGAGAGUUUAAUGUCUUUGAAGAAGAAUUAUUGACUUAUUUUCUCUUGAAGAAAAAAAAAAGGGAGAUGCUUUGUUAAAGGAAAUUCUAACUAAUGUAAAAUUGAUUUUAUGUUUGUGACCCUAAAGAUAAUAAUAUCUUCUCUAUGAGAUUUUAAAAAAUCGAAUUACUUUAAUGAAGUAUAAAUUUUCCCUAAACAAAGUUUACCAUUAUUAAGAAGGCAAUUAAGUUUACGCCUUUAUCAAUUUUCUGGGUGCUCCUACACAAAUGAUUGUUAUUAUUAUUCUCACAAAGCAUAAAUGGGACAUAUAUGGAAUCAUUUAUGCACUCUUGAAUUAUUGAUCCCAUUAGAUGACCCAAUUUGUUUUAUCAUCUAUGUAUUUAUAAUAAUUAUAAGCUCCUUUUUAUAGAUAUUUAUGUUUCAAAUCCCUGUGACCAAUUGAAACUACAGAGAAAAAGUUCCAGCAAAAACUUCUUUCCUUUUUUUCUUAUUCAAGUUCAUAUCAUUAGUGGAGGACAAGGGCCCAAACAUCUUUUGCCUUAAGGAACUACUGGCCUCAUUUUUCCUUUCCUUUCUUUUUUGAAAUUGUAAACUUUGUGAUGCGCUGGACAUAUAUAAACACCACUUUCCCUCUGAGUUAAAGAUACUUUAGAACAAAGAAUUGAAUGACGAUGAAAAAAAAAAAUAAGGGUCCAAUCGGCGGUGGCGGAACCGGUGGAGUGCUGCUGCAUCUGACUGGGCGUAGGGACGGGUCGCGGAGCCCAAUCAGAAGGUGGAGGAACCGGCUGACCUAACUGUUGCUGUUGUUGUUGCAUCAUCAUCCACGGCUGCGACUGCGGUUGCUGCUGAUACUGCUGGGUUUGAGACUGAUCAGCUGCCAUGGACUGCGGCGGAGCUACACCUCCUGCUGGUGGUUGUUGCAUCAUACUCUAUAGAUAAGACAGCGGGUAGAGAAUCGAGAGAUCUCAGAGAGAAGGGGAAACCCUAGGUCGAAAUUGAAAUUCUAUAAAGGAAGCAAUUUUUUUUUACGGAGCAGAGGAUGCUUGUCGGGGUGACACGUGGAGAAGAGGAAUUGGGUGGGAGUAAUGGGCUUUUUGAUAUGGUAAAUCGGGUGUUGGUCUUGGAAUGGGCUUAGAUUAGGUUAAAAUUCUGCACUUUUGUUAAUAAAAAAAGUUUUAAAAAGGAAUUUUUAUAGACAAUUGAAAUUUGGUCUUAAUAACAAUAGGAAAAAUUUUAAAAAAUUAAAGUAAUUAAAUAGAAUUGAAAUUUUAAAAUUUAUUAAUAUAAUUUGAUGGUAUAAAAAUUAAUUAUAAUUUUGUUUUUUUUCUCUUAUAAAUUUGAUGACUUAUAAUUAUGAUGAUUUAAAGGAUGCCACUAAUAAAACUUUUCUUAAUCUAUUAGAUGGGAAAAUUUGUUUUAUCAUCCCCUUCUGUCUCAUUAUCUUUGUUCUUUAUUGAUUUUUUGGUUGAAGAAACUCAACUUUGAUCAUUCUUUUAAUAACAUCGUGAAGUUAUAAAUUUUUUUGAAAAUAAGAAUUGCAAAUUUUGAAUUUUAAACUUUUCCAAAAUUUUUUUUGAAUUUUUAAUUUUAUGUAAUAUUUUAAAAUAAUAAUCAAAUUGAGUUCAUUAAUUUGACUAAAAAAAUUAAAUAGAUAUAAACAAAAUGGGAUGGAGAUAGCAUGUAUUUGUAAAGUUCCCUUUUAUGAAUAUUUUUGCUUUUUAGUUUUUGCAAAAAAUGAAUAGAAAAAAAAGGCAAAAUAGAUAGAAAAUAAAAUAUAAAUAGCAAAACAAAAAAAAAAGAGACAAAGAUAAAAGCAUCAAGCUGGUAUGAAAUCUUAAAAAAUAAUCUUGUAAUGUGGAUAAUUAUCAAAAUGAAAUGUAUGAUACAGUUAGAAAUAAUUCUAAGUGCAUGUAGAAAUGAUCCAAUCCCUUCUAAUAAUUCUUAUUGUAAGCAUUAUCUAUUGAGCUUGUAUAUGGAAAUUAAAGUUUAAUUUUCCAUGUCUUAAUUUAAAAUACAAAAAUAAUGAUAAGAAAUAGAAGAAUUUUAGGCUUGUUUUUCUACUUAUUGUACAUAUGGAGAGUAACAUACUAUUGAUUGGAUAAAUGAUUGAAAGCAAGUGAUCCCUGCUCUUGAUAACUCUACAAAGCCAACAUCUAGACCAACAAAAAGCACAAGUGAUUAAUAAAAGUUAGCACAAGUGGACCUCCAAAACUUGAUUAAGACUAGGCGAACAAGCGAAAGAAAUGAAAUAGGAAAGUGGCCUUUGCUUUACCUGUGUUUAGUUGACGGUCCCAACGUACUCAUUGAUGUUUAAACAUGCCUUUGCAACUUCCCCUGCAAUCAUCUCAUAGUUCUUCCUUCCAAGGUGGUAGCACACCAUUAAUGUCCUUCCACCAGAAUAUGGUCCUAGUAUGGACUACAUUUUGAGCAAUGCCUAUCCCUUCAAUGGCGUCUUGCUCAACUAGUUGUGGUGUCUUUUUAAACAAUUGAAAGAGUGAAAUGUAAACCAAAAGUAUGAAUGUCUCAUGUUACGAAGGAAAAAGAAAAAAAAAAGACAUAUUAUAAUUAUAAACAUUUUAGGCCAAAAAUUCAUUAAAAGUAAUGGAAUCAUUCACUAAAAAUGAUAUUUUAGACCAAUCUUUUAGUUGCAGUGUACUACUCAAUUAUUUAAAUAAUUUAAGUAAAAACUUUUAAAAAUUAUGCAAUAUAAUAUUAUUAAAGAUUUCAGUUGUCUUUGCACAUACCAAAUAAAAGCUUGUACUUAAUUCAGUAAUGAAUAAUAAAAGCUCUUAAUCAUCAAUAAUGGUUAUGUUGGGGGGAUAAGGAGAAUGAAGAAGGUAGUUUUAGUUUUUGUGAAUGAUAUUCCUACAAGAGUCCAUGAAGAUGGCUUCAAAGGAUUUGGAUCAAUUUGGAAAGGUUGUCAAUACAUUUGUAGCGAGAAAUAGAAGCAAAUACAGUAAGAGGUAUCGUUUUAUCAUAUUUGAAUAUUUUAAUAAAGCUCGAGGAGCAGUCCAAAAUUUAAAUGGAGUCUGGCUUUUUAACCAAGAGCUAGAGGUCAAUAUAGCUAGCUAUGGAAGCCAUGAUUCAUUCUGAAGGAGGAAGCAAAAAGGAAGCUUCUUAUGCACCUAGUGUUAACCACAUUAGGAACAGAGCCUGUAGUGGGAUUUUGAGACAGAACUUUGCCUUAUUCACUAAGCCAUCUUAUGCUCUGUUAUUGAAAGGUGCUUUUGAAAGAGGUUGAGCUUCAAAUGAAGAGAGAGGAGAUGAUCUUCAAUGUCUUAACAAGCAUGAAAAAACAUGCUUUGGUUGAAGACAAGUGUUGUGGUAACAACAUAAUAUAAUUCAGAUUCAGCAAAUUUAAUGGACUUAUUUAAAAUGGAAGGCAUCUCAGGGCUGCUUAUGAGGAGUUUGUCUCUCAAAGAAUUUCUGCUAACCUUUGAGGAUAAGGAGCUGUUGGAAGAGCUCAAGGAUAAAGGUUGGGAUUGGCUUAACAAAUGGUUUACUAAGGUGGAAACAUAGUUACAGAAUUUUUCAUCAAAACUCCUUAACAAGUGGGUGAUUGCACAGGAUAUCCUUUUAAUGUGUGAAAUAUGCAUAUUAUAAAUUAUAAGCAUUUUAGGCCAAAUUCAUUAAAAGUGAUAUUCUAGACUAAGUUUUUGUUGUAGUGUCAUUCUCAAUCAUUUAAGUAAUUUAAAGACUUUGAAGAUUAUGCCCUAAAAUAGACAAGAUUAAAGUUUUCAGGGUGUAUACCUCUGUUUUGGCGUGCACAUAUUCCUUUGAAUCUAUGAAGAAACCUGUAGUCAUCUUGGGACAUUCUCUUACAUUCAAAUGCCCCAAAGUCGGUAACACAAAGUGAUAUCCCCUUGGGCAAAAGUCAACGAGGCUUGGCAGUUCUCCAAUUGAUAAAUGUUCUAAUUGAUCAAACUUUAUCUCCUUUUCAGUUGUCGCCUCUGCUUCAUCUUCAAGUUCAAAUACUUGCUCCAAUUUAGAGUUACUUCUAACUGUUAAUUGCUUAAGUUUUGGAAGACAACGAGCAGAUCCAAGAGGAAAGAGUCGUUUCAACUUUUUGCAAUAUUGAACAAAAUUUUGGUCAAAUUAGGAAAGCUUAUAGGUUGGAGAUCACCAUCUGAUGAUGAACAAACUUGAUCCUCAGCAAUGAUUUGGUCCAAUUCAUCACAUUUUUCUAUAUAUAGCUCGUCCAACUGUGAUAAACUUCGAACGGUCAUAGGUGAAAAUAUAUAUCUUAGCCUCUUGCAAUCAAUCACCUUCAGAAUUGUAAGGUUUUUAAGAGUUACAACUGAAGCGACAUCCUUCCAUAUAAUUUGCACUUCAAAUAAAUCCUCCAGGUGGAGUUUCUUUAUACGCCCAUGAAUCUGAAAUACCUCUUCAUGACUCCCAACUGCUAUAUAUUCUUGAUUGCAGUUGGCUGAAAUAAGCAAUUGAAAGCUAUUUACCAACUCAGAGAGAUAUAAUUCCUGCAAAUACAGACACCACUAAAUGUCACUAAAUACGUUCCUUUUCUAUUAGAUUGAAAACAGAUGAGCAAAUAUUACUCAUAAUUUUUUAGAUGCCAAUUCACAAAAAAUCCUUACAUUUUUAAUGACAGGACAUAUAUAUGUUUCAAAAUUUAAAUCCAAAAUUUUCAUGAAAUGGUCUGAAAGUGGAAUCCAAAGACAUCUAACCUUUUUUCAAGUUUUUCUCUGUUAAUUUUUAACAUAAAACCAUUUAUGGCUUUCCUUGUCUUGUGUUUUUUUCUUUGUCAUUUUUUCUUUAAGCAUGUUGAUUUGAAAAGUAUAGAUAAAGUGGUAAAGUGUUAAUUUUUUUUAAUUUACCUAAAUUACAUAAAAAAACAUAAAAGAAAUGAACCCCCCUGGAAAGCCUAACUUUCUCAAUCUGUUUCUCUUGUCUGCAACAGAAAGUAGAAACACUUUGAAUAAAAUAAAAAAAAGGGAACUCAUGGCCAAGAAGAAAAAGAAAACUUAAAUUGAAGAAGAAAGAGAAAAUUCGAAUCAGAGAAAGCAAGAGAAACUAGAAUCGAAGAAGAAAAAGGAAGCUCGAACAAGAAAAAAAGCAAGAUUUGUCGUCGUGAAGAAAAUAUAUGAUGAACCUCAAUUCAGAAACAAGGACAAGGAAAACCCAAAGAUCCCCACAAACAAAUUAAUUGUUUGUGAGUGUUGAAAAAAAGAUUUAGCUCAAAGGCAAAAUCCAAAACCAUAAUUGAAGGAAAAGUGUAGAAAGAAAUACCUCUAGCUGAAUUUGCUCAUUAACUUCUUUUUGAAUAGUGAAAUUUCUCAAUUUAGGACAGUUGCAAACUUCCAACUUCUCUAAGGAUGGUGAUGAGAUGAGAAAGUUUUCCGAACUCAAAUUUAUCAAGUUUACAAGUUGAAAAUCUUGUAGGCAAGGGAGUCUAAUGGCACGAUGAGUUGGCCCUUUCCAUAUGCUCUCCAAUGCUGGUAAUGACUGCAGCUUCAACCUUCUUAAAUUUGAGAGUGGUACUACCUAAUUUACCUCACAUAAAAAAAAUAUAAAAUUUAUCCAUUAAUAAAUAAUGAAAAUGAAUUCUUUAUACUUGAUCUUAAUUAUUGAGAAGAAAUACAUUUUUUUAAAAAAAAAGUAGAAAGAAGUAUUAAAAGUUAAUAAUUUAUAAAAAUUAGAUAGUAAUUAUUUAUAUAUUUGAUAAUUCAAAAAAAAAUCAUUAGAAAAACAAUAUACGAGAGCAUUAUUAAAGGAAAAAUGGAGAGAUAUGAGGUACCUUCAGGUCAGCCAUUUCUUUGUCAAAAGCAAAGACUUGCUCUAAUUUUUCGCAUUUAGAUAUCUCAAGUGUUUCUAAAUGCAACAGACUUUGAACAAGGUAAGGUGAGAAGAUAGAUUUCAGUUUAUCACAACCAUCAAUUGUUAAUUCCUUCAGACUUUGUAACCUUACAUGAUGAGUUGGCUCUUUCCAUAUAUUCUCUAAUGCUGGCAAUAACGUCAGCUUCAAACUUCUUAAAUUGGAAAUUGUGCACGUCGGACUUUCUUCCUUUCCAAAAAGCCAAUUCAUUUGAAACACUGAUUGCAACUGCUUACAAUCGACAAUGCUCAAUGUUUCUAACUUUUUUAAGAAGCUAAUCGGUGAUUGACCAUGGCACAACUCUUUCAAAGAAGUCAUGAAUCUAAUGUCUAACUUCACCAAAUUAGAGAAUGCAGUGGUUGGACUUUGUUCUCGUGUUGUAUCGAUCAAGCAUUCCAGAUUUUCACAAUAUAUAAGCUCAAGAGAAGUUAAUUCCUUUAGUCCCUGCUGAUCUACAUUUGGAACAAUAUUUUUGUGUUCCAUGGUGACCUCGGACAGAGUAAGCUUUUUCACAUUGCAAAACAGCUCCUUAAAUGCAUUUAAUGAGGAUGAGAAAUCACUAAUUCUCAAGGUUCUCAAGCUCAGCCCUGCCGAAUCUUCAAUAUCAUCAAAAUUUACAACUAUAUUGUAGUUUUGAAGUUUAGGGAACACAAAGUUUUCUUGAGAACAUUGAUCAGUAGAAACUGACAGUGUUAAUGCAGUCAAACCAGUCAAUGAAUUAAGCUCCAAUAAGUUAGCAUUGUUUCUACUUGUCACGUGUAGCUCUUGGAGUGAGGCCAACCUGUUACAAACAAAUACAAAAUGUUGUUAAUGCAAUAAUAGCACUUUCAACCGAAUGAUAAAAAUAGCAAGGUAAUGAAAUGAAUAAGAUAACAUAAACUUUUUUAUUUCUUCAUUCUUAAAGCUACUUCUGUACUACAGGUUGCAAAGUUUCAUAAUAAUAGGAACGACCAAAAGCUCAUGCUAUAUAUAUAUAUAUAUAUGUUUGUGAUAAUCAAAAUCAAAUAAAGUAAAUAAUAGGGAAAAAAGAUAAAAUAAAUGAUAUAAAAUUAAAUAACUGAAAAUAAUAAGAUAAACAGUUUUACCUUGGUAGCAAGUUGGAGGGGAAAUAGCUGUGUGGCACUCCAUCGUAAGAAAAAUAUAGUGAUUUUAGUUUAUACAAUCCCACUAGUUCUUCUGGUAGCUCAUAAAUAUUAGUCUUCAGCAAUGCAAAAAUCUCAAGGUUUUCAACAUUCCUCAAUGAUGAAAUGUUCUCGAGCUCGCAAUUUAUAAUGCACAGAGUUCGAAGAUUUGUCAAGAAUUGAAGUGCUUCCAGUGUGAGUACAACAUCUUGGAGAAGUAAAACUCGGAGGGUUGUCAUUCUUUCAAAAAAGGCACACGAAACUCUCAAUGAAUUCUUUCCUUUGAGAAACAAAGUCUUGAGUUUUGAAAAUUCCACUUUGUUAGGAAGAUGAUUGAUCUCAAUGUUCCACAAGGAGAUUGCCGUAUAACAUCCAAACCUUUCACUCAUAUGCCAUUCCGUCAACCCAUCUUUUACCAUGAAUAUAUUUUCCCCUCUCGAUGUUAUCCAAUGAGCAAAAUCACGAAUCACAUCAUGCAUUUUUACAUGCUCUUUAUCAUUAGCUUCCAAUAAUAAACCAGACUUUUGGAGUUUUGAUAGUGCCAGAUGAAUUUCCCUCCUUAAGUCUUCCAUUAAGUAAUUAUUAUUGAACAAUCCCUGACCAAUUCCGCAUAUAGUCAACAACUCAAUAGUAAUCUCAUAAUCUUCUGGAAAAAGGGAACAUAACAAGAAACAUUGCUUAAUAUUAUCUUGAUCCAAAUAAUCAUAACUAAGCUCAAGGCAUCUAUAGAUAUGUCCACAAACAUGUUGAUUAUCCAAAUGUCUUGAGCUCUUGAGUCGUUUAUUUGCUGCUAUCCACCCAUCUUCACUUUCACCUUUUAGAGCGUUUGCUACAGUUACGAUUGCAAGGGGCAAACCGCCACAUUCAUGAGCAACCUCCUUUGCCACAUUCAAGGUGGGAGAGUCAUCUUUUAGAGCAGCUUUAUCUUUGAAUAAAGCCCAUGCUUCGUCUUCAGACAGAAUGUUCAGUUUAAAUUCCUCUUGACAAUCCAUUUGACUGCAGACCUGUUGAAGACGUGUAGUGAGGAGAAUUUUGCAACCUUCGUGUUCACCGCCAAAUGGAAUUCCUAUAGUAUGCAAUUCAAGUUUUUCCCAAACAUCAUCGAGAAUUAUGAGAAUCUUCUUCUCGCCUUUUAAUCUCCGCCAUAACUCUUCUGCUUUCCCUUUUUCUGUACUGGCUUUAAAUUUUAAACCAAAGAGUUCUGCAAUCCUUUCUCGCAUUUCGUUGAAAUUUGGAGUUUGGGACAAUGUAACACUCACAACCUUAUCAAAAAGCUUUUGUUCUGUAGCUUGCUUCAGUACUACUUCCGCCAAAGUUGUUUUACCCACUCCUGGCAUUCCGUGCAAUCCAAUCAUGUUCACACCAUCGCCUUUCAAAGCCUUCAUGAUCCCGUUGAAAGCUAACGUUGAAGAUUUGGAACGCAUGAAAUCCUUGGGUAGUAGCAACUCUAUUCCUUGAAGAGGAGGACGCUGGCCGACUCCUUGAAAAUUACAAGCCUCUGCUAAAAGUUGAGAGAUAUAAAGUGUCUUCUUCGCUACUUUCUUACUUAAACAGUAUCGCCAGCCCCAACUAGGACACCAAUUGAAACAAUUGUUACGCUCUAUUUCUUCUUCCAAACCUUGAGCUUCUCCCAAUUCUUUCUCUGCCUUUGUUAGCCACUCCUCAACGUCCUUCUUAAUUACCUCAGUUUGCCUUAAAGCCUCAUCGACAUCACCUUGCACCUGAUCUUUUUUCGAUUGAAGUGCUUGUCGCUGCUUCUUGAAAUCUUCAACAACUUUGGCAAAACGGAAAAAGUAAGUGAGAUAAGGUGAUGCGUAUUCUGUUGCCAGAUUCCCUACGGUAUUGGCAGCAGCAGCAGCAGCAAAUUCAGCAGCCAUUCUUUGGUGAUCUGUGAUUGAAAAACAACUUUGAUGAGUAAAAGGUUUUACAAAGAGACACAACACUGCGGAAGGAGGAAAUAUAAAUAUAAAUCUAAACCUGCAAAUAUCUACUCAAAUAUAACACCAAACAAAUAAAUCAGAGAUGAAAAAGAUGAAGAUUUACAUACCAAGACGAUUUUCAGGAGCCGAAACCUGCAAAUAUCUUCUAUUUUGAUCCACGCAAACUCACAAAGUGGGUUAAGGGUUUUUUUUUUUUUUUUGAAGUUGAAACAAAACGGAAGUAGAAAUGAACUUUGCACUGCAAUGAUAAAAAAUAACAGACUUUCACUUGUAAAGAUAAUUCUGCUUCUGACAGAGCAAAACAUAUUAUGUAUUAAUAUGGAGAAUUUAAUAUGUAUUCUUGAAGCUUAGCUCACCUCGAAUGGAUCUUCUAAAGCUUUGUUUUUUUAGAUAGAAAGCAGAGAAACCAAAAAACUAGAGAUAGCAGCUUUGAUUUUUUUUUUUUUGGCUUUGUGGAGCAAGGAAAGGAAAAGUAGGGAUCAAAGAACAGUUUUUUGUUUUUUUUUUUUUGAGUUAAAAGAAAAUGAGGAUAAUAAGAUAUGAUCAUUGUCUUAAGAUUUUAUUUGAAGGAAAAGAAGCACUUUUUUGUAGUAAUGUAUUUUUCCAACAAUUACUAGUCAUAUUUCAAUAAUGAGAAAUUUUUUAUUAAAAUAUUUCUAUAAUAUAAUGCCCCUUUUUUUGUUAUGUUGACCUCAAUAAGUUAUAUUUUGAACUAAUUGAAGUAUAAAAAAUUAUCCAAUAAACUGUCAUGGAAUUUAAAAACUUCAUCAAUGGAAUUAGAAAGUUGUCACAUAUUCAUUAGGAUAUAUUUGAAAAAAUUAAUAAAUUAAUCUGAUAAAUGAAAGGAUAUUAAUUUGACAAUAUUUUAAUUUUACUAACAAAGUUAAAAUCUCACCGAGGAUGUAUACAAUAAUAGUCCUCAAAAGUCAAAAUAAUCCGUUUGUUUUUACAAUUGAAGGACAUUGAUCAUUACAUGCAUUAGUAGUGAAGAUUUGUUGCUUUUCCUUGAAAGAUCAUUACUUUUUGUGCUUAAUUACAUGCUUUUGUUCGGCUUAUAUAUAUAAAUAUAUAUAUAUAUGCUUUCAUUAGUGCUCGUUGAAUUAUGGCAAUAAAAUGUUUAAUAGAGGUGAUAUGAAUAAAGUGACUAUCCAGAGAUAUUGCAUUGUAUCUUUUCUGCUUAUUGGGUUCCACUGCUUGGAGCAUUUCUGCAGUUUCUGUAUACUUAUUUACUCCAAUGGUUACUUACUCCCCAUUGAUGAAAAGACGAGACAGACUCACAGCUUUUUCUCUGUCAUUGAUGCUUAGUUAGAAUGACUAAUCGAUGGCCUUCAAUUAUGUUGCCUAUUUUCGUAAUUUUCUGAUCUACCUGGUUGGUUUAAUGGAUUUCAUGUUAAAACACUUGCACUAUUUAUUUUAUUGUUGAGAUUAACUUUUGUGAUCAAAUUAUGCCCCCAAUGAAUUCAAAAAUAUUAUUUGAUGAAUGUACAAAAAUAGGUAGCAAUGAACAUAUAGCAUGUUAGUACUGACUAUUGAGAUUGUGAUAAAAUAUUAUGACAAAAACAAACGGACAAUAAUCUGAAAAGCCCGUAGGAACCUGCUGACAUGAUAACUAGCUUUUUGACCACGCUGGUCAUCUGAAAAAUGGGACAGCCCAAGCAAUAAUAUACCUAGUUUCUUCUUUUUCUCUUCCUUGGAGUUAAAAGAGAAGCAAAAAUGAAGAUAAAUACUUCUUGACUUGGAAGUUGCAUGUGAGAACAAUGCCAAAACUCAAAAAAGGAGAAGAAGGAAAUUAUGAAGGAAAGUGUGCACGCACUAUCAGGAAAUCAUGCCUCCCUCCUAGUCCCUGUAUCUAUCCCAUUAUUUCAUUUCAGAGGGUAAAAGAAAAUGAAUUCCCCUUUCUCCCCAAAGAACAUGUGAUAGUGGGUCCACACUCUGAAAAGUUCUGUAUGAAGGAAGAAAUAGUUAUGGUUAGUCGUGACCUGCUUGAUUGUCUGCGUUCCAAAGCUAACAAAGAAACGUCAAUGUGGAACUAAGAAAUUUCUCGACCCUUGUCUUGAGAGAAUUGAGUCGAACGUGGAAAUCAAAUUUAUCAAAGCAAAAGGAAGAUUCUCGGAACUUUCUUGAUAUUUUUGAUUCAUUGUGGAAUCAAACACAAUAUCAAUGCCACCAGUUAUGGAGAGUGUACUGUCAUUAAAGAAGUAUUAUUAACUAAUUCUCUCUCAAAGAAUAAAAAAAAGGAUGAAGAUGCUCUACUAAAGGAAAUUUUAACUAAUGCAAAAUUGGUUUCAUAUUUGUGAUCUUAAACAUAAUAAUAUCUUCUCCAUAAAAUUUAAAACAUUAAAUUAUUUUAAUAAAUAAAAUAUAAAUUCCACUAAACAAAAUUUUAAGCACAAUAUCCACCACCUUGAUCCUUGGAGGCCAAUCCCUGUGAGAACAACAACCAGAGCAGAGCGCGAGUAAGCACCCACCAAGAGAAUAAACAAAAUUGAUUACAUGAAGGACCCCUGUAACAAAAGACAAUGCAGUGUGAACAAUCAACAAACGAUGGCCCCCAGAAGCAAUCAAAAAACUUGUCAAGAGCAGCCGCUAAAGAAAUUAAGUUCACACUUUUAACUUUUUCCUUGUGCUCCUAUAUAUGCAAAUGGGCGGUGGAAUCAUUGAUUCACUUUUGAAUUAUUAAUGCUUUUUUUUUUGUCAUAUUUCCAUUACUUUUCAGUAUUUAUUUUUGACCUAUUUAGUUGAUUUACAUGAAAAACAAUUGACUCUUUUUAUAAGCAAAAAUUAUUAUUAUUAUUUUAUAAAUGUCGUUAAGAGUAAACAUUUGACUCUCUUUAUUUAUGAUUCUUUUGUAAUUAAGCAUUACUUGGUGAAUUCUCCUCUAAUAAUGAGUAAUGACCUACUUUUAAGUUGUUGCCUGCCUAAAUCAUUUAAGUUGGACGUGGAAAAAAAUUUAAUGCCAAUAUUGCAUGUAAAGUUUGCAGAUGCAUACUCAAAUGCAAAAACCAAGAGCCAUAGAAGAAAAUGAUGCACGCAUAUACCAAGGAAAGAUGGAGUUUGAGAAGCCAAGGGUAAGCUUCUAUUUUUAUCAAAGAAAACUGAAAUAGAAAUCAAGUUUGCGCUACAAUAAUCAGAAGCCCGCUAGCAGAGGGAAUUAAGAAGCAACAGUUAAGUCUUCUUCGGCUAGCAAGAACAGUUGAAUACAGGAGAGAAAAUUUUGAAAAGAUGAUGUGAUCCCUCUAAUGUUGUUCAUUCUAUUUUGAAGAAAUUGUGAGAAAAAAACCUCGUGAUAAGGUGAUUUUAGAAAUAACCACUCAUAUAAAAUUAUCUGUUUCUAGCAAAAAAUAUGCAUAAGUAGACGAAAAUGCCCUUAAAAACAUCGUUUCAAAUAAAUGCUUAGCUGUUUGAGCUAUCUGCCUCUAUCUGACUCCCACCAGAGAGAAAAUAAAAAAAAUAUAAAUAAAUGCGCUCAGCUGUUUGAGGUCGGUCAUCUUUCUCUCUCAACUCUGGCAAGUCUCUGUUGAGCACUAUCGUCAUCAGCUCUCUCAAAUCUCUGAACUGUAUUAGCUCUGUCAACUCUCUAUUGAGCACCAUCGUCAUCGGGUUGUGGUCUAUCUCUCGGCAUCUAGCCACAUUGUCAUAGAUUAACAGACCCUAUAGCAGAAAUUACAUCAAGGUACUUGUUAUUAGGUUUAUUUUUGCAACACACUUAAAUUUCUGAAACAUUUGGUGUAAAUUAGAAGAUGAAUUAGAAACAUUGCCCAGAGUUACGCGCCAUGCAUCUAUAACAUGUGUUAGCGUUAUUAUUUUAGCGUGUCAAGGUUGUUCCUAGCGUGUCACGGGUUAACUAGUUUUUUGGGUUUUGGGCGUGUCACAGCUGUUCUUGACCUAUCAUGGGUUAAUUGGUUUUUUGGUUUUCGGGCGUGUCACGGCUGUUCCUAGCGUGUCAUGAGUUAACUGGAUUUAUGGGUUUGGGGCGUGUCAUAGCUGUUCUUGGCAUGUCGUGGGUUAACUGAAUUUUAGGUUUUGGGCAUGUCAUGGCUAUUCCUGGCGUGUCGUGGGUAAAUUGGUUUUUUGAGUUUUUAUAGUGUCACGGCUGUUGGUGUAACGAGUCAGUAAUUACAAUGAUUAGCGCGUCACGACAGUGAUGCAUGGCGUGUCACGAUACUGAUGCAUGGCGUAUUACGACAUUUGACUUGAUAUGCAUGGCGUGUUACAAUAUUUAACGUUAUAUGCAUGACGUGUAACAACAUGACUGACAAAUUUUUGAUCACGGCAUGUAUUGUGUAAAAUUAUUGUCAAUAAUUUUGUUUUCAAAUUUUCAGUGGGUUCUAAUUGUGUGACUUGUGAUAAGACAUGGUGGUCAGUGGGUGGAUGGCAUUUACAAAGGUGGUGAGUCACGAAUAUAGGGGGUUAGGAGUGAUUUGUCAUUUGCGGGCUUGAUGAAGCUGGUUGAAGAUGUUGGGGUAAACUAAACAAUUGACGAGAUUGAGUUACAUGCAUUGAUCAGUACACCCGGAGAGCUAUCACGGCCAAUUAUCAAAGACGAUGAGGAUGUUGCAUUAAUUCUGCUAGAACAGAGGAAUGUUCCGGUUGUGUAUGUCAGCAUUAAGGGACGUCAACCAAAUGUUAUGUCACAUGAAAAAGUUAGACAAUAUGGUAAUCAGCUCAAUCAAAAUGAGAUUUAUAAUACUUCACAUAUACCACAGUAUUCGGUCCGUAACCCACAACAAUGGCAAUUGAGGUAUACACAAGAGUUUGUGCAGCUUGGUAGACAAACAACAUUCACAGAACAGUUGGCUGCACAAUUUCGAUCAGGAUGUGCAUCAAACCAAUUUCUUGCUUCUUUCGAACAAAUGCAACGAUCGGGUGAAACUGUAGAGUCUGUAAUACCAUUGUCGAAUGAGAAUACGACACUUGAGGACAAUAAUGUGAGGUUGGAGGGUGACACUGCGACGCUAGAGGAUAAUACUGCAUUUGAUGAGGGAAAUGAGGAUUUGUUAGCUGCCGGUGAAGAUAAAUUGGAUGACACUUCAGAUGAUGGGCUUGAACAAUUGCAAGAUGAUAGUUUAGACAAUGACUGCCUUUAUGACAGUGGCAUUCCAAUUUGGAAUAAUGUUGAAGGCGAAACGAAACCUGUUGGAGGUGUUGAUGUAGGGGAUGUUCAGUGUGAUGACCCCAUAUACAAUAACCCCAUUGCUGGUGUGUAAAACCCGACCCUAUAAACACAUGUCAUGACAUACAUGCAUUGAAUAACAUGUUAUUACGCUAAGAAAGCCCCUAAGAAUAGACGAAACCCAGUAUUGUACCUAACGGUACACUUGAGUUGAUUUAACCUCGAACUAGUUUAAAUAGAAAUCGUAGGAUGAAAUUUAAUAUUUUACAGUCCAAGAAUGACUAAAAAUGAUUAUUCGGAGUUCAAGGGUUCAUUUGGAAAAAUUGGAAAUUUUGAUGUUUAGGGGUAAAAUCGUUAUUUUGCCACCUAAGAUAAUAAUUUGAUCAUAGAGUGAAAUUUUUGACCAAGAUUAACUAUUUGGAGUAUAAUUUAAUGAUAGGAAGUGAAAAAUUUCAAUUCCGAUAAUUUUUGAAACAUAGGGAUAAAACGAUAAUUUUAUCGUCUCGGGGUAAAAUCAAAAUUUUUACCACCCAAAACUUGUCAAAAUCAUAGGAUUUAUUUAUCUUUGGUAUGAAUAACUAUGGUAUUUUAAGUGGUGAAAAAUUAAAGUUUAAAGGAUAAAAUUUUAAAAAUGGGCCAAUGGGAAAGUGACACAUGACACUUUUUAAUGAUGUAAUAUUAUUUUAAUGAAAAGUCAGCCCAUUUAAACCCCAUAUUAAGUGAUGGCCAACCAUAAGGAGAGAACAAGAGAGAAAAUAGAGAGGAAAGGAAGAAAAGGGAAAAACCAAAGGAAAACUAGAAAAUUCAAAGGGGAAAUCGCAUUUUUCAUCUGUUUACGAGUCUAACGGUAAGAUUUUUCGACUUUAGCUUGAUUUCUACCUUUCUUAUGCCUUUAUUUCCAUUUAGCAUGCUUGAGGAGAGAGAUUAAAAAGUGAAACCAAGGGCUGGCCGAAUUUCGAGGGGAGAGAUUUUGAAAUUUUUAGGUUUUGAUUCUUAGUUAAAUUAGUAGUUUUAGUUAGUUAAAUGUGUAUAGAAAUCAAAUUGGGCAAGAAAGCAUGAAAUUCUCACAAUACCCACCCUUGGCCGAAUAUGCAUUGAUGUNAAUGAUGAUGAUCUGAUUUUUUAUUCUAAGAGAAAUGAAGAGAAAAUGAUGAAAAAUAGUUAAAUGUGAUAGAAAAACAAAGUGAAAAAUUAAUCGAGUAAAUGUCCCAUUUUUGACCGAAUUUUUCAAGGAGGAAAGUGAGCUGAUUUUGGUGAUUUUAGAAGGUUAUUGGCUGAUAUUUAAUGGUUAGAAAUGUUGGAGAGAAAAUGGAACAAUUUAGAGCUAAAAUGGAGCGCGUUAGCAAUUUAACGGGUAAAGUGUCAAAAAUAGGUUAAUACCGUGUUUAAGCCGUUUUAGGCUAUUGCAUUUCAUACCAUGCAUUAGUAUAGGAUCUAAGUCAAUUAUAUAGUGAUUUAACAUCAAUGUGGUGAAUUGUGUAAUUUUUGCAAUGUGUCUAGGAGGAGAGCCUUCCGGUAAGGGCAAGAAAGUUGUACCCGACAAACAGUGAUCGGGGCACCUAAAAAGCAUUUAAUUUGUACAAACGGUGAGUAAACCUAUUAUUAUUGUAAAUUAUCUAGAGUUUAUUUUUAAAUGCUCAUUAUUUAUUUUAUGAAAUGAAAAUGAGAUUAAAAUGAGACUUUUGAUGUUUUAGAAACAAAUGUGCCAAAUAAAUAUAUUGUGUUGAUUAUCUGAAAUAAGAAACUUUUAAUCAUGAAAUUGAGUAAUUGGAGGCUGCCAAUUGUCUUGAAAAAUAUAUUUUCCUAUGAAUGGCUUAUGAUAUAUGAGUAUAUGUGGCUAUAUUUUAUAAUUGUAUUGAAAAUUUAUUUAAGCUGUCUUUUACUAUGCAGGCUGGGUAAAUAAAUAAAAGCUACAUUAUAUUGUCGAAAUUUUAUUAAAAUUGAUGGGUUUAGUCACUGCAAUGGCGGGUUUUCGUGGACUGCCUAUUAGAAGGGUAUGGUAAACUCGGUUAUAUAGUUACUCCAGAUGUAGAGGCGAGGAGGGUAACUCCCGGGGUAGUGUUAGAGCUCACUUCACGUCGAACCCCCAUGUGAAUAUGUAACUCAGUCAACCCCAAGGAACGGCUUGUUUUCAAAACUAACAUGUGUUUAACAUGUAAAUAUCUUAACAACCUUGGCGGACUCGGUUAGAUGCCUCGACCAAGGUAUCCUCGAUGAUUAGUUUUUGGCUUGAGCCCUAUUUUUAAUAAAAGUCAUAAGCUUUAACAACUGUUUUGGUAAAUUACAAAUAUUUUAUGGUUUAAAAAAUAAAUUGAAAACCGUAUGAAAUGGUUUGUGAUUUGUUGUUUAAAUUUACCUCCAUUUUACUCGCCUUUAGAUAUUUAUGAUAAUGUUUGUUUACUCAUUGGAAUUGUAAAAUCUCACCCACCUCCUUUCCAAAUAUUUCAAGCCUGUGGUAGCUUGUAGAUACCCGAUUUUGUCGAGGAUUCUAGUUGACCCCUCUAUCCCACAGACAGUAGGUUACUACCACCAACACUUGGUGUAUUUAUGGGCCAUUUGUUAUUGUAAUUAUUAUUAUACAUUAUAACUCUGUAAAUUAUUAUAUGUAUGAAUUUGUUUUACUUAUACGUGUUUCUAUAAAUAUUGUUUUAUAUAAAAAUGUUAUAUUUUAAUCAAUAUUUUAAAUAGUAAUAUUUGUCUAUAAAUCUUUUUAAAAUAAUUUUAUCUUUUGAUUUACUUGAGCCGAAAAUGAUUGGUAAUUGUUUAAAACAGAAUGUUUAACAACGAUUGCUCACAGGAAAGGCAAGAAACUGAUACGUAAGCCUUGAGGGGUUCCGAUUGGCAUUCCGGGUAAUGAGUGUAAAUCGAGACGUCGCGGUGGUUGUCAUGGGCCCAAGGGAGGUUUCGGAUCAUGACAUGGUGAGAACGAGGUUCGUUCCCUUAAUACAUUGGUCGUUGAUAGUGAUCAGGAAAAGGGAAAUGCAGGGAUAUCUCGUAUGUGGGUAAUUGCAGGUGCAGAAAAGUUCUCUUUCCAAACAAUUACCACGAGGAGUCGACAUGUGCCGAAGAUUGCUUAUACAAAGGAAGAAUGUUUUCGUCGAAGGCCGAGUUGAAACGAGCUUUGAACAUGUUAAUUGUAAAAGAGAAGUUUGCGAUAAGAGUAAAAAGGUCAUGUAAAGCUCGUUAUGAGGUUGGUUGCAAGGACAAGGCAUGCAAGUUCAGUGUGUGUGCAACGAAGUUACCUAAUAGAGGAGAAUAUUGGCAAGUUCGGACAUUUCACAAUGUACACACUUGUACCAUUGAUGGUUUGUAAGGGAAGUUUCCAACUACGAGUGCGAAGAUGAUUGGUGAACUUAUGUCACACAAGCUUCGGGCUAAUGGAGUAGCAUUGAGACCUAAGGACAUAAUUUGUGAGAUGAGGGUUAAGUGGGGAUUGGAAUGCUUGUAUGGUAAGGCUUGGCAAGCGAAGGAGUACGCGGAGAGGCUUGUUUUCGGUCCACCAGAGGCGUCAUUUCAACUACUACCCUCGUAUUUUUUUAUGUUGGAACAAGAAAAUCCUGGCACAGUGACUGCAGUGGCUACUGAUGAGACCGAAAGAUUCAAAUAUUGUUUCUAGUCAUACAAGGCUUGUAUUCAGGGGUUUACGGAUGUAAUGCGUCCUACGAUUGCAAUUGACGUGACACAUCUCAAAGGUAAGUUCAAGGGUGUUCUGUUUGUCGUUGUAUGCAAAGAUGUGAAUGAGUGCGUAUAUCCAGUUGCGUUUGGCAUCGGCCAUGUUGAGGACGAAGACUCAUGAACGUGGUUUCUUAGCAAGCUGCAUGAUGCGGUUGGUUGUCCUAAAAACACUAUGUUCAUUUUUUAUCAGCAUCUUGGCAUUAAGAAAGCAAUCCAAAAUGUAUACCCAGAAGCGCACCAUGGUUUAUGUGGUUGCAACUUGAAAAAAAAACUUUAAAAACAAGUUCAAGCGUGACGAUGUUUGUAUGCUUUUCACCCUUGCUCAAGAUUACUAUAAGGUGGCCGAUUUCAAUAGACAUAUGAACCAACUACAGUAGAUUCACCCGGGAGCCCACGUUGACCUUAUGAGAAUAGGGCCUGAGAGAUGGGCAUGUGCAUGUUCACCGACAAGGCGAUACCAAAUGAUGACAUCCAACAUUGCGAAAUAUGUUAACUCAUGCUUGAAGCAUGCAAGACAAAUACCGAUCACUGUUUUGAUCAAGUUCAUCAGAGACAUGUUCCAGUGUUGGUUCCAUGACCUGUACUAGGAGGCCGUCAAAGUGACAACACCCCUCAGCCCUUGGGUUGCUAGGUAGUUGAGCAAACGGUUCAAUGAUGCACAUCGCUUUGUAGUUAAGCCUAUCAAUCGAGCGAAGUUUGAAGUUAAAGACGGGAAGAUAAACGGACUUGUAAACCUGUUUAGGAAGACAUGUUCAUAUUGUGAGUUCCAAACAGAUUUGCUGCCAUGCAGCCAUGCCAUUGCAACAAAAAAGUUAGAAUAUCAUUAUUUCUUAUUUGAAUCGUAAUUGACAUAACAUUAACAUUGUGCUUGAAGAUUGAGUUUAUUGUAUUUUUUAGUCAAUGCAAUCGUGAAACCAUUGCAUUCUACGCUGACUACUACAAGACAACCGUUUUGGUGGAGGGUUAUUCAGGAUCCAUUAGGCAGGUAGGGCAUCUUAAUGAGUGGGACAUCCUCCCUUAUGUGACACAAAUUGUCGUCUUGCCCCCACUUUGGCGAGGCCAAGCGGGAAGACCUAGGAGGAGAAGGAUUCCAUCAACUGGUGAAAAUAGUCAAGCACAGAGAUGUUCGCAAUACAAAAGGUAUGGGCAUAACAAACAUAAUUGCCCAUCCCCAUUUACAAUUCCAUCCACAAAUCCGGCACCAUCUCUAAGUCAAUCGACUCCUCCACGAGUGCGCUGACCCAAAGCAUGUUCAAUUUGUAGACAAACCGAUCACACCCGCAAGACCUGUCCAAUACAGAGUACAAUGUCUGAAAAUGUAAGGUGUGUUAUGGAUGAAGACAACUUGUCUGCCUAACUCAAUGUGUAACCCAUGUGCAGUACCUUGCUCACAUACAUUCGAUCACAAUUUCCUGUGGUAUUAUCAUAGUCUUUGGCCCACUGAAAUGGGUUUAUCUUUUAAUAUUGGUAGCCAUUCCAUGCUUAUUGUUGCUUCAUAAGAUUUGUGUAGCCACUUGUACUUAAUGUUGUAAUUGUAGUUGAACUAGUUUUGCUUUACGAAUUUGUCUGCUUGGUCAUUUUAUGAGCCACUUUUAAUUAUGGACUUUGUUGCCAAACAUUUCAAGCAAAUAAGCUUGCCAAGGCCUCUAUCUGAUCAAGAUAGUGUUAAAGUACAUUUUUACAUUGCUUGUAAGAAUAUUUUCGAUUACAAUCUCCAUCAGAUAGAGGCCUUGACAAGCUUAUUUGCCUGAAAUGUUCGACAAUAAAUUUCGUAACUAAAAGUGGCUCAUAGAAUGACCGAGCAGACAAAUCCUUAAAGCAAAACCAGUUCAAUUACAAUUACAACAUUAAGUACAAGUGGCUACACAAAUCUUAUAAAGCAACAACAAGCAUGGAAUGGCUACCAAUAUUAAGAGAUAAACCCAUUAACUGUUACCCCAUUUGUCACAUUUUAUUACCACUUGUAUUAAACAAUUAAUGAUUUGAUUUAAUUCCUUUCUAUUUCAUUUGAUUUAACCAUUUAUGUUCUUAUAAUGAAAUUCCUUUCUAUUUCAUGAGUAAUUAAAUUUUGCCAAUAUCGGUUAGUCAACUAAGAGCAUUAUGCCUGCAAGUUUUGUGGUGACACGCUGACUUUUUACAGUCUUGGCUAGUGACAUGGCACGGGCCAAUUGUGGUGACACCCUGAGUGCAAGCAAACUUAUGGUGUGACACGCUGACUUGUUGCAGUCUUGACGGGUAACACUACACAAGCCAAUUGUGGUGACACGCUGAGUGCAAGUAAACUUAUGGCGUGACACAUUGACUUCUUGCAGUCUCGAAAGGUGACACGGCAGGGGCCAAUUGUGGUGACACGCUGAGUGCAUGCAGACUUGGCGUGACACGCCAAAUUGUUGCAGUCUUGUUGGUGACACGACACAAAAUGUUUAAAAUUAAGGAAAGUUUUAAAAAAGUAACACCUAUUAUAAGAAAAAUCAACUAACCUGAUAUUUUAAUUGUUAUUUGGGGGAUUUCGGCUCUUAGAUGCUUAUCCACACUCAAUAUUAAAACCCACUAUAAGUGGUCGCAGCUGCAUUACAUCACAAAGACUCUUGAAGAGAUUAAGGAGUUCAAUGCACUGAAGCCUACGUGCUUUGAGAUGCUACUGGAUGUCAAUCCACAAGCUUCGUCUACCAAACUUUGGUGCUCCUGUCUUUCCAAAAUCAACAGCCAUAUAAUGAAGAGUUGCCAAUUCUAGGUCCAUCAUUCGAGGUAUCGAUCCAGCCUAGAAUUGGCAACUCUUCACUCUAUAGUUGUUGAUUUUGUAAAGACAGGAGCACCAAAGUUUGAUAGACGAAGCUUGUGGAUAGACCUCUAGGAGCAUCCCAAACACGUACGCUUCACUGCAUGAAAUCCCCCAUCUCUUGGAGAGGCAAAAUGUCAAGAUCCUUAUACCGUCUACGUUGGAUCUGCAAAACAUGGCACACAUGCACCAGUGAGUUAAGCCAUAAUGUCAAACAAGGUAUACUGAAGAAAUAAAUAAAGAAUAAAUGUUGUGACACACCAUUCAUAACAAGCUAAAUGUUCUGACACGCCAUGCAUAACAAGUAAAUCAUUUGUGACACGCCAUACAUAACAACUAAAAUGUUAUGACACGCCAUGCAUAUCAAGUAAAACGUUGUGACACGCCAUGCAUAUCAAGUCAAAUGUUGUCACACGCCAUGCAUAUCGAGUCAAAUGUUGUCACACACCAUGCAUAACAAGUAAAUCAUUUGUGACACGCCAUAGUAAACAAGCAAAAUGUUGUGACACACCAUGCAUAUUAAGUAAAACGUUGUGACACGCCAUGCAUAUCAAGCAAAAUGUUGUGACACACCAUGCAUAUCAAGUCAUUUGUUGUCACACGCCUUGCAUAUCGAGUCAAAUGUUGUGACACACCAUGCAUGUCGAGUCAAAUGUUUUCACACAAGAAAACCAAUAAAACCACAAUGACUUAACCUCAAAAACCAUCCAUCGAACCAGCGAGAAAACCCAGUCUAAAAUCUAAACAUUUGCAAAACAAAACAUACAAAAAACACGAACAUAUCAAACAAACCCAGCGAAAAAGUAAAAAAUUAACAUAAGAAUGUUUUCUCUUGAGACUCACUUACCUCUUCACUCAUAGCCGACAUUGUCGCUAUUGCUGUGGUGUCGUUACGCUUGCAAAGAGCCUUCUCGAACACUCCGGUAUCAACAGGAAUGAGAAAUGAAUCAAACAGACGUUAGGAAUUCUGACAAAUAAAUGUUUAAAAUGAAAAAUGGCUUUAGAAUAUUCUCAUUUAUUCGUUUCAUUUAUAAAUUACUUCAGUGGAAGUCCAAACGGUUACUACGUUAACUGCCGAUUUUAAUUUUUUUAAAAAAAUUUAAUGGAAGUCCAAACGUUUACCAUAGCGGGUCAGUUGUUCAAACAAUGGCGUGUCACAGUAGUUUCACGUAUUCUAACCGUGGCAUGUCAUAAAUUUUGAACCCGACCAUUUCACAGUCGUGACACGCUGAGUGCAAGCAGAUUUAUGGCGUCAUACUGCUAACUUGGUGCAAUAUCGUGGGGUCACACGCGACGGCUCAAUUGUUAUGACACGCCGAGUGGAAGUAAAUUUUUGGCAUCACACGCUGAGUAUCUGCAAAUUUAUGGCGUGACACGGCACGGCCUAACUGUUCUGGCACGCUGAGUGGAAGCAGAUUUAUGGGCUGACACAUUGAGUGUUAGUGGAUUUACGGCGUGACACGUUGACUUCUUGCAGAUUUAUGGGGUGACACGCUAAGUGCAAAUAGAUGUUUGUGGGGACACGCUGACUAGUAGCAGCUUUAUGGCGUCACACGCUGACUACCUGCGACUAUGUAUCAAAUUAAAUAUAUUGUGUAUACAAAGGAAAACAAAUUCUUAGUAUAAAAUGAAUUGUGUAUAUGCAAAAAAAUUAAUUGUGUAUAAAUUUAAUUAUAUAAAAUAUAUUCCCAAUACAAAAAGAAUUAAUUAUAUAUACAAUAAAUUGUAUAAAAUAAAUUGUGCAUACAAAAAAAUUGUGUACAAAAUUAAUUGUAUAAAAAUAAUUCUAUAUACAAAAAAAUGUACAGACAAAGGCCGAUAUGUUCAGGGUUCGCUCUCACAACUGUUGGAAAAAAUUUCUAGAGCAUAUUGCAGACGCAUUUUUGCAAUCAUAUUCUACUUGACUUUGAUAUUUUUCGAUUGGAAAAUAUCAUCCAUGUACCCUAUCAUGAACAUACUGCAGCUGACACUAUCAUUCUGUCGAUGUACUUUAGCUUUUGGCAAAUGAAUAUCCAAUGGCAUCGGCGUCAAAUCCUGUCUCUUUCAACGUGUGUUGUUGAAAUAACCGGCUUUGUGGCAGAUGAUCAGCAUCAUUGUCGUCAAGGGUGUCAUUUGAGCCACACGAACUCCGUUAUCCUUAGCAUUCGAAGUUCUUGUGGAGUCAAACACCUUGAUCUUUGCAACCACCCAAUUCCCACCAACGUUGCAAGGCGCGAGGAUGAAAUCCACAUUUUUCCAUUUUUUACCGUAUAUCGGCUUUUCACCCUUCACGUACCCCCAUAACUCAUCUAGAAUUUGCAUUAUGACCUGGGCAUCUUCUGUUGGGAAUUCCGUGUGUAUCAUACGGAUGACGUCCUAUGAAACAUGUAAACAUUAGCUUACACUUCAUGCGAUCAAAAACUUAGUAUUUAUAGAAUUGAACAAUUUCAAAUAAACUUACAAAGAAUGUCGUGUCAACCACGCAUGCACGGGUAGUGUACAGCUUCAACUUCGACACUGUCAUACGCUUGCAGAAUACGCUGAGGCAUGCGUCGAUAUGUUCACUUGUCAUUUCCUCAUUGGGAUCCUCUAAGGUUAUGAAAAAGUUAGCCCCUUGAUCCCCUAAGAUGCCGACGUCACGCCUGCAUAUGUAACAUAAUGAAUUUCAUAAGUCUUGGUGGCUUAAUGUUUCAUUAAAAAAUAAUAUUUGCAAUGUUAUUUAUGAGCUUACCUCGCAAACUCAUCAUUCUUGAAAGCUUCGUAGGCUUCUACGAUUGUAUCCUUCGUCUCUCGAUGGCUAACUAAGGGGUCGACAUAUGAGCUUGCCAGGUAUUGCUCGCCAGUUUCAACCGUGCCCGUUCAGUUUGGUCUGAAAUUUUUGCUACACUGUGAUGGACAGCACAUUACUCUGGUGAUGCUGAUUGUGUCUCAACUGCAUCAGGAGUGCUUUGAUAAAGCACCAUAGCUCCUGCUGCUGCCUCGACGAAUGCAUCGGCUGGAGGAAGAUGCUCUCUUUCAGCCACGACUAAGUCAAGGUCCCCCUCCCCUCCAGUAGAUGCAUCGAUAAUGGACUCAAGCAGAGGAACAUGCUCUUCUUCAGUAUCAUCUGAUUCAAGGGUGACAUCCCCUGCCACAGCUUCAUCAAUGACGUCAUCGACAUGAGUUACGUACUCUCCGUCAGCACCAAGAACGUCAUCGUGAAUGUGAACACCAAGUUCAUGAUGCUACCCAUCAUCAGCAUCAUCGUGCUCCAGACCAGCACCGUGAGAUGAAAGAUCGCCCUACAAAAUGGAAAAAAACUGUUAGUUAGCUCAUAAAAUACCACAAACCAUAACAAGUAAAAAGUUGUGACACGCCAUGCAUAACAAGUAAAACGUUGUGACAUGCCAUUCAUAAAGAGUAAAAUGUUGUGACACGCCAUGUAUAACAAGCAUAAUGUUCUGACACGUCAUGCAUAACAAGUGAAAUGUUGUGACACGCCAUGCAUAACAAGUAAAAUGUUGUCACACAUUAACGCUGACACGUCGAUACCUUACUAAAAUACAAAUGUCCUGACCCACUAAUCUGAAUUGAACCAAUUAAACCACUACCACUUAACCCCACAAACCAUCAAACCAAUAAGAAAACGCAGUCUAAACAUUUGCUAAACGUAAACCACAAAAAUACAAGUGAAGAUAGAAUAACGUACUUGUGAUUUAAGGCCGUCAAGAAUCCGAGCAACGAUACGAUCCUCAAGCGUCUGCAUUGCUAGAGUCAAUGACUGAAUUGAAGCCUUCAGCUCCAACAUCUCUUUGACAUGCUUGCGCAUGAUCCCUCGAAAGCUGGCGAGUAGUGACUGCUCCGUCAUUGACUCUUCUUGACUAGGUUAACUGCAAUAACAUAUAUCACUGUGUUAUUCAAUAAUCAUAUAUGGAAUUGUUGAACAUUAACCGUUACAACUUUAAUAUCCUUACCGGUGACUCGUAAGCAAUUUAUGGUGGAGCUGGACCCAUCGGUGCUUGACGACCUGUUGUCACCUCCAUAAACUGCAAUAACAGAAACUACUGUGUUACUCGAUAAACAUAUGUGAAAAUGUUGAACACAAAUUGUUAGAACCCAUUUUACCUACGAGUCGUUUCCACUGUGCAUUUGAGGAGGACCGGUGGGUGGUUCUGAAGCUACCGAUGCAUGGACCAACUGUAAACACAGAUAUGUUAUUCGAUAAUCAUAUAUGGAAUUGGAGAACACAAAACCGUUAAACUGUCUUUACCGGCUGUUCACUGCCUUGAUCAUGGUCGUCCCGUUCGUCCAUCAACUCAGGGCCCAACAUCUCAUCAUUAAAACCAACGGUGGUGCGCGUCCGCUUCGUGCCACCAGAGGCUCUUUUCUCUUUCAAGCUUCUCUUUUUUUGCCUCGCACCUAAGCCCCAAUCCGACCGAUCCUCUAUGUGCCCUAUUAGCACGUACUCAUGGCCCUCCGAUAACGGGACAUCAAGGUCCAUAAAAUACUCCCAAUUGGCCUCAUCCGCGAAGAGUUUUAACUUCUCUAGUGCCCACAACUGCAAAUAAACAAAUAAAAUAUUGUGAUUAUCGAAUACGAAAAAUUAUUAUACAAAUAUAAGGCAAAAAUUAGUAGUUGUUCACUCACAUGGUCAAAUGACUUUAACUUCUGAAAUUCCAUGUAGAUGUCUUUUGGCUUCUGAUUGUAAUCCUAUUUGCACAUUUGUGGGUAAACGUUGUCCUUCAAACCAAAGGGGGCAAUUAUUUUUUACAGGGCCGAAAUUACCUCCAUUGCCUAGAACUGCAAGUCAAAUGUAACCAUUAUCAGACCGUAAAUCAUAAACGAGUGCAACUAUAAAUUAUUAAAGUAAAAAGGAAACUGGAAAAUGUUUCGUGAUAGUACCUAUAUCACCCAUGCGAAUCCGUAAAUGUUGUAGCGUAACCGAGUUUCCUUUGUCAUGCUUGAGUCAGGCACUUCGAACCCUUUCAAAAGGUAGUCCAAGGUCAGCUUCCAAACAUAGUGCCCCAAUGGGAAGACAUUCCAAGCGUCAAUGUCCUCCACCAAUGACAGCAACCAAGGCAUCACCCAUCUACGGUAGCCUUGACCAAAUAAAAUGUUAUUCGUGAUUAAGAAGAGUGCCAUCUUAGUCGCGUCUCCUGGUUGCUGGAAGUUGCCCUCACAGAACGUAUCAAGCAAAGCCUGCAGCUUAACGCUCUCUUGCCUGUUCCAGUAUCUGGCAUGAAUUCCGUCCGUAGCAACCUCGUACGAUCGUCUAAACACAUAGGGCAUUGGACCAAACUUCAUCUCGGUGAUGAGGCAAGACUCUUGAUUUGAUAGUCACGCCUUGCUCUUGCCAAUGGCAAACCAUAGCUCGUGGUCCAUUGACUGGCUCUCAUUGAUCCGACAAAGCAUGAUGCUGUGUAGGAGACCAACGCAAAAGUACCUUUGUGGAUAGACGUCCAAGAUCCUUCCGAAGCAUGUACGCUUCACUGCAUCGUAUUCCCCCUUCUGUUGGAGAGUCUUUGUGAUGUAAUGCAGCUGCGACCACUUACAGUGGGUGUUAAUUGCGAUGUUGAACGCCCACUUCUACCUCGGCAUGAUCAGUAAACUGUCAAGAUCCUCAUACUGUCUGCGCUGGAUCUGUAAAACAUGGCACACAUGCACCAGUGAGUUAAGCCGUAAUGUACAACAAGGUAUACUGAAGACAUAAAUAAGGAAUAAAUGUUGUGAAACAUCAUUCAUAACAAGCAAAAUGUUGUGACACGCCAUGCAUAGCAUUCAAAAUGUUGUGACACACCAUACAUAACAAGUAAAAUGUUGUGACACGCCAUGCAUAUUAAGUAUAAUGUUGUGACACGCCAUGCAUAUCAAGUCAAAUGUUGUCACAUGCCAUCUACAUCGAGUCAAAUGUUUUCACACGCCAUGCAUAUCGAGUCAAAUAUUGUCACAUGUUAACACUGACUAUAAUAACAAUGUCGUGACACGACAAACACCAAAACCCCUAAAACCACUACGACUUAACCCCAAAAACCAUCAAACCAACAAGAAAACACAGUGUACACAUUUGCAAAACAAAACAAAAAACACGAAAAUAUCAAACAAACCCAGAAAAAAAUUAACAAACACAAGAAUGUUUUAAUUUGAGACUCACUGACCUCUUCACUCAUAGCCGACAUUGUUGUUGGUGUUGUGCUGUCGUUACACUUGCAAAGUGCCUUCUCGAACACUCCGGUACCGGCGAGAAUGAGAAUUGAAUCACACAAACUUUAGGAAUUCUGAAAAUAACUAUUUAAAAUGAGUUAUUUUUUUUAUUUCACUAAAGGGAAUUAAUUGAGUGGAAGUUCAAACGAUUACCACGUUAACUCUCUGCUUUUUUUUUUCCUUUCUCUAUUUCAAACCAUGACGUGUCAGCUAUUCAAGCAAUACCGUGUCACACACUUUAAACCAUGGCGUGUCAGCUUUUCAAGCAAUGCCGUGUCACACACUCUAAACCAUGCCGUGUCAGCUUAAUAAGCAAUGCCAUGUCACACACUCUAAACAUGGUGUGUCACCAACUCUGAACUCUGACUUGUCACAAUUUCCCUCCAUGGCGUGUCACCAACUCUGAACUUUGGCAUGUCACAGAUUCCCUCCAUGGCGUCUCACCAACUUUGAACGCUGGCAUGUCACAGGUUCCCUCCAUGUUCUGUCACCAACUCUGAACUCUAACGUGUCACAGAUUCCCUCAAUGGCGUCUCACCAACUCUGAACGUUGACGUGUUAUAGAUUUCCACCAUGGCGUGUCACCAACUCUUAACUCUGGCGUGUCACAGAUUCCCUCCAUAGCGUCUCACCAACUCUAAACGCUGACGUGUCACACAUUCCCAACAUGACGUUUCACGUACUCUAAAUCCUGCCCUGCCACAACUGUCUCACAUAUGGCCUGCUAUAACAGGACCAUUUCCUGCUUUGGAUUCACAUCUUUCUCCUUUCAAUUCACCACCGUAUCAAGGAUUUCUAGUUUCACAUCAUUAGCCAAGCUUUCCAUUCAUCAUGACCGAGUCUUCGUUUGGUUUAAUAUCACUAUUUUCCUAUUAUCUGAAUGCCAUGACCCAAAUCUCUAAAAAACUAUCUCAUGCAAUAUUAUUUUGUUUUGUACAACCUUCGCAAAAAAAAAGGAUGUUUUGUACAAAAUUAGAUGUUCGCAAAAUUCUUUGCAUAUUUAUUUUUUUUUCCAUUUUUCGCCUGUUUGAGAGCGCACACUAAAGAAGAUGGCACAUUAAGGGCUUUUUUGUCUCAAAAUCUAUUCUGGUGGCUAAAAAUAGUUAAAUUUAUCCCGAUGGUUAUUUACAAAAAACGUUAUUUUUAAAGGCUAAAAAAAAAUUCCCCUUCUAUUUUUGUCAUUUUACAAUAAUUUUUUCCUUAAGAUCCAUUUAUUUCUCACCUACUUGCUUAAUGGCUUUCAUGGAAAAAUACUUUACCAUAUACAGUACAAGGGAAGGGAGAUUUCCGGAGCUUUCGUAUAGAUAUUUAUCUCUUUUUACUAGUGGGACAUGGAAUCAUGAGCAUUUGUUGUAUCAGUUUGAGAAGAAAACUGAUACACUGUUAUGAAGACUUGCUUGUUUAAACUCUUUGACUAAAGCAUGUUUAUAGUAUAUUGCCUCUGUUUAAAUUACAUAAACAUCAGUAACUUAAAUUUUAAACAAAUUAAAUUAGUCUAAAUAUACUUGUGUAUGAAUUUGUAUAAUUUAUGAAAGAGCCUUUUUUUCCCAGAACAUCCUUUUUUUUUGUUUUUUAAACUCAUUCAUUACUUGGUGAUAAGCUUUUUCUCUGUCAUUCUUGCCUUAUUUUUGCUGAGCCUUUUACUUUGCUUCAAACAGUUUUUAUUUACUCAUUAAGAAGGUGGAUUUCAUCAUCUUAUUAUUCCACUUCCCCCUUUAAUAAUUACUUACUCACUAUUGAUGACUUCACAACUUCUAUAUUGACUUUGCAUUGAGUUAUGCUAAUGAAGCAUAGUUUUCUCUAAACCAAAUUUGGCAUGAUUUCAAAAGCAAGUUCACACCUUCAAUUCACUUUUUCUUUUUGGUCUCACGUAUUUGAGAAGAAAAAUCUAUCAGGAUUCGUCUCUUUCUCUUUAUCAGUAUUUUCUUGGUGAUAUGCUUUUUCACUGUCAUUUCCCGUCUUCUUUUUGCUCACCCCUUCUAUUUUGCUUCCAACAUAUUUUUUUUUUUAAUUUUCUCAAUAAUUAACGAGACAAAGAUUACCAAUGGGACAUAGGCAUCAUUGCUAUCAAAGCUUUUGAAUUAUUGACCUGAUCCCUUUAUUGUUCUCUUUCAUAUUUUUGACAUUUUGCAAUCAUUUCAAAAUGGAAAUUAAGAUCACACUUUUCAUUUUCUCUUUGUACUGUUACGUAAAUAAGACCUAGAAUCAUUGACGUACUUUUGAAUUAUUGAUUUUUUUAUUAUUUUAUUUUAUUUUUAAUUAUUAUUCAAUAUUUUUUUCUUUUCCCCUCUGAGUUUAAAACAACUUAAAAUAUAAGAAAACGAAUGUUUACUGAGGUAUUGCUCCUUUUUAAUUUCUUCUUCUUCUCACGUUCUUGGGUUUUAGCUGAAAGUGGAAGACCCUUGGCCUCAAAUGCCUCUGGUAUUCCACAUCUUUUGAUAAUGGACAUGGAAUCAUUGUUAUUUUAGUUUCUUAUUCAACAAAAGUUGCAGCAUGGACUUGGUUUUCUUCUUAGUCUCUUUUUUUUUUAUUGUUAUUUUCUUUUAUUUAAACAACAAUGGGUUCAAACAUCUUUUGAUUUAUCGAAUUAUUGCCCUCACUUUUUCUUUUCUUUUUUUAUUAAAAAAUUAUUUAACAACUAAUAAUAUCUCACUCCAAAAUCUUAACUUAUGAAAACAUGCUAUAUGUGUUGAUCAUUAGAUUAUUAAUUUUAGCUACUAAAAAAGGUGAUUAUUAAAGAUAGAUAGAUCUUUAAAAAAAAAAGUAGAUAGAUAAAGAAAUCCAUCAUCUCUAGGAGAAAUUUCAAUUAAAAAAAAAUGAUCAGCAGUGAGGAAAGUUAAGCUAAAAAAUGUUUAAGAAAGUUUCAUCAAUUGUUUUUCUCCUUGCGAUGGGGAAAACUUUGGUCAUUCAUUUCCUAAUUGACUAUCUUUGCUUCAAAGUUAACAAAGAAAUAUCAAUGUGGAAUUAGGAUUCUUCUUAAUUCUUAUCUUAAUAGAAUUAAGUCUAACUUGAAAACCAACUUUUGAAUUAUUGAUCCCGUUAGAUGGAUCAAUUUGUUUUAUCAUCUAUGUAUUUUUAAUAAUUUUAAGCUCCUUUUUACACAUACGUUUAUUUCAAAUCUACUUCAAAUCCAGAUUACUGUUAGGAUAGUCUUGAAUUAUAUUAUGAUUAGAAUUGUUUAAUUUUAAUUAAACUAAUAUACCUUCUUUGAGAUAGUCUUUAAAUUUAGUUAGACUAUAAUAACAUAUAUUAAUUAUAUUAGGAUAAGAUUAUUGUACUUGACCCCUAUAAAAGGAUUUUAUGGGGUUAAAGAAAUCUAAUCAUUUAGAUUUAGAGAUAGUAAUUUGGGUGUACGUGAGAUAAGAGUUUUGAGUUUGAGACUGUUUUUGUAAUCUUUUGAUUUUUCUCUUAGUGAAUCUUUCCCCAUUGCUGUAUCCGUUGACGUAAGUCAUCUAAAGACUAAACCACGUAAAUUUUUGUGUUCUUGUGAAUGUGCUUGAUUUUCUUCUUUCUUUAUUCAAUUGAUUGAGUAAGAUCUAGAGUAACUGUUUAGAGAUAAUUUCAUAAUUUUCACAAUAAAUUGGUAUUAGAGCUUCAAGGUCUUAAGUCAAUAUGAAUAAUCGAUGUAAUCCUUCUAUUAUUGUCCGUUAAUUUUUGUUAUUUUGGAAUAUUUUUUCCAUUGAGAUCCAUUUAUUCUCACCUACUUGCUUGCUCUGUUUAAUGACUUUCAUGGAAAAAUACUUUAUCAUAUAUAAUUACGAGGGAGAUUCUCGAAAUUUUCGUGGUUUAGAAAUUAAUAUGAUAAAUAAAAGAAUAUGGGACAAUAUUUUAACUAGUUUGUGGUUUAGAAACUAAACUGAAAAUGUAUAAAAUAAUAUUCUCAAAAUUAUUCUGAAAAUGCACUCUGUAGGUCAAGGUAUCAUUACAGAUCGUGUUUUUAUGUCCCCACAUUUGAUUCCUUGUUCUUUAUCAGAAAAUCAUGCCUGCACCUGGUCUCUGUAUCUAUCUCAUUAUUUCAUUAGGAGGGUAAAAGAAAAUGAAUUCCCCUUUCUCCUUAAAGAACAUGUGAUAGUGGGUCCACACGCUGCAAAAUUGUCUGUAAAUGAAGGAAGAAAUAGUUGCGGUUAGUCGUCGCCGAAUUGAUUAUCUCUGUUCCAAAGUUAACAAACAAAUGCUAAUGUGAAAUUAAGAAAUUGCUCAACUCUUGCCUUGAGAGAAUUGAGUCUAAUGCGGAAACCGAAUUUACCAAAGUAAAAGAGAGAUUCUAGGAACUUUCUUGAUAUUUUUAGUUCAUUGUGAAAUCAAACACAAGAUUAAUGCCACCAUUUAUUGAGAGUGUAUUGUCAUUAAAUAAGUAUUAUUGACUAAUCCUCUCUUAAAGAAAAAAAAAUGAAGAUGCUUUGUUAAAGGAAAUUCUAAUUAAUGUAAAAUUGACUUCAUGUUUGUGAUCCUAAACAUAAUAAUGUCUUCUCCAUAAAAUUUAAAAAAUUAAAUUAUUUCAAUAAAUAAAGUAUAAAUUUCCACUAAACAAAAUUUUGUCAUUAUUAAAAAAGCAAUUAAAUUCAGAACCAGUAACAGGGGUUAACCGUUAACCCCUUGCUAUACAAGAGCUGGUGGUGUCCCCAAAAAACUGUAGCCAAAACCCAAACUCAAAGGAGUCCCAGGAAUCAUAAUUACAUAAAUGGUGGUACGCACAGCCUCCACUACCUUUAUCCUUGGAGGCCAAUCCCUGUCAGAACAAGAACCAGAGCAGAGAGCGAGUAAGCACCCACUAAGAGAAUAAACAAAAUUAAUUACAUGAAAGACCCCUGUAACAAAAGACAAAUUCAGUGUGAAAAAUCAACAAAACAUGGCCCCCAGAAGCAAUCGAAAAACUUCUCAAGAGCAGCUGAAAAAGAAAUUAAGUUUACACUUUUAAUUCUUUCAUUGUGCUUCUAUGCAAAUGGACGUUGGAAUCAUCGAUACACUUUUAAAUUAUUAAUUAUUUUUUAUCAUUUUUAAUUACUUUUUAAUAUUUAUUUUUUAUCUAUUUAGUUAGUUUAUAUGAAAAACACUUUAUUCUCUUUGUAAGUAGAAACUACUAUCAUUAUUUCGUAAAUAUCAUCAAGAGUAAACACUAAACUUGAUUAUCUUUAUUUAUGAUUUUUUUGUAAUUAAGCAUUACUUGGUGAAUUCUUUUCUAAUAAUGAGCAAUGGCCUACUUUUACAAGCCUUUUGUGAACUUGUUGCCUGCCUAAAUCAUUUAAGUUGGACAUGGAAAAAAAUUUAGUGUCAAUUUUGCUUGUAAAGUUUGCGGAUGUAUGCUCAAAUGCAAAAACCAAGAGCAAUAGAAGAAAAUGCUGCAGGUAUACACCAAGGAAAAACGGAAGUUGCAGGUAAGCUUCUAUUUUUAUCAAAGAAAACUGAAAUAGAAAUCAAAGAAAACUCAAAAUAUAUAAAAUAAUAUUCUUAAAUUAUUCAGAAAAUCUACUUUAUAGGUCAAGGUACAUGUAUACUUUUUGAAACAUCAUUUAGAGAUCAUGUUUUUUUCCCCGCAUUUGAUUCCUUGUUCUUUAUCAGAAAAUCAUGCCUCCUCCUAGACCCUGUAUCUGUCUCAUUAUUUCAUUGGGAGGGUAAAAGAAAAUGAAUCCACUUUCUCCCCAAAGAACAUGUGAUAAUGGGUCCACACUUUGAAAAAUUGUCUGUAAAUGAAGGAAGAAAUUGUUUUGGUUAGUCGUCGCCUAAUUGAUUAUCUCUGUUCCAAAGUUAACAAAGAAACGUCAAUGUGGAAUUAAGAAAUUGCUGGACUCUUGUCUUGAGAGAAUUAAGUCUAACGCGGAAAUCGAAUUAUCAAAAUAAAAGAGAGAUUCUUGAAACUUUCUUGAUAUUUUGGGUUCAUUGUGGAAUCAAAUACAAUAUUAAGGCCACCAUUUAUGGAAAGUGUAUUGCCAUUAAAGAAGUGUUAUUCAUUCAUUCUCUUUCAAAGAACAAAAAAAGAAUGGAGAUGCUCUGUUAAAGGAAAUUUUAAUUAAUGUAAAAUUGGUUUCAUAUUUGUGAUCUUAAACAUAAUAAUGUCUUCUCCAUAAGAUUUAAAAACUUAAAUUAUUUUAAUAAAUGAAGUAUAAAUUUCCACUAAACAAAAUUUUAUGAUUAUUCAAAAGACAAUUAAAUUCACAAUGGUUUUCUUUUGAAAAGCUGCAAUUUUAUUCCCUAUUCAGAACCAGUAGCAGUGGUUAACCCCUUGCUAUACAAGAGCUGCUGGUGUCCCCAAAAAACGGUAGCCAAAACCCAAACUCAAAGCAGUCCCAGGAAUCAUAAAUACAUCGACGGAGGUAAGCACAGCCUCCACUACCUUUAUCCUUGGAGGCCAAUCCCUGUAAGAACAACAACCAGAGCAGAGCGCGAGUAAGCACCCACUACGAGAAUAAACAAAAUUAAUUACAUGAAGGACCCCUGCAACAAAAGACAAAUUCAGUGUGAACAAUCAACAAAAGAUGGCCCCCAGAAGCAAUCAAAAAACUUGUCAAGAGCAGCUGCUAAAGAAAUUAAGUUCACACUUUCAAUUUUUUCUUUGUGCUCCUAUAUAUGCAAAUGGGCGGUGGGAUCAUCUAUUCACUUUUGAAUUAUUAAUGCUUUUUUUUGGUCGUUUUUCAGUUACUUUUAAGUAUUUAUUUUUAAUCUACUUGGUUGGUUUACAUGGAAAAUAAUUGACUCUCUUUGUAAGCAAAAACUACAAUUAUUAUUUCGUAAAUGUCUUUAAGAGUAAACAUUUGAUUAUAUCUAUUUAUGAUUCUUUUAUAAUUAGGCAUUACUUGGUGAAUUCUCCUCUAAUAAUGAGAAAUGACCUACUUUUAAAAGCUUUUUGUGAACUUGUUGCCUGCGUAAAUCAUUUAAGUUGGACAUGGAAAAAAAAUUUAGUGCCAAUUUCGCAUGUAAAGUUUGCAGAUGAAUUCUCAAAUGCAAAAACCAAGAGCCAUAGAAGAAAAUGAUGCACAAUAAUCAGAAAUCAAGGCUAAGCUUCUAUUUUGAUCAAAGUACUGAAAUAGAAAUCAAGUUUGCGCUACAAUAAUCAGAAGCCCACAAGCAGAGGGAAUUAAGAAACAACAGUUGAUUCUUCUUCGGGUAGCAAAAACACUUGAAUACAGGAGAGAAAAUUUCGAAUAAUUGAUGUGAUCUCUCUAUUAUUGUCCUUUAUAUUUUUGUCAUUUUUUCAAUUUCUGAGAUGAAUAGAAUAUUACAUCUCCAAUUUUCGCUUUCAAACACUGUACAAAUAAUGGAACAAAGUCAACAUCCACAUUUUGCUUAAGGAAAAAGAAAAAUCAAGGAAAGGAAGACAGAUAGGCCAAUUUGGAUUUGGAUAACUUAUAGUUAUGAUGAUUUUGGGGGUGCCACUAACAAAUCUUUUCUGGAUCCAAUUGAUGGGCCAGAAGAAACCAAAAAGAGAAAAGGAUGGAGUCAUGAAGAUGCUCUGUUAAGGUCCCUUGGUUGGCUUUCUAGGAAGUGUUAUGGCAAAAGCAUGGGACUUGCGAGGAUGUAAAUGAUAGAAAAUUUUCCAGCCAACCACAAUUGCUCAAGUUCAGCUUCAAAUCUUUUUAUUUUUAUUGUUUUCUUUUUUGUGCUCCUACCAUUUGAGAAGAAAAUCGAUCCAUUAUUAUGAAGACUUCCUUGUUUAAUCUUGUCAUCAGUUAACAAUUUAUUUAAUCUUUUUUAUUGAAGCAUAUUUAUAGUUUAUUGCCCCUGUUUAAAUUACAUAGACAUCAAUAACUUGAAUUUUAAAUAAAUUAAAUUAUUCUAGAUAUGAUUGUGUAAGAAAAAUCAUAAUUAAGAAAAGCUUGUAGGAACCUGAUGAAAUGCAUAAUUAACAAAAUUCAUCACCAAGUCCUUAAAAGCAUAACUAGCUUUUUGACCAUGCUUGUCAUUGGAAAAAUAGGAAAGCCCAAGCAAUGAUGAGUGAUGUUUCUUGGGCUGGAAAUGACUUUAUUUACGGAUAUGAAUAGACAAUAACACCUUCAACUUUUCUAUUCAAACACUGUAUAAUUAAUGAAAUACGCCUUUUAUUUAAAUAAAAAAAAGAAGAAUCGAAGAAAGGAAGGUAGAUAGACCAAUUUGGAUUUGGAUGACCUAUAAUUAUGAUGACUUUCGUAUUCAUAUUCACUUUUGUUAAUAAAAACAGUUUUUUUUUAAAACAAUUUAUACUGUAGAAAUUUGGUGUUAAUAAGCAUAGGAAAAAUAAACAAAAAUAAGUAACUAAUAGAAUCGAAAUUUAGAAAUUAUUAAUAUAUUUUCAUGGCACUGCACAAUAUAUAUAUUCAUGGUAUAAAAAUUAAUUAUAAUUUUAUUUUAUUUUGUUAUAAAUUUUAUGACUUAUAACUAUGAUGAUUUAAGAUAUGUCACUGUUAAAUUUUUUCUUAAUCUAUUAGAUAGGACAAUUUGUUUUAUCAUAUCCCUCCAUUCGCUUAUCUUUGUUCUUUAUUUAUUUAUUUAUUUUUUGUUAAAUAAACUUGAUUCUGAUCAUUAAUUUUUUUUUGAAAAUAUGGUGCAUUUAAUUAAUCAUCAAUCACAUAUUACAAUGUGAGUUAUUAACAAAAUUUAAUGAACAUUAAACCGCUAUAUCCCACUUUCAUUCCCUGUGCAUAGAAAGUAAGUCUUGUUGAAAACCUUCCCUUGGAAAAACCCAUUUGGAUAAAACCAAGGGUAAAGAAAAAUAGUACUUCUUUAACCAUACAAAUCCCUAGGAUCUUUCUGAACACCCUUCCCCGUUUGUAACGUACGAAGCUUCCUUGUCUUUUAGUAGGCACUCUUUGAUUUUGCAAAUCGUCAAUCCUGAAAUACCCUUACUCUCCUUAGCCAUUGAUAACAUUCCCGAUAAUGCUUCGGUGAUAAUCACAAACAAGAAAGUAUUACUUGAAAUUGCUACAAAAUCUUAAAAAAUAGUCUUGUAAUAUGGAUAAUUAUUGAAACAAAAUGUAUGAUAUUGUAAGAAAAGGAAAUUAAAUUGAAUUUGCUAAUUCUAAGUGCAUGUAGAAAUGAUCCAAUCCCUUCAUAUAAUUCUUAUUGUAAGCAUUACUUGGUAAAAUUUUCUUCUAUCAACGAGUAAUUACUUCAUUUUAAAUGCUUUUUGUGAACUUGUUGCCUGGCUAUACUACCAUGGCCAAAUGUUUUAUACGUUGGAGUAACAAUCAAACUCUCAAUAUUUCAAUAAAUCACUUUAAAAUAAAAAAUUAAAGUUUAAUUUCCCUGUCUUGAUUGCUGCAUAACAUAUUUGUACAACUUAUUGACUAAAGACAUAAAAUACAAAAAUAAGGACAAGAAACAGAAGAAUUUUAGGCUUGUUCUUUUGACUUAUUGUAGAUAUAGAGAGCAACAUAACAUUGAUUAGGUAAAAGCAAGUGAUCCCUUCACUUGACAACUCUACGAAGCCAACAUCUCGACCAACGAAAAGUACAAUAAUUUCAACUAACUGUUUUUCUGGUUUUUUUUAUGUAAAUAAUAAAAGUUAGUACAAGUAAACCAUCCAAAACUUGAUUAGGACCAGGCACACAAGUGAAAGAAAAGAAAAUGGAAAGCAGCUUUGCUUUUCCUGUGUUUAGUUGACAGCCUCAACCACUAUAUUUAUGUUUAAACAUGCCUUUGCAACUUCCCCUGCAAUCACCUCAUCAUUCUUCCAUGUAAGGUGGUAGCUGAUCAACCCGACGUGGCUGCCACCUGUUCCAAGCUAUGGUCUUGGUGUGGACUACAUUUUGAGCAGUGACAGACCCUUCAGUGUCAUCUUGCUCAACCAGUCGUGGUAUCUUUUUAAACCAUUGAAGCAGCAAAAUGUAAAACAAAGUAUUAAUGUCUCAUGUUAUAAAGGAAAAAGAAAAAAUAGACAUAUUAUAAUAUAUAAGUAUUUUAUGUCAAAAAUUUAUUAAAAGUAAUGGAAUCAUUCACUAAAAGUGAUAUUCUAGACAUAGACUAAUCUUUUUGUUGCAGCAUACUACUUAGUCAUUUAAGUAAUUUAAGUAAAGACUUUGAAAAAUUAUGUAGUAUAAUAUUAUUAAAGACUCUAAUUGCCUUUGCACAUAACAAAUAAAAGCUUGUACUUAAUUUACUAAUCAAUAAUAAAAGCUCUUAAUAAUUAAUAAUGAUUGUUUUGGGAGGAUAAGGAGAAUGAAGAAGGUAUUUUCAUUUUUUUUUAAUAAUAUUCCGGCAAGAGUACAUGAAGAUGGCUUCAAAGGAUUUUUGAUCAAUUUGGAAAGGUUGUCAAUACAUUUAUAGAGAGAAAUAGAUGCAAAUAUAGUAAGAGGUAUCGCUUGAUCAUAUUUGAAUAUUUUAAUAAAGCUAGAAGAGCACUCCAGAAUUUAAAUGGAGUCUGGCUUCUUAAUCAAAGGCUAGUGGUCAACAUAGCUAGCUAUGGAAGCCAUGAUUCAUUCUAAAGGAGGAACCAAAAAGGAAGCUUCUUAUGCACCUGGUGUUAACCACAUUAGGAAUGGAACCUGCAGUGGGAUUUUAAGACACAACUCGACCUUAUUUACUAAGCCAUCUUAUGCUCUGGAAUUGAAUGGCACUUUUGAAAGAGGUGGAGUUUCAAAUAAAGAUAGAGAAGAUGAUCUUCAAUGUCUCAAAAAGCAUGGAAAACAUGCUUUGGUUGAAGAGAAGUGUUGUGGUAACAACAUAAUGUAAUUCAGAUUCAGCAAAGUGGAUGGAAUUAUUUAAAAUGUGAGGCAUUUCGGGGCUGCUUAUGAGGAGUUUGUCUCCCAAAGAAUUUCUGCUAACCUUUGAGGAUAAGAAGCUAUUUGAAGAACUCAAAGAUAAAGGUUGGGAUUGGCUUAACAAAUGGUUUACUAAGGUGGAAACAUGGCUAGAGAAUUUUUCAUCAAAACUCCUUAGCAAGUGGGUGAUUGUCAAAUUGAUUGUACAGGGUAUCCUUUAGAUGUGUGAAAUAGGCAUAUUAUAAUUUAUAAGCAUUUUAGGCCAAAUUCAUUAAAAGUGAUAUUCUAAACUAAGUUUUGGUUGUAGAGACUUACUCAAUCAUUUAAGUAAUUUAAGUAAAGAUUUUGAAGAUUAUGCCUUAAAAUAGACAAGAUUAAAGUUUUCAAGGUGUAUACCUCUGUUUUGGCGUGCACAUAUUUCUUUGAAUCUAUGAAGAAACCUGUAGUCAUCUUGGGACAUCCUUCUACUCUUAAAGAUGACAAAGCCGGUAGUACAAAGUGAUAUCCCCUUGGACAGAAGUCAACGAGGCUUCGCACUUUUACAAGUGAUAAUACUUUUAAUUGAUCAAACUUUAUCUCCUUUUCAGCUAUUGCUUCUGCUUCAAAUACUUGCUCCAAUUUAGAGUUCCCUUUGACCCAUAAUUUUUCAAGUUUUUGAAGACAACAAGCAAAUCCAAGAGGAAAGAGACAUCUUAGCCUCUUGCAAUCUAUCACCUUUAGAACUGUAAGGUUUUCAAGAGUUGCAACUUGAGCCACAUCCUUCCAUAUCAUCUGCACUUCAGAUAAAUCCUCCAGAUGGAGUUCCUUUAUACGCCCAUGAAUCUGAAAUACCCCCUUCGUGACUCCCAACUGGUUUAUUUUCUUGAUUGUAAUUGGCUAAAAUAUGCAACUGAAAGCUAUUCCCAACUUAGAGAGAGAUAAUUCCUGCAAAUACAGACACCACUAAAUGUCACUAAAUACAUUCAUUUUCUACUAGAUUGGGAAGAGUUAAGCAAAUGUUACUCAUAAUUCUUCAUAUUUUUAGAUGCCAAUUCACAAAAAAUCCUUACAUUUCAAAGAUAGCACAUAUAUAUGUUUCAAAAUUUAAAUCCAAAAUUUUCAUGAAAUUGUUUGAAAGUGGAACCCAAAAACACCAAACCUUUUUAGGUUUUUCUUUGUUAAAUUUGAACAUAAAACCUUUUGUGAUUUUCCUUUUCUUUUGUUUUUUUCUUUGUCAUUUUUAUGCUGCAAUUUUAAAAUAUAGUUGGAUAAGUUUGUGAGUGUUGAAAAGAUUUGGCUCGAAGGCAAAAUCCAAAACCAUAAUUGAAGAAAAAGUAUAUAAAAGAAAUACCUUUAGUUGAACUUGCUCCUUAGCUUCUUUUUGAAUGGUAAAAUUUAUCAAUUUAGGACAGUUGUAAAUGUCCAACUUCUUCAAAGACGGUGAUGAGAUGAGAAAGUUUUCCGACCAAAAGCAACCCAAAUUUGUCAAGUUUACAAGUCCUAAAUGUUGUAGGGAAGGGAGUGCAAUGGCACAAUCAACUCCAAUCUUUUCUUUUGCCACACGGAAGACUUGCUGUAACUGAGGCGAAUCGGUUAUCCAAAAUGAUUUCAAUCGUGGAAGAACUUGAGCCAGAGCAAUUUGAAAAACAUAUUCCAAUCUUGGACAAUCAGUUAUUUCUAAAGUUUCCAACUUUGGCAAGAACGGAGAAAAGGCAUUUGGUUCCAUUUCAUCAUCACAGACCAACUCGGUGAUAAUGUGUUGCAGUCCAUCACAGUGAUCUAUCGUGAGUUCUUCUAGUAGCACCAAGCUUUGAGCAAGGGAUGGUGAGAAGAGAUGUUUCAAUCUAUUGCAGUAACUAAUUUCUACAAACUUCAAGCUUUGGAGGCUGACAAAACGGGUGGAUCCUUUCCAUAUCCAAUUCAAUUCAGGUAAUGAGUUUAGCUCCAUUAGUGUUAAAUUUGACAACAGCAAUCCUUGAUUUUCUUUUGUAUCAUGAAGAAGCUCAUCUAUUUGAAAUACUUCUUGCAACUGGCCACAAUUAAUAACUUUCACUUCCUUUUUGUCGCGCAGGAGAUAAAGAGACCAUUUCCAUGCAAUUCCUUGUUGUCAACUUCUCUAGUUUCUGUAGAAAGCCCUUUGGAAACUGACCUUUGCACAACAUUUUGAAACCAGUCAUUUCUUUUAUGACUAAUUCCACUAAAUUGAGCAAGGCAUUGGUUGAGACAUGGCCUUCUGUCGUAUCAAUCAAGCAUUCAAGCUCCUUGCCACCUUUAAGUGCAAGAAAAGUUAAUUCAUUAAGCCACUUUGGAUCUACAUUUGGAAUGAGAUUUUUUUGAUACAUGACACUAUCCAGGGUUAGACUUUUGGCAUUGUAUAAUACUUCCUUCAAUGCAUGCAAUUGAACAUCCUGAUAAAUCACAACAAAAUGAAAGAUAUUAGAAAAAUAGAAAGGUAGAUAAUACUCUUUAAAUCAGAAUUGAAUUUCUUUCUAUGCAUAAAAUUUAAAACAUACCAAAGCUCAUUAAAGUUGAAAAACAUACCAAAGCUCAUUAAAGUUGAAAAACAUACCAAAGCUGUACAUGCUGAAAUUUAUCAGACACAUGGAAAUAUGAUUUAGCAAUAAAGUACAUGUGGGAUGCACGCAAGGAAGGAAAAGAAAUAAAAUUUUGUUAUUGCCACGUGCUUGUUUGCUUUUUUUAUUAAAUUCAUUAAAUUUUUUAUUUUAUCAUGCCACGUACAUGUCUUCUAUUGCCACAUCAUGUUUUCACAUGUCCUAUAAAUGCUAGCGUGGCUUGGAGUUAAAACAUCCAUGGAUUCUAUCCAAAUAAGGGUGCUUGGAUAAUGAAAAUAACACUUUAAGAGCUUAAUUAGAUGCAAUUAUAUGCAAAAUAAUCAUGCAGCACUCUCAUUCUUAUAAUAUGAAUGGGUUCUUUUUUUAUUAUUAUUAAAUGACGAGUACUUUGAGUAAUUAUUGAAGGAAUUGAAGACAAAGUUGCUGAUGAUCAAUGAGAGUUUGAAUUUCUCCAGGAUACAAGUGUGACUUUCCCUAAUUUUUAUAAUGUAAAACCCCGUAAAAACCUUUCUUGAAGAAAAGUUUUCAUCUUUUUCCUAUUUUGUUGUUCAAAUCUUUUUCCCAUUCCAAGAAAGAAUCAGAAUCACCUAGCUAAUUAUUGUAUGAAUAUGCCGUUCUUUCUUUUUAAUUUAUGAGUAUUGGCCUUUUAUAUCGGUCAAAAUAAAGAGUCUAAAAUUUUUGAACAACAAUUUUAAAAUACAGUUGGAUUAGUUUAUGAGUGUUGAAAAGAUUUGGUUCGAAGGCAAAAUCCAAAAUUGUAAUUGAAGGAAAAGUAUGUAAAAGAAAUACCUUUAGUUGAACUCGCUUCUUAACUUCUUUUUGAAUGGUAAAAUUUAUCAAUUUAGGACAGUUUUAAACUUCCAACUCCUCCAAAGAUGAUGAUGAGAUGAGAAAGUUUUCCGAGCAAAACCAACCCAAAUUUGUCAAGUUUACAAGUCGUAAAUCUUGUAGGCAAGGGAGUUCAAUGGCACAAUAAACUCCAUUAUUUUCUUUUGCCACAAUGAAGACUUGUUGUAGCUGAGGAGAAUCAGUUAUCCAAAAUGAUUUUAACCGUGGAAGAACUUGAGCCAGAGGGAUUUGAAAAACAUAUUCCAGUCUUGGACAAUAACUUAUUCUUAGAGUUUCCAAUUUUGGCAAGAACGGAGAAAAGGCAUUUGGUUUUAUCUCAUCAGCACGGCCCAACUCAGUGAUAAUGUGUUGCAGUCCAUCACAGUGAUCUAUCAUGAGUUGUUGUAGCAGCACCAAGCUUUGAGCAAGGGAUGGUGAGAAGAGAUGUUUCAAUCUAUGGCAGUAACUAAUUUCUACAAACUUCAAACUUUGUGGCGUGGGAGAUAAAGAGACAAUUUCCAUGCAAUUCCUUGCUGUCAACUUCUCUAGUUUUUGUAGAAAUCCCUUUGGAAUCAGACCGUUGCACAACAUUUUCAAACCAGUCAUUUCUUCUAUGACUAAUUCCACCAAAUUGAUCAAGGCAUCGUUUGAGACGUGGCCUUCUGUUGCAUCAAUCAAGCAUUCCAGCUCCUUGCCAUUUUUAAGUGCAAGAAAAGUUAAUUCAUUAAGCCCCUUUGGAUCUACAUUUGGAAUGAGAUUUUUCUGAUACAUGACUCUUUCUAGGGUAACAUUUUUGGCAUUGUAUAAGAACUCCUUCACUCCAUGCAAUCCAACAUCCUAAUAAAUUCACAACAAAAAUGGAAAACACUAGAAAAAUUAGAAUGCUAAAUAACACGUCUUAAAUCAAAAUUGAAAUUAUUUUUUAUGCAUAAAAUUUAAAGAUUUGAGCCAAAAGAAAAGCAAACCAAUGCUUGAAGUACAAAUAUUGUACAGUAUACUUAUUGGUAGAUGUGAAUGUACUAAAAUGCGCUUAUAUAAACCCCAAAACAUAGUAAAUUAUUUUCCAGAUUCAUCAAUCAUUUCUUACAUAAGUAUUCUUUCCUUUUCAUUUUUUCUCGAUUUAAUUUAAUUUCUUUCCUUGAUGUACCAAAGUUAGUGCAAGGGUAGGUGAAAAGAGAUAUACCAGUUUAGAACACAAUCCAAUUCUCAUAGUCUUAAGACUCUGGAGAUUAAAAAAAUGGGUGGAUCCUCUCCAUAUGCAGCUUAAUUCUGGUAAUGACGUAAGCUCCAAACAAGUUAAAUUUGACAAUGGUUGUACCUGAUUUUCCUGACAUAAAGAAAAAUAUAUAAAUUUUUAAUUAAUAAAUAUUGAAAUAUGAAUUCGUUAUACUUAAAUAUAGAGAAGGCAUAUAUUUUUUAGACAAAUGUAGAAGGAAGGGUUGAAAGCCAAUAAUUUAGAAAGAUUAGAUAGUAAUUAUUUAUAAUUCAAUAAUUCAAAGAAAGGUAAUUAGAAAAAGAAUAUAUGAGAGCAUUAUUAAAGGAAAAAUGAAGAGAUAAGAGGUACCUCUAGCUCAACCAUUUCUUUGUCAAAAGCAAAGACUUGCUCUAAUUUUUUGCAUUCAGAUAUCUCAAGUUUCUCUAGAUGCAACAGACUUUGAGCAAGGCAAGGUGAGAAGAUAGAUUUCAAUUUAUGACAACGACAAAUUAUUACUUCCUUCAGACUUUGUAGGCUUACAUGAUGAGUUGGCUCUUUCCAUAGACUCUCCAACGUUGGUAAUGACCGUAGCUCCAAGUUUCUUAAAUUUGAGAUCGAUUGCAUUUGACUUUCUUUCCCAUUCAUUUGAAACACUGAUUGCAACUCCUUACAAUCCGAAAUACUCAAUGUUUCUAACUUUUGUAAGAAGCUAAUCGGGGAUUGACCACGACAUAACUUUUUCAAAGAAGUCAUUCCUUUCAUCUUUAAGUUCACCAGAGUAGAGAAUGCAGUGGUUGAACUUUGUUCUCGUUUUGUAUCGAUCAAGCUUUCCAUGGUGAUAUUGUGCAGAGUAAGGUUUUCCACGUUGCAAAACAGCUCCUUAAAUGCAUUUAAUGAGGAUGAGAAAUCUCUAAUUGUCAAGGUUCUCAAGUGCAUCCCCAUCAAAUCUUCAGUAUCUUCAUUUACAGCUAUAUCGUACCUUUGUAGUUUAGGGAACACAAAGUUUUCUUGAGAACAUUGAUCAGUAGAAACUCUCAAUCUUAAUGCACUCAAACGAGACAUGAAUUAAGCUCCAAUAAGUUCGCAUUGUUUUCUGUGUCCACGUGUAGCUCCUGGAGUGACGCUAACCUGUUGAACACAAAUACAAAAUAUUGUUAACACAAUAAUAGCGUUUUCAUUUGAAUGAUACAAAUAGCUAGGUAAUGAAAUGAAUAAUAUAACAUAAUUUUUUAAAAAUUUUUUCAUGCGUAGAGAAAAUAUAUGUGUGUACUUAAAUACUUAACUGAAAACAAUAAAUUAAACAAUUUUAAUCACAUCUUAAUACUACCUUGAUAGCAAGUUAGGGGGGAAAUAGCAGCAAUGUUCCUCUCCAUGGAAAUAUAGGGAUUUUAGUCUUCGCAAUUCCACUAAUUCCUCCGUUAGCUCUUCAAUAUUAGUAACAAACAAUGUCAAAAUCUCAAGGUUUUCCAUGUUUCCCAAUGAUGAGAUGUUUCUGAGCUUGCAAUCCACAAAGCACAGAGUUCGAAGAUUUGUCAAGAAUUGAAGUGCUUUUAGUGAGAGUACAACAUUUUUGAGAAGUAAAACUCGGAGGGUUUUCAUUCCUUCAAAAAACAUACUCGAAAUUUCCAAUGAAGUAUCUCCCACUAAAAAAAAAGUCUUAAGUUUUGAAAAUUCCAAAUUGUCAGGAAAGUUAUUUAUCUCAACGUCCCAUAAGGAGAUUGCCGUAUAAUAUCCAAAACUUUCACUUAUAGACCAUUCCGUCAACCCAUCUUUUACCAUGAAUUUAUUUUCCCCUCUCAAUGUUACCCAAUGAGCAAAAUCGCGAACCACAUCAUGCAUUUUUAUAGUUUCUUCAUCGUCAGUUUCCAAUAGCAAACCAGAUUGUUGGAGUUUAGUUAAUGCUUCAUAAAUUUCCCUCCGUAAGACUUCAAAUGAGUUAAUGUUACAGAACAAUCCUUGACCAAUUCCACACAUAACCAAAAUCUCAAUCGGUAUUUCAAAAUCUUCUGGAAAAAGGGAACACAACAAGAAACAUGACUUGACAUUAUCAUCCUCCAAAUAAUCAUAACUAAGCUCAAGACGGCUAUAGAUACCUCCAUAAACAUCUUGAUUAUCUAAAGGUCUUGAGUCUCUAAGUCGUUGAUUUGCUACCAUCCAUCCAUUUAGACUUUUACCUUUCAGAGCUUUUGCCACAGUUACAAUUGCAAGAGGCAAACCAUUGCAUUCACGAGCAACCUCCUUGGCUACAAUCAAGGUGGGGGAGUCAUCUUCUACACCAGCUUUAUCUUUGAAUAAAGCCCACGCUUCAUUUUCAGAUAAGAUAUUGAGGUGAACUUCCUUUUGACUAUUCAUACGAGUGCAAACUUGUUGAAGACGCGUGGUUAAAAAAAUUUUGCAGCCCUUGUGAUCAUCACCAAAUGGAAUUCCUAUAACCUUCAAGUCAAGUUCUUCCCAAACAUCAUCAAGGAUUAUAAGGAUGCUCUUCUCGUCUUUGAUUCUCAACCACAAUUGUUCUGCUCUUCCUUCUGGUGUCUUCUUUUGAAAAUCUAAAUCUAGAAAGUCUGCAAUUUUAUCUUGAAUAUUGUUGAUGUUUGGAUUUUGGGACACGGUUACAACCACAACUUUAUCGAAGAGUUGUUUGGCUUGGUUUCCCACUUCUUUUGCCAAAGUGGUUUUACCCACUCCUCCCAUCCCAUAUAGUCCAAUCAUGUUCACAUCACCAUUAUUCAGAGCCUCCAUGAUCCCUUUGAAAGCAGAAUUCGAAGAUUCAGAAGACAUGAAAUCCUUAGAUGGAAUGAACUCUAAUCCUGGAAGAGUAGAUCGGUAACCUACUCGUUCAAAAUUAGAAUUCUCUAAAAGUUGAGAGAUACAAAGUGUCUUCUUCGCUACUUUGAUACUUAAGCAGUAUCGCCAGCCCCAACUAAGACGCCAAUUGAAACACUUGUUACGUUCAAUUUCAUCUUCCAAACUCUGAGCUUCUCCCAAUUCUUUGUCUGCCCUUGUUAGACACAAAUUACCUCCACCACAGAAUGUCAUAAAAUGGGAAAUCCUCCCACCCAUAAACGAAUGAAGCAUCAGCCUAAGCAUCUCUCGCAACAUGACAGCAUUUCCAAAGAUUUUCCCCACCAGUUUUUGUUGAUAAUCAGCAGCAUCCAAUAAGCCCUCGAAGUAUCAACCCCGUGGGCAGCUCAAAACCAGGCCCCAAGUGUCUCCUGCUUGAAAUUCCUGUUUUAGCCCAACGGUCAGCGCACUCGUUGGCUUCCCAUGUGUAUGUUUGACACUUGCACCGAGCCUACCAGCCCAAUCAGCUCAUCAAGCUUUUUCUUGGAAAGUGGAUUUUUAUUAACCACGCAACCGAUAUGCCAUUGUUAGUCUAAAGCUGAAGCUACCAGAGACUCAUUAGAAUGAAUACUAGCCUGCCCAAAAAAAAAAAAAAGGAAAGAAAAGCUGUACAAUAAAAGAGCACAACUGCUCACAUAGAUUAGCAGUAGUCCCACAACAUUCAGCAACCAACAACAAGAGAAGCUCAAAGCUGCCUAUACACAAAAACUGGCGGCUGGAAACAGGAAAGCUAUCAAACUAAGACUAUCCUCGUAAGAGUAUCUAGAACGAAGCAACAAAAGCAAAAGCCGAAGGCAUCAAACCAAGUGUGCUCCAAAAUAAAGGCAAGGGACUCAAGAUCCCUUGAAAUCCUUUGGUCAUCCUAGCCCUUGGAAAUCCCUCCGCUAUCUCCAUGGCCGCACCUGCACAUUCACAGACCAAGAAGCAGUGUUUGGUUAGCACAGGAACAGUUUAUCCGAAAGAUAAAUCUUAACCUGUGAAAAGCGCAGUAAUUUUAAGCACAUGUUCCUUUUUAUGUAAAUAACAAAGGUUAGCAGUGAACCACCCAAACUUGAUUAGGACUAUGCAAAGACAAGAAAGAAAUGAAAACGGAAUGCAGCCUUUUUUUUUUUACCUGCGUUUAGUUGAUAGCCUCAACCUACUCAUUUAUGUUUAAACGUGUCUCUGCGAGUUCCUCUGAAAUUAUCUCAUAAUUCUUCCAUGUAAGGUGGUAGCACACAUUUCAUCCACGGCUGCCAAUCUAUGGUCUUGGUGUGAAUUGCAUUUUGAGCAGUGGCAGAUCCUCCAGGGGCGUCUUGCUUAACCAAUCGUGGUGUCUUUUAAACAAUUGAAGCAGUGAAAUGUAAAACAAAAUAGACAUGUCAUGUUAUGAGGACAAAAGAAGAAAUAAGCAUAUUAUAAAUUAUAAUCAAUUUAGGCCAAAUUCAUUAAAGGUGAUGGAAACAUUCAGUAAUGGUGAUCUUCUAGACCAACAUUUUUGUAGCAAUGUAUUAGUCAAUCAUUUUAGUAAUUUAAGUAAAAAUUUUGAAGAUUAUGCCUAAUAAUUAAUAUUAUUAAAAGACUCCAUAGAGCUAUAUAGGAUUAAAGUUUUUUGGACGUAUACCUCUUCUUUGGCAUGCACAAAACUCUCAGAAUCAAUGAAGAAACCUGUAGUCAUCUUGGGACAAUUUUUUACGAUCAAAUAACUCAAAGUCGAUAAUACAAAAUGAUAUCCUCUUGGGCAGAAGUCAAUGAGGCAUGGCAAUUCUUCAAGUGAUAAUAUUUUUAAUUGAUCAAACUCUAUCUCCUUUUCAGUUGUCCCUUCUACUUCAUCAUCUACCUCAAAUACUUGCUCCAGUUUAGAGUUCCCUUCAACUACUAAAUAUUCAAGUUUUGGAAUACAACGAGCAAAUCCAAGAGGAAAGAGACUUCUCAACUUUUUGCAAUAUUUAACAGAAAUUGUGAUCAAAUUAGGAAAGCAUAUCGAUUGGGAAUCACCAUUUGAUGAUGAACAAACUUGAUCCUUUGCAAUGAUUUGGUCUAAUUCCUCACAUUUUCGAAUAUCUAGAUGGACCAAUUGUGAUAAACUUCGAGCAAUUGUUGUGGGUGAAAAUAUAUAGCUUAGCCUCCUGCAAUCGGUCACCUCCAGAAUUGUAAGGUUUUCAAAGAUUACAUUCUGAGUAGCAUCCUUCCAUAUAUUCCGCAUUUCAGAUAAAUGCUUCAGGCGCAGUACAUUUAAACUAGAGAAUGAAUACCGACCAUGAACCUGAAAUACCUCUUCAUGAUUCCCAACAACUAAAUAGUCUUGAUUCAAUAGGGGGACAACAGUGUUACACAAUUGGCUGCUAUUUCCCAAGUUAGAAAGAUAUAAUUCCUGCAAAUACAGACAUCACUAAAUAUCAUUAAAUACAUUCCUUUUCUAUAAGAUGGGAAUUACCUGAUCAAAUUUUACUCUUAGGUCUUCAUACUUAUAGAUGUCAAUUCACAGAAAAUCCUACAAUUCUAACAGUAUCACAUAUGUUUCAAAAUUUAAACCCAAAACUUUUUGAAACUGGAAAACAAAGACACCUAACCCCAUUCAGGGUUUUUUUUUUUGGUGGUAAGUUUGAAGCUAAAAUUGUUUCUCAUUUUCCAUUUCUUUGUUUUUCCACGCAUCCUUGACCCGUUCCCCAAACUCUCUCCUCGGCUAAUUUAAGAACUUUCUUAAAUACAAUAAAAGAAAAGGGGUUUAUUUAAUUUUAUUUUGAAAUAAUAUAUAAGCUUUUUUUUACCCUUUCAAGAUACAUAACUAUCACUCUCAUGCUUAUAAGAUCGAUUCUAAAUCGAACUAAUUUUUUUUUUCAAAUGACAAGUACUAAUAAGAAAUAAUUGAAUGAGUUGAACAUUGAGUUGCUGAAGAUGAGAGUUUGAAUUUCUCUAAGGAUACAAGUGUGACUUGCUCUAAUUUUUACAAUAUAAAACUCUAUAAGAUUUCUUGAAGAAGAGUUUUCAUUUUUUUACUAGUUUUAUUGAAAUCUUUUUCUUAUUUCAAGAAAGAAUCAGAAUCAACUUGCUAAAUUUCAAAAAGAAAAAAAAAACCUUGCUAAUUAUUGUAUGAAUGUGCCAUUCUUUUUUUAUUUGUUAAUUCAUGAGUAUUGGCUUUUAUAUCCACCAAAAAUAAGUAGAAUAAAAUUUUUGAACAGCAUUAAGAUACAAUUGGGUUAGUAUAUGAGUGUUGAAAUGAUUUAGUUCAAAGGCAAAAUCUGGAACAAAAAUUGAGAGAAGAGUAUAAAAGAAGUACCUUUAGUUGAACCUGCUCGUUAGCAUAUUUUUGAAUGGUGAAAUUUGUAAAUCUAGGACAGUUGCAAACUUCUAACUUCUCCAAAAAUGGCAAUGCCACGAGAAAGUUUUUCGAGUGAAACCAACUCAAAUUUGUCAAGUUUACAAGUCGUAAAUCUUGUAGGCAAGGAAGUGCAAUGGCAUGAUCAACUCCAUUCGUUUCUUUUACCACAUUGAAGACUUGUUGUAACUGAGGUGAAUCAAAAAUCCAAAAUGAUUUCAAUCGUGGAAGAACAUUGGCCAAAUGACUUUCAAAAACAUAUUCCAGUCUUGGACAAUGAUAUAUUGUUAGAGUUUCCAAUUUUGGCAAGAGUGGAGAACGGAGAGGGACGUCUGAUUCUAUUUCAUCAUCAGGUUCCAACUUUGUGAUAAGUUGUUGUAGUCCAUCGCAAUGAUCUACUUUGAGUUGUUCUAGCAUCUCCAAGCUCUGAGCAAGGGAUGGUGAGAAGAGAUAUCUCAAUCUAUUGCAAUAACUAAUUUCUACAAACUUCAAGCUUUGGAGGUUGACAAAAUGGGUGGACUGUUUCCAUAUCCACUUCAGUUCUGGUAAUGAGACUAGCUUCAUAAGUGUUAAAUUUGACAACGAUGGUCCUUGAUUUUCUUUCGAAUCAUGAAGAAGCUUAUCUAUUUGAAAUACUUCUUGCAACUGGCCACAAUUAAUAACUUUCACUUCCUUUAGAUUCUGUAGCGCAGGAGAUAAAGAAAACAGGCUAGAGCUUUGAUAACUAGCUAUCUCAAGAGGGUAGUGAUCUAUGUUUGAAAGUAUUUCAUCGCCAUUUUCCACUUCUGCUAUUACAUGUAUUAGAGAGCCACAGUCGUGUAUAUGGAGUUCUUCUAGAUGCACCAAAGUUGGAAUAAGGGUAGGUGAAAAGAGAUAUGCCAGUUUAAAACACUCUGAAAUUUUCAUUGUUUUAAGAUUCUGGAGAUUAACAAGAUGGGUGGGUCCUCUCCAUAUGUAGCUCAAUUCUGGUAGUAACUCUAGUUCCAAACAUGUUAAAUUUGAGAGCGGUGCUGCCUGAUUUUCCUCACAUAAAGAAAAAAAUAAAUUUUAGUAGUUAGUAAAUACUAAAAUAUGAAUUCAUUAUACCAGAUAAAAAAUUUAAUUAAUUAUUGAAUAGGCAUACAUUUAAAAAAAAUUAUGAAAGGAAGUGUUAAAAGUCAAUAAUUUAGAAACAUUAGAGAGUAAUUUUUUAUAAAUUUGAUAAUUUAACAAAAAAAAGAUAAUUAUAUAAAGAACAGAUGAGUGCAUUAUUAAAAGAAAAAAGGAGAGUGAAGAGGUACCUCUAGCUCAAGCAUUUCUCUGACAAAAGUAAAAACUUGCUCCAAAUUUUCGCAUACAGAUAUGACGAGUUGUUCUAGAUGCAGUAGACUUUGAGCAAGGUAAGGUGAGAAGAUGUAUUUUAGUUCACGGCAAUCCAAAACUACUAGUUUCCUCAGACUUUGUAGGCUUGCAUGAUGAGUUGGCUCUUUCCAUAUAAUCUGCAAUGAUGGUAAUGAGAUUAGAUUCAAGCUUGUUAAAUUUGAGAGUGGCUGUGUCCGUCUUGCUUCCUCUUCAAGAAACCCAUUCAUCUGAAACACUGAUUGCAACCGCACACAAUUCCAAAUAAUCAAUGUUUCUAACUUUUGUAAGAACUUAAUCGGUGAUUGACCAUGGCACAACUCUUUCAAACAAGUCAUUCGACUCAUGUCUAAUUUCACCAAAUUAGAGAAUGCUGUGGUUGGUCUUUGUUCUCGUGUUGUAUCGAUCAAGCAUUCGACAUCCUUGCAAUAUCUAAGCUCAAGAGAAGUUAAAUCAUUUAGUCCCCACUGAUCUACCGUUGGGAUAAUAUUUUUGUGUUCCAUGAUAUUGUACAGAGUAAGCUUUUCCACAUUGCAAAAUAGCUCCUUAAAUGCGUGUAAUGAGGAAGAGAAAUCACUAAUUCUCAAGGUUCUCAAGCUUAGGCCAUUCAGAUAUUCAAGAUCUUUAUCUGAAAACGCUAUAUUAUACCUUUGUAGUUUAGGGAACACAAAGUUUUCUUGAAAAUGAUCUUUAUUUACUCUCAGUGUUAAUGCAGUCAAACGAGAAAAUGAAUUCAGCUCCCAUAAGUUGACAUUGUUUUUACUUGUCACGUGAAGCUCUUGGAGUAACGUUAACCUGUUACGCACAAAUACAGAGUAAUAUUAGCUCAAUAAUAGCACUUUCAAGGGAAUGACAAAAAUAGCUAAGUAAUGAAAUGAGUAAGAUAACAUAAACCUUCUUUUAUUUUAUUUUUUUACUUUUUCAUGCAUAUUGAAAAUGUGUACAAUCCAAUGGUAUUUUUCUCUCAAGAAAGCAAUAUUCUUAAGCUACCUUCGUACUACAGGUUGCAAUGUUUAUUGAAAAUGUGUGUGUGUUUGUGAUAGUCAAAAUAAAAAUAACAUAAGUAAUUGGAAAAAAAAUUAAUAACAUAAAAUUAAAUAUUUAAUUAAAAACAAUAAGAUAAACAAUUUUAAGCAUAUUUUAGUACUACCUUGAUAGCAAGUUAGGGGGGACAUUGCUGUCUCCAUAGCAAGAAAAAUAUAGUGAUUUUAGUCUAUGCAAUUCCACUAAUUCUCCUGGUAGCUCAUGAAUAUUAGUAUUAAGCAACACAAAAACCUCAAGGUUUUUCAUAUUUCUCAAUGAUGAAAUGUUUUGGAGCUCGCAAUCUACAAAGCAUAGAGUUCGAAGAUUUGUUAGGAAUUGAAGUGCUUCCAAUGAGAAUACAACAUUUCCGAGAAAUAAAACUCGAAGGCUUUUCAUUCCUUCAAAGAACAUACUUGAAACUCUAAGUGAACUCUUUCCUGUCAAAAACAAAAUCUUGAGUUCUGAAAAUUCCAUUUUUUCAGGAAGAUUGUUUAUCUUACUGUUCCAUAAGGAGAUUCCCAUAUAACAUCCAAAACUUUCACUCAUAGGCCAUUCCGUCAAUCCAUCUUUCACAAUGAAUAUAUUUUCGCCUCUUAAUGUUAUCCAGUGAGCAAAAUCGCGAACCACAUCAUGCAUUUUUACAAAUCCUUCAUCAUCAAUUUCCAAUAACAAACCAGACAUUUUGAGUUUUGAGAGUGCUAGACGAAUUUCCCUCCUUAAGUCUUCAAUUAAGUUAAUAUGACAAAACAAUCCCCAACCAAUUCCACAUAUAGUCAACAACUCGAUAUUAAUCUCAUAAUCUUCAGGGAAAAGAGAACACAACAAGAAACAUGAUUGGAUAUUGUCUUCCUUCAAAUAAUCAUAACUAAGCUUAAGGCAGUUAUAAAUACCUCCGCAAAUAUCUUGAUUAUCCAAAUGUCUUGAGCUUUUGAGUCGUUCAUUUGCUGCUAUCCACCCAUCUAGACUUUCACCUUUUAGAGCUUUUGCCAUAGUUACAAUUGCAAGAGGCAAACCCUUGCAUUCACGAGCAACCUGCUUGGCUACAUCAUUCAAGGUGGGAGAGACAUCUUUUAGAUCAGCGUUAUCUUUGAAUAAAGCCCACGCUUCACCAUCAGAUAAGAUUUUCAGUUCAAAUUUCUCUUGACAAUUCAUUUGAAUACAGACUUGUUGAAGACGUGUAGUUAGAAGAAUUUUGCAACCCUUGUGUUCACCACCAAAUGGAAUUCCUAUAGUUUGUAAUUUAAAUUCUUUCCAAACGUCAUCAACAAUUAUGAGCAUCUUCUUCUGGUCUUUUAACCUCCUCCAUAACUCUUCUGCUUUUCCUUCUUCUGUAUUUGUCUCAUAUUUUAAACCAAGAAUUUCUGCAAUUUUAUCUUGAAUUUUGUUGAUGUUUGGAGUUUGGGACACUGUAACAAUCACAACCUUAUCAAAGAGCUUUUGUUCCCUAGCUUGCUUCCCCACUACUUCCGCCAAAGUUGUUUUACCCACACCUGGCAUUCCAUACAAUCCAAUCAUGUUCACGCCAUAGCUAUUUAAAACCUUCAUGAUCCCAUUGAAAGUUGAUUUAGAAGAUUCGGAAUGCAUGAAAUCCUUGGGUAGUAGGAAUUCUAUUCCUUGAAGAGGAGCACGCUGGCCGACUCGUGGAAAGUUACAAGUCUCUAAAAGUUUAGAGAUAUAAAGUGUCUUCCUCGCUGCCUUCUUACUUAAGCAGUAUCGCCAGCCCCAACUAGGACACCAUUUGAAACACUUAUUACGUUCUAUUUCAUCUUCCAAACUCUGAGCUUCUCCCAAUUCUCUCUCUGCCCUUGUUAGCCACUCCUCAACGUCCUUCUCAAUUACUUCAGUUUGCCUUAUAGCCUCAUUGACAUCAUUUUUCACCCGAUCUUUUUUCAGUGCAAGUUCGUCUCGCUGAUUCUUGAACUCCUCAACAAUUCUGCCGAAAUGGAAAAAGUAGCUAACAUAACGUGAUGUGUAUUCUGUUGUCAGGUUUCCCACGGUAUUGGCAGCAGCAUUGGCAAAAAAUCCAGCAUCCAUUCUUUGAUGAUACGAGGCUGAAAAACAACUUCGAUGAGUAAAAAGGUUUUAUAGAGAGACAAAUUACAGCAGUAUUGGAUGUUUCGCAAAGCAUAGUAUAUUUAUUCAUCCCUUUAUGAAAAUUUUUUUGCUCAGCGAUACCUUUAUGAAAAUGUAAAGCAAAGGAGAACAAAUUGUUGAUUAAUCUACUUGAAAAUUGACACUGCUGCAGAUGGCAGAAAUUCUUCAGUCUUAAUGUGUAUAUUAAGAAUAUAUCUUACAUGUUAGAGAAAAAGUAUGUUAUAUUUAUUAAUUUUCCUUUCAAUCAGUUUUCUAGAAAAUAAAAAAUAACUACUAAUUAUUAAGAUAUUGCUUUCCCUAAAUCAAAGAGAUGAGCUAACAAAAAAGAAAUUAAUACCGGAAAAGGUACGGAAAUCCUUUCUUGAAACUUACCUCUCUAUUCUCGCCACUUGAAUGUGAAAGGAUAAGAGACAAAUACAAGUUUUUUAGCUUUCUGCUUCACACAAAUGCCAUGUGGAGUGUCACUGUAGAAGAUCAAAACAGUUAAUUUUGACAUAGAAAAUAAUUUAGAGCUAAUUUUGCAUGUGAAGUUUGCAGUUGCACACUCAAAUGAAAAAAACAAGACAAAUAAGCCAUGGAAGAAACAGAUGUACAUAUAUACCAAGGAAAGAUGAACUUUCAGGAGCCAAGGCAAAGCUUCUAUAUUGAUCCAGGCCAAAGAUAUUAGACAAUGAGAAAGUUUGUGAGGAGAGUUUUUUUUUUCUUUUUUUUUUUUUUGAGUUAAAAGAAAAUAUGCAUCAACUAUUAAGUCAAAUGUUCGUUUGCUACCUCUUGUAUAUGUUGUAAUCUAUGAUAAUUGUCUGUGUCUAAUUCUAUGAUAGUAAUAUACAUGUUUUUUCUUAAUCAGUAUUUUUUUGGUGAUAAGCUUUUUGUGGUUGCUAUAUAUUCCACCCAAAGCAAGUAUGCCAACCCAAAGUCUUAAACUAUGUAAGUCAAAGACUUUAUAGCACGUUUGGGACAAGGAAUAGCUCUAUUCCCAAGGGAAUAGCUUACCUCCAUUUGGUAUAGCAAUAUCACAAAGAAUAGCUAUUACCUAGUAAUAGCUAUUCUCUCAAAAGGGGUAAAACUCAUGCAUAGCUAAACCCGAGCUCCCCCAUGGUUUUUGCUAUUCCGUGACUGAGGGAAUAACUCUGAAUUAUGAUAAGACUAAAACACCCCUUAUCACUUAAAAAUAUUACAACCUUAGACCUAUAUAUAUAUUUUUUCUUCUCAUUUUCCCUUCUUCUUUCUCUCUCUUCUCAUGUUCUUUCCUCUCUCAUUCUCUCUCUAAGUGGCACCAACGUUGGAGAUGAUGUUGCGACGGCGACAACGGUGGCGGAAACGACGGCGACGGCGACGACGAUGGAAGCUGCUGCGACGGAGGUUUUAUGACCGAAUAUGGUCGGACAAGAUUCAAACGGAGAUUCAACCAGAUCUGGCACUCAACAGCUAGAUCUGGUGCUUCCCGACCAGAUCCCACGAUUGGAUCUGGCACUCCACGACCAGAUCCAGCCGCGGGGAAGCGCCGAUCUGGCACUAUAAUGGCUAGAUCCGGCCACAUGGUGCUCCAGAUUGGUGUUUUGUUACACCGAUCGCCUUUCCAGCGACCAGCUCAUGAAAAAAAAAAAAGAAGAAGAGAAAAAAUAGAAUAAAAAGAAUAAAUUAUUUAUAAAAUUUAAAAUAUUAAUAUUUUAUAUAAAAUUUAAAUAUUAUUAAUAGUAAUAUGAUUAAAAUAUUAAAUAUUAAUAUUUUAAACUAUUAAUGUUUUAUUUAUUAAAUUAUUAAUUUAUUAACUUUUUAAUGAAUAUAAAAAAUAAAAAUUAUUAAUAUUUUAAUCAUAAUAAUAUUAAAUUAUAAAUAAAAUAUUAUUAAUUAAAAUAUUAGUAAUUAAAUUAUAUUAAAAUAUUGAUAUUUAAAUUAUAAAUUAUUAAUNAUUAAUUAAUUAUUAUUUAUUAAAUUUUUAAUGAAUAUAAAAAUAAAAUUAUUAAUAUUUAAUCAUAAUAUAUUAAAUUAUAAAUAAAAUAUUAUUAAUUAAAAUAUUAGUAAUUAAAUUAUAUUAAAAUAUUGAUAUUUAAAUUAUAAUAAUUAAUAUUUUAAUUUAAUUAUAAAUUAUUAAUAUUUAAAAAAUAAAAAUAAAAAAUAAUAUAUAUAUAAAAUAUAUUUUUGUCUUUUUAUUUUCUAUUACUUUCUUAUUCCAAAAUUAUUGUUACCAACCAAACACUAUAAUAAGUCAUAAUAAUUAUUUUUACUCUAUUUUAUUCAUCAUACCAAACUACGUAAUACUUAUUCUAUUAUAUUCCCACCUCAUUCUAUUCCCACGUAAUAACUAUUCUAUUCUAUUUCUGUCUAUUCCGCGAAUCAAACGUGCCCUUAGUAGCAUAAGAACUCAAGCAUUGGCAGUAAGAGUGUAGCGAAUUUAGCUUCAAAUAUUUUUUUUUAUUUUCUCAUUAAUUAAGAAGAUAAAGAUUGCAAAUAUUUUCACAACUUUUGCCAGUAGGACACGGCAUCAUUGAUAUGUACAAAUAUGAAUAAGUGAUGCACUUUUGAAUAAUUGCUGUGGUCCCUCUAUUAUUGUCCUUCAUUUUUUUGUCAUUUUGCAAUCAUUUUUCUAUUAAGGUAUAUUUAUUUCUGACCUACAUGCUUGGUCGGUUUCAUGACGUUCAUCUUUGCCUUAUGGAACUAGCCUCACCUUUUCUAUCCUUUCUUCUUUGAAAUUUUAACCUUUUUUAUGUUCUGGACAUAUAUUAACACCAGCUUCCUGAAACCUACCUAAUUUGGAGUCUACUUUCCCUCGGAGUUAAAGAAACUCUAGAACAAAAAGAUUAGUGUUUACUGGAGUAUUGCUCCAUUUUCUUCUUAUUUUCAAGACUCUGUUACAAAGAAAUGAACGAGGAUGAAUAGAACAGAACACUUUCAAUUUUCAUAUUCAAACUCUGUACAAUUAAUGGAACAAAGUUAAAAUAUGCGUUUUGUUUAAGACAGAGAAGAAUAAAAGCCGAAAUCAAAUAAAGUCUUUGAGGUAGUGUAGCUCGCAGAUGUGGAGACGAUACAAGAAGAUGAUUCAAUAGAAACCGUAUGACGACAAAGUAAUAAGAGUAGGUAUGGGAAAUUUGGAACACUAAUACUCAAAUUACAAACAAUGGAAAACUAGGUGAUUAUUAAUAAGACUAGGUAUAGGAAAAUUGGAAAAAUAUUGGCAACGAGGGUCAAAGUCGUCCCAUCCUCCCAUGUGAGUUUCCCCACCAAUUAAUAAACAAAAUUAUGAUUUCUCUUUUCUUUGAUAAUGCAGCUACAAUAAUAAGAGUAGGUAUGGGAUAAUAUUUGAAUUAGGAACAAUGGAAAUGUAUUGGCAACUUGGCUGAAAGUCAUCCCAUAUACUCCCAUGUGAGUUUCCCUCUUAUCAAUAAACAAAUAUGAUUCUCUUUUCUUUGAUAAUCCUAACGAAACCUUAUGUAUAAACAAUUUAUAUUUAAUCUGAAAAUUUCAUAAUCGAAUUUAAAAAUACAAAGCGUACCUAAUUUCUUAUUCAUGGUUUGACAGCAAAAAUGGUAUUGAUCAGAUUAACUGCUAGUACUUUUUUUAAAAGAAGAUUAAUUGCUGGUACUUAGUGCACUAAGACGUUCCUUUCAUUUUUUUUUUAUGAUUAUCUUCUCUGCAUCUUCACAUUUUUGCAGCUUGUGAUUAUAAUCCAUUGGUGUAGCAACAGGUUUAGCUCUCAAUAAUCUGUGUUCCUCCAGCAAUUUUAAUGUAUAUUUUCUCUUACAUACAGAGAUUCCUCCAGAGGAUCUGGCUAUCUCCAACCCCAAGAAGUACUUUACUGUACCAAGGUCUUUUAAUUUGAACUAUGUGCUCAAAAAUUCCUUGACAUUGUUUGCUGCUUCGAUUGAUGUGCUUUCAAUCAAAAUAUCAUCCACAUACAACAACAAAGCAAUAAAUUCUCCCUUUUUUGUCUGCAUAGUGAAUAACGAAUAAUCUACAAUUGACUGCUUGGAUCCAUAUUACUGAAUAGAGGCAGUAAACUUGGCAUUCCACUGUCUGAAAGCCUGUUUAAGUCCAUAAAGUGAUUUGUUUAACUUGCAUACUAGUUUGUCUCUGUAGGAUACUCCCCCUUAGUGGUAUACCCUUCUAGUAACUCCAUAUAUAUAGUUUCUUGUAGAUCCCUAUGUAGAAAAGCAUUGUUCACAUCUAUUUGUGAAAGUGUCCAAUUAAAUGCUGCUGCCAAUGCAAAGAACAGUACUCUGACUGUGGUUUGCUUUGCCACUGGACUAAAUGUCUUCUGGUAAUCAAAACCAAGUACUUGAUUAUAGCCUUUUGGCCACUAACCUCGCCUUGUAACUUUCAACCUGUCCAUUAGCAUUAAGUUUCACUUUGUAAACCCAUCUGCAGCCUAUUACAUGUGCAUUAGAAAGUUUAGGUACUAAACUCCAUGUAACAUUAUCUUCCAUAGCUUUCAGUUCAAGAGUAAUUGCCUUUUUCCAAUGUGAAUGAUUAAUGGCCUCAUAGUAAGACUUUGGUUCUUGUAUUUGUGAAACUGAAAUGGUAAAAUUUUUAUGAGCAAGUGAUAGGUAUUGAGAUGACAAUGCAUUGAAAUAGGAUGGGUAGUAACCGUAUAUGUCAUAAAGGGCAAGUCUGUAUGAUAUGCAUCAAGGUAUUUGGGGACUUGUUUGAUUCUGGUACUCUUUCUAACAAGUAAGUUGGUCAAUGCUUCUGCCAAUUCAAUGUUGUUUUGGUGAUAGUUACUACUUUAACAGUCUGCACACUGUCGGCUACAGUAGUCAUGCUGAGAGUGUUGGGUGAAUUUAAUGACAAAUCAUUAGAAUUUUGAGUUUGUAAAGGUGAAAUAAGUUCAGGAAAACUUGACUCGGCUGAUGUGUUGUCAAGAAAGAAAAACUAGGUUGAUAAGAGUCAGAAAUGUCUAUGUGACUGGCAUGCACAUCAGGUGUUUGACAGAAUGUAGAUGACUGUGCAUUUUGCUUAGAACAUUGAAAUGGGAAUACUUUCUCAAAAAAAAAAGACUUUUCUAGAUAUAAGAACCUUGCAUCAAGAUCAUAUACCUUAUAACCUUUAACAUUGCUUUAAUAACCUAAUAAUACACAUUUACUUGCCCUCUUAUCUAAUUUCUUUCUGUUAUGUGGGAGUGUAGACACAAAACACAAUGAUCCAAACACUUUGAAAUGCUUAUAGGUAGGUGGUUUGUUGUACAGCAUCUCAUAUGCGGACUUGUUUUUGAGAAUUUUGGUUGGAAUCUUGUUAAUUAUAUGAACUACCGUUAGCACGGCAUCACCUUAAAAAUGAAUUGGAAGACUGGAUUGAUGCAUGAGAGCUCUUGCCACCUCCAAAAUAUGUUGGUGCUUCAUUUCAACAACACCAUUCUGUUGUGGUGUCUCUACUCGGGACAUUUGAUGAGCAACUAUUGUUUUUGGAUAGAAAUCACUAAGUUUAAAUUCCUAACCAUUGUCAAACCUUAAAAACUUGAUUGAUGAAUUAAAAUGCCUUUGUACAUACUUAUCAAAGGAAGGAAUAAUGGUUAAAACAUCUGAUUUGCUUCUCAUCAAAAACACCCAAGUAAACCAACUGUAGUCAUCUACCAAAGUGAGAAAAAACCAUUGUCCUGACAAUGUUGGUGUCUCAUAUGGACCCCAUAUGUCAGUAUGCACAAGUUCAAAAAGUUUCUCAGAACCUUGAACAUGAACUGGGAAAGCAAGUUUUCUUUGUUUAGCCAUGGGGAAAACUUCACAAAGCAAGUUAUUUGUACAUUUCACAUGAGGAAAUCUCUGAUUGAUUACAUUAAUUCUUUCAAUAGGGAUAUGGCCUAACCUAAAAUGCCAUAGAACAAAAGAGUUUUACUCUGUCUUGGAAACAUUAACAGAUAAAACUUUUGGAGUCUUUACAAAAUUUUCAAAACAAAUUUUUGAUAAAUCUUACUCAUCUUGAUUCUCUUUCAUCAAUAAAGUCCUGAGUAGGCUCUACUAACCUUAAUCACCUACCAUGAAGGAAUGCCCUGGACAAUACAGUGUUUGUCAGUGAAUAGCAUACAAGCUUUCUUGCCAUUUGUAAUCUGACCUACUGACAUUAGAUUAAAUUUGAAACUUGGAACAUGUAAAACAUUAUGCAAAAUCAAUGAAGAACUCAACUUGACAGUUCCAAUAUGAGACACAGGAAUUUUCUGUUGUUUGGUAACUCAACAAAACAAUUCUUUACUAGUUUGGCAUGACUAAAAUUGCUUAAGGAAUAGGAUGUAUGAUCUGAUGCUCCUGAGUUUACUAUCCAUUGGUUUUUCUUUAUCAAGCUAGUAUUCACAUUCCCAUAUUCAUAUGACAAAUUAUUCAUAAUAGUAAAACAUAAGUGUCUUGAAACAAUACUUGCAAAGGAUGAAUUGGCUAGUGAGUGUUUGGUUUUGUAGGGUACUGUUGAGUUCUUACCAUCUCUUCCAUUCAUAUCAUUCACAUUCAAGAGGUCCAUGAUCUUGUUAACAUGCUGUUGUAGGAUUGAUAGUUGAGACAUGAAGCCUAUUCCACCCAAUUCGUCUUCUUGCUCUGUUUAAGACACAUUGUUUACUGCAGCCUUUCCUUUCUUGUUGUUUCCUUUCCCUUUUGUGAAUUUAAAAUCCUCUAGAAAGCCAGUGAUUCUGAAACACUUAUCUUUGGUGUGUCCUUUCUUCCCAAAAUGGUUACAUACUAUGUCUUUUUUCCACUUUUUCUUGUAUUCUACACUGACCAUCAUAGCAAACGAUUCUAUUAUUGCUUGACGUUGCAGCACAGCAUUUCUUUGGGAUUCUUCUGUCAAGAUCAAACUGUAAACUUUAUCUAGAGCAGGGAUAAGAUCCAUGAGAAUAAUUUGGGAUCUAAUUGCUGCAAAUGAUUCAUUCAACCCAUUCAAGAACUUGAAUACCAUGUCUUCUUGAUAAAGGUCAGAAUAUUUCUUGAAACAAGCAGGAUUGUAGCUCCCACAUUCGCAAUGUGGUAAUGGUCUAUAAUGCCUCAUUUCUUCCCAUAGUCCCUUCAACUCAAUAAAAUAUGUAUCAACUGUCCUAGUCCUUUGAGUUACAUUCCCUAGAACAUACUAUAAGUUACAAAGGUAUCGUCAGGUUAAGCAAAGUUUUGUUUGAGUGUAUUCCACGUCAUAAGCAGAAUCCAUAUAAAAUAUGGUUGAAGCAACUGGUUGAGUAAUUGAUUCCAGUAACCAUCCCACAAUAAGAUUAUUGCAGUGGAUCCGUGACUGGAAAAGGGGAUCUGUGAUCUUUGGCUUAGGUAUGGUUCCAUUGACAAACCCGAUCUUGUUUCUAAUCGAGAGUGCAAGUAGAAAAGACCUACUCUAGGUGAUGUAAUUACUGGUAGUGAGUUUGGGGUAGAUAACUACUGAACCAAGGUGGUCAGUAUGAUGAAAGUAAUAUGGUGACUGGGGAUCAGCAAUAGGAGGGAUUUGAAUGGUCCAUGUGCUGGUUUGGGUUGUGGUUUGUGAUGGUCUUAAUUCAUCAUAUUCGGACAUUAUUCUAUUGCUUUAAUCAAGCUCAAUGAUGAGUACAAAAAUAAAUAAGCAACCCAAAAAAGUUGCCUAGAGGCAAACUUACUAAUUCUGUGAAUGAUGACAGAUUCCUUCAAGGAUCAAAUUCCCGCUUUGAUACCAUGAAAGAAAUAGUGAUGCAGAGAAAGGACAGCAUAGUAAAUGAGGGAAUGUUUCUGAUCAUUCCAUUUCAUAAAGGAAAUCUGUACAAAAGUAGUAUUUAUAGUCUGUACAAAAGCGUAACCUGAUGAAAGAGAAAACUAUAACUAAUCCUAAGAUUAAUUACUUCAACUAACUAAACUAAUUUUUGAAAAAUACACUUUAUUAAUUAAACACUGCAUUUGAUGCCUUUCACUGGUUCCUUCUUUAUUUUAAAUGAAACGGUGCGUCUUGAGUUUUCCUUGUCGUACUUAUGGCUUCCUCUUUCUCAUAGUCUCGAUCUCUCUUCUUCCUUCUCUUCUUGUUUCUAGUUCAGCCUUCAUCAGGGAUUCAACCAUUUAUGAUGUUCUUGGACUUAUUUUGCAGCUCACUUUAGAUAUGCCAUUUCAAGUCUCUAACCUGAUAAGCCAAAGACUUCCAUGGCAUUAAAACCCCGGUAUGGGAGUAAAGCGGUCAAUUUGAUUAUACAAAGUGAGUCAACCAAUAAAAAACAGAUGCUCGAAAACAACAUAUACAACAAGCCCUGUGACCAAGAGAAGGGUAUCAUAAAGGCCAGAGCAUCCAAAAAACAGAGGCCAAAACCUAUACAUUUACCAACCCUCAGCUGUGAUUGCAGCAAACAAAAAAUAAAGAAAGGACACAGCUCUAAUUUGCAAUUGGAAUUCCAAAGCGAUAAGGGACUGUAAAAAAGUAUGAAUGAAGCAAAAGCACACUGAAUGGCACCAUCACAAACAUCCCGGGCCAUCAGAAACCAUGAAAUCAGGGGCUCACUAGCGGAAAACACAAAAAAAAACCAUUAUCACCAAUCAACAAAGCCACGAGAUGUAGAUGACAAACCAGAGCCAGCAUCUUAACAUGAAAAGUAAACAAGAGAUCCAUCGCUCCAUCAGACCGUUCCACCAGCUUAAAAACUCAUUGGUUCACAGUGCACAAAUGCCAGCAUCAAAAUCUUUAGCAAAGGAAAAGAAAACAUCCCCGCAUCUAGAUAAGAAACAGAGGAAUUUCACUAUUGUUCUUCUACUUAUUGUACAUACAGAGAGCAACGUAACAUUGAUUGGGUAAAUUAUUGAGAGCAAAAGAUCACUUAAAAUACAAAAAUAAGGAUAAGAAAAAGGGGAAUUUCACUCUUCUUCUUCUACUUAUUGUUUGUAGAGAGAGCAACAUAACAUUGAUUGGGUAAAUUAUUGAAAACAAGGGAUCCCUUCGCUUGACAACUCCAUGAAGCAAAGUAAUUUCAACACCUUGUUUUUUUUAUAUAUAAAUAUAAUAAAGUUUAACGCAAGUGAACCACCCAAACUUGAUUAGGAAUAGGCAAACAAAAGAAAGAAAUAGAAAGCAAAAGCAGCCUUUGUUUUACCCGUGUUUUGUUGACAGCCUCAACUACUCAUUUAUUUUGCAACUUCCCCUGAAUCAUUCUUUCAUGUAAGGUGUUAGCUGAUCCCCUGUGCUUCGGGACCAAAAUAUGUUCUCGAAGUGAACUGCAUUUUGAGUAGUGGUAGAUCCUUCGGUGACGUCUUGCUCAACUUGUCGUGGUAUCCUUCAGAAAAAUUGAAAUACUGAAAUGAAAAGCAAAAGUAUUAAUUUCUUAUGAUACAAAGGCAAAAGAAGAAUUAGCUAUGUUAUAUUUUAUAAGCAUUUUAGGUCAAGUUCAUAAACGAUAUUACUCAAUCAUGGAGAUAUGCUUAGUGGAGUCCAUUUGUCGAAAUAUGUUUAAUUUACAAACUAAAAUGAUAAAAUUACCUGAAUUUGAUUACAUAUAAUAGUUGGAUUAGGAAAAUACUUUUCCUUUUUUGGUUUUUGAAGACUGAAGAAAGAGAGGUUUAGAAAUUUUAAAUAUUUGUGGAUUUUGAAAAGAUAAUGUUUAAAAAAAAGUGUGUGAAAUUAAUGUGGUAGUGCAAUUCUCUAUGUUCCAAUUGGCUUUUGCACUUGUUUAAGAUAACAUACGGUUGUUGUCAAAAUAAUUGUUUUAUGACGAAGCAAUAGAAAAAUAUUAAGAAAUUGACUUUGUUCUUUUCAUCAAUUUGUCAGCCUAGUCGACCAAGUCUAAAACCAAAGCAACAAGGCUGCACAACCAGAGGACGGGGAAUGGACAGUAUGGAUCUCGAGGAGAGUUGCAUUCAUUGAAAUGCAUAGAAAAUUUUGUAAGAUUUGUAAGAGUAAGUAAACUGUUAUAAGUGAAAACUUAAACUCAGGUCCUCACUCCAAUUGCUAGAAAGAUUUCAAAUUUUUUAUGGUCAGUUUGGUAUUAGAAACAUUUCUUCUUCUGUUCAAGGUCAGAUAGAGAGAAUUUAUUGUUUCUCAUUUCUUUAGCGUUUUUUAGGGUUUGAUUUCUAGUAAUUGAAUUUUUUUUUUUUUAGUGAUUGUUUGCUUUCUUUACGGAUUAAAUCAGUACACUCUUUUAUUUUUUUUACCAUGUCAUGUAUCAAUUUUUCUUUUUUUGAAAAGUAAUUUCAUUGCAUAAGAACAGGGGAACCGACAAACUUUACAAAAGAUGGAUUGUAUUUUCCACUUGUCCUAUAAAUGCCAACAUUGUCACAUAAUAUUGCUCUUGUAUCCUACAAAUGCCAACAUGACAAGAGAUUAACACGCCCAUGGAUUCUAUCCAAAUAAGGGAGAGAGUUUGGAUAGUGAAAAAUAAUAUUUUAAGAGUUUAAUUAAAUAUAAUAAAAGAAUAGAUGAUUAUUUAAUUUUUUUUUGAAAUAAUACAUGUACUUUUCUAUCAUUUUAGUUAAAUACACGCCACUCGUAUUCUUAUAAGAUCAGAUUUUAAAUCAAAUGAAACUAUUAUGAAAAGAAAAGUACGUUUAAGUGAUAAUUGAAUGAGUUCAAGAUAGAGUUACUGAAUAUGAAAGUUUGAAUUUCUUUAAGUGUGGAUCAGUUUAUGAGUGUUGAAAAUAUUUGGCUCAAAGACAAAAUCCAAAAUCAUAAUUGAAGGAAAAGUGUAUAAAAGAAAUACCUUUAGUUGAACCAGCUCGUUAAUUUCUUUUUGAAUGAUGAAAUUUGUCAAUUUAGGGUAAUUCCAAACUUUCAACUUCUCCAAAGAUGGUGAUGACAUGAGAGAGUUUUCCAAGCAAAUGCAACUCAAAUUUAUCAAGUUUACAAGUUGUAAAUCUUGUAGGCAAGGGAGUGCAAUGGCACAAUCAACUCCAUUCUUUUCUUUUGCCAAUUGGAAGACUUGUUGCAAUCGAGGAGAAUCAGUUACCCAGAAUGAUUUCAACUGUGGAAGAGCUUGAGCCAAAGGAAUUUGAAAAAUAUCUUCUAAUAUUGGACAAUGACUUAUUCUUAGAUUUUCCAAUUUCAGCAAGAACGAAGAAUAGUAUUUUGUUUCUAUUUCAGCAUCACAGACCAACUUGGUAAUAAUGUGUUGCAGUCCAUCACACUGAUCUAUCUUGAGUUGUUCAAGGAGAACCAAGCUUUGAGCAAGGGAUGGUGAGUAGAGAUAGUUCAAUCUAUUGCAGUAACUAAUUUCUACAAACUUCAAGCUUUGGAGGCUGACAAAACGGGUGGACCCUUUCCAUCUCCAAUUCAAUUAUGGUAAUGAAUUUAGCUUCAUAAGUGUUAAAUUUGACAACAGCAGUCCUUGAUUUUCUUUUGUAUCAUGAAGAAACUCAUCUAUUUGAAAUACUUCUUGCAACUGGCCACAAUUAAAACACUUUCACUUCCUUUAGAUUUUGUAGCGUAGAAGAUAAAGAGACCAUUUCCAUGCAAUUCCUAAUUGUCAACUUCUCUAGUUUUUGUAGAAAGCCCUUUGGAAACUGACCGUUGCACAACAUUUUCAAACCAGUCAUUUUAUGCAUGUAUAAUUCCACCAAAUUGAACAAGGAAUUGGUUGAGACAUGCCCUUCUGUUGUAUCAAUCAAGCAUUCAAGCUCCUCGCCAUCGUAAAGUGCAAGAAAAGUUAAUUCAUUAAGCCACUUUGAAUCUACAUUUGGAAUGAGAUUUUUCUGAUACAUGACUCCUUUCAGGGUAAGAUUUUUGACAUUGUGUAAUAACUCCUUCAAUGCAUGCAAUUGAACGUCGUGAUCAUAAAUUCACAACAAAAUGAAACACAUUAGAAAAAUAGAAAGGUAGAUAAUGCUCUUUAAAUCAGAAUUGAAUUUUUUUUCUAUGCAUAAAAUUUAAAACAUUCCAAAGCUUAUUAACGUUUGAAAAACAUACCAAAGCCUGGAAUAUAAAUAGUGUACACGCUGAAAUUUAUUGGACACAUGGAAAUAUGAUUUAGCAAUAAAGUACACGUGGCAUGCAUGUAAGGAAGGAAAAUAAAAUAAAAUUUUUUUAUUGCCAUGUGCUUGUUUUUUUUUUUAUUAAAUUCAUUAAAUAUUUUAUUCUAUCAUGCAACGUACCUGUCUGCUAUUGUCAAGUCAUGCUUUCACAUGUCCUAUAAAUGCUAGCUUGGCUAGGAGUUAAAAUACCCAUGGACUCUAUCCAAAUGAGGGUGCUUGGAUAAUGAAAAUAACAUUGUGAGAGCUUAAUAAAAGAAAUACCUUUAGUUGAAUUUGUUCUUUAACUUCUUUUUGAAUGGUAAAAUUUAUUAAUUUAGGACAGUUGUAAAUUUUCAACUUCUCUAAGUUGAUGAGAUGGUGAUGAGAUGAGAAAGUUUUCCAAACAAAAGCAACUCAAAUUUAUCAUGUUUACUACUCGUAAAUCUUGUCGGCAGGGGAGUGCAAUGGCACGAUUAUCUCCAAUCUUUUCUUUUGUCAUAGUCUUGAGACUCUAGAGAUUAAGAAAAUGGGUGAAUCCUCUCCAUAUGCAGCUCAAUUCUAGUAAUGACUUAAGCUUCAAACAAGUUAAAUUUGACAAUGGUUGUACCUGAUUUUCAUGGUAUAAAAAAAAUAUAUAAUUUUUUAAUUAAUAAAUAUUGAAAUAUGAAUUCAUUGUACUUAAAUAUUGAGAAGACAUAUAUUUUUGAAAAAAUAUAAAAGGAAGUGUUAAAAGCCAAUAAUUUAGAAAGGUUAGAUAGUAAUUAUUUAUAUAUUUGAUUAUUCAAUAAAAGAAAGGUCAUUAGAAAAAGAAUAUACGAGAGCAUUAUUAAAGGAAAAAUGGAGAGAUAAGAGGUACCUCUAGCUUACCAUUUCUUUGUCAAAAGUAAGUGCUUGCUCCAAUUUUUCGCAUUCAGAUAUGGAGUUUCUCUAUAUGCAACAAACUUUGAGUAAGGUAAGGUGAGAAGAUAGAUUUCAGUUUAUCACAACCUUGAAUUAUUACAUCCUUCAGACUUUGUGGGCCUACGUGAUGAGUUGGCUCUUUCCAUAUACUCUCCAAUGCUGGUGAUAGCUGCAGCUCCAACUUUCUUAAAUUUGAAAUCGUCCGCAUCUGACUUUCUUCCUUUCCAAGAAGCCCAUCCAUUUGAAACAGUGAUUGCAAUUGCUCACGAUAGGAAAUGCUCAAUGUUUCUAACUUCUUUAAGAUGCUAGGUGAUUGACCAUGACACAACUCUUUCAAAGAAGUCAUUUGACCAAUGUAUAAUUUCACCAAAUUAGAGAAUGCAGUGGUUGGACUUUGUUCUCGUGUUGUAUCGAUCAAGCAUUCCAGCUGCUUGCAAAAUGAAAGCUCAAGAGAAGUUAAUUCCUUUAGUUCGCACUGAUCUACAUUUGAGACAAUAUUUUUGUGUUCCAUGGUGACACCGAACAGAGUAAGCUUUUCCACAUUGCAAAACAGGUCCUUAAAUUCAUUUAAUGAAGAUGAGAAACAACGAAUUAUCAAGGUUCUCGAGCUUAGCCCCGCCAAAUCUUCAAGAUAUCCAUUUACAGUUAUGUUGUAGCUUUGAAGUUUAGGGAACACAAAGUUUUCUUGAGAACAUUGAUGAAUAGAAACUCUCAGUGUUAAUGCAGUCAAACCAGACAAAGAAUUCAGCUCCAAUAAGUUGACAUUGUUUGUACCUGUCACGUGUAGCUCUUGGAGUGACGGUAACUUGUUACACACAAAUACAAAAUGUUCUUAAUGCAAUAAUAUAUAGCACUUUUAACCGAAUGAUAAAAAUAGCAAGAUAAUGAAAUGAAUAAGAUAACAUUAACUUUUUUAUUUCGUCAUUCUUAAAGAUACUUUUGUACUACAGGUUGCAAUGUUUCAUAAUAAUAGCAGUGACCAAAAGCUCAUGCUAGAUGUAUAUUUGUUUGUGGGGAAAAUUACUUUGUUGCAUUCCAAAGUGAGAAAAAUAUAGUGAUUUUAAUCUACGUAAUUCCACUAAUUCUUCUGGAAGCUCAUGAAUAUUAGUUUGAAGCAAUGCCAAAACCUCGAGGUUUUCCACAUUCCACAAUGAUGAGAUGUUCUCAAGCUCACAAUUUGUAACACACAAAGUUCUAAGAUUUAUCAAGAAUUGAAGUGCUUCUAGUUUGAGUACAACAUCUUGGAGAAGUAAAAUUCAAAAGGUUCUCAUUCUUCCAAAAAAAAUUACACAAAACUCUCAAUGAAUUCUUUCCUUUUAGAAACAAAAUCAAGAGUUUUGAAAAUAACUUUGUUAGGAAGAUGAUUAAUCUCAAUGCUUCAAAAGAAAAUUACCGUACAACAUUCAAAACUUUCACUCAGACCAUUUCAUCAAUCCAUCUUUUACCAUGAAUUUAUUUUCCCCUCUCGAUGUUAUCAAAUGAGCCAAAUCACGAAUCACAUCAAACAUUUUUACAGAUUCUUCAUCGUAAGUUUUCAAUAACAAACUAGACUAUUGGAGUGUAAUUAGAGCUUCAUGAAUUUUCCUCCUUAAGACUCCAGUUGAGUCAACAUUACCAAACAAUCCUUGACCAAUUCCACAUAUAGUCAACAUCUCAAUUGAUAUUUCAAAAUCUUGUGGAAAAAGGGAACACAGCAACAAACAUGACUUGACAUUAUCAUCUUCCAAAUAAUCAUAACUAAGCUCAGACGGCUAUAGAUACCUCCACAAACAUAUUGAUUAUCCAAAUGUCUCGAGUCUUUGAGUCGUUGAUUUGCUAUUAUCCACCCAUUUAAACUUUUACCUUUUAGAGAGUUUGCCACAGUUACAAUUACAAGAGGCAAACCAUUGCAUUUACGAGCAACCUACUUGGCUACCUUCAAGGUGGGAGAGUCAUCUUCUACACCAGCUUUA
This 101830-nucleotide long non-coding RNA is filed under the name Theobroma cacao (cacao). RNAcentral's name for it is "long non-coding RNA (TCAC_LNC004182)". Lineage: Eukaryota; Viridiplantae; Streptophyta; Magnoliopsida; Malvales; Malvaceae. The record is from RNAcentral.